CCAAAGCAAGAACAAAGGAAGAAAAAAAAGAACAAAAACCCUAGAGUGAAAAUUUAAGAGAAAAUUGGUGGAUUUCAAGUAAUCAAGCAAUCAAAGGUAAAAUUUCUUGAUUUUGACUUGUGAUCUACCUUUCCCAUACAUUCUUUUGCAUUUUCCAUGGUUGAAUCACAUGAUUUCAUGAUGGGUCUCUUGCUAGCCAAACACUUAGAGAGAGAUUUUGAUGGUUGUUUUGGUUAGAUUUUAAGAUAUUCUAGUGUUUUUAGUUGAUUGGUGAUGUGUAGUAUGAAAAUCAAGUAAGAAAAAUUCAUGUUCUUCCAUAACCCAUCAUUGGUCGAAUUCUCCAUGUGAAAUAUUGAUGAUGAUUUUGAUUUUAUUUCAAGUGAUUUGGUUAGGAAUUAGUGAUUUAUGGUGUGAGAAUCAAGCUUGAAAAAUUAUAUUGUUAGUGAACCCUCCAUGGUCGAAUUUUCCAAGAGAAAAUGUGAGGAUGAUUUUGCCACAUUUCAAGUUAUUUAAUUUGUGUUUGAUGAUUUGGAGUAUUGGGAGAAAAAUGGAAUUAUUUAGAGUUAAAUUAGACAUAUUGGCCAAUUAAUCGGGUGAUAGAUCGAAUUAGGCCAAUACCAUUUUAUUUAGGUACAUAAUUGAAUUUAUAUUGAACACUAUAUUUAGAUAGUUACCCGAGUAUUUUACAUCCCAUUUCAUGCAUUAGUAUAAAGCCUGAAUUGGAUUUACAAUGGUUUAGCACAAAUGUAGUAAAUGGUUUAUUGUGCAUUAUGUGUAGGUGGUGAGCUUUCUGGCAAAAGUAAAGAGAUAGUACCCGAGGAUCAAGAAUCAGAGUACUCAAAAUUCGACUCCCGAAAUAGUGAGUAACCUUACUAUUGUCUUAAUUAUCUAAAGUAGUUUUUACUCAUUUUUGUGAAUUGAUAGAAAAAUGAGUUUAAAUGGUAAAUCUUUAUGUUUUAUAAGCAAAAUGUGAUUAAAUGAAAUGAUUUUAUAAAAUUGUCUUGAAAUUGAAAGAUGGUUUUGAAAAUGGAGUAAUUAGAGACUAAUUGUUGUGUUAUAAAUUAUGGUUUGAAUUUAAUGGCUUAUGAUAAUAUUGGCAUGAAUGGUUGAAUUGGUAAAUAUGCUGAAAAUGUAUGAACUAUUGAUUUACCUUGAGAGGCUGUAAAAUAAAAUAAUUUUCAUGUCAUGCUAUCGCAAAUUUUAUUGUAUGGUGGUUUAGCUUACUGCAGUGGGCGGGUUCUGUGGACCAGCCUUUUUAAGGGGCAUGGAAUCUUGUUAUAUAUAUCUUACCUCGAUUGGGGAGGCACGUAGGGUAACUCCCGAGGUACAACUUUAGAGUUCACUUCACGCCAAACCACCACGUGAGGGUGAACUCAGCCAACGCCAAGGAACGACUAUGUUUUCAAAAGAAAAAAACAUGAUUUAUGCGUACAUGACUUUUUAACAGCCUUGGCGGACUUGGUUGGGAUAGCCCCAGGCCAAGGUAUCCCUAAUAACUGAGUAUGAGAAUGAUUUUGGCACGAGCCAAACUUUUCAGGAAAUCAUAAGCCUUGUUGUUUAUUUUGGGUGAAAUGAAUCUAUUUUAUCUUAUUAAAAUGAGUUCGAAAUGCUGUGAAUCAUUUUUAUGUUAAACUAUUUAUCUGUCUCCAUUUUUUCAGCUUUAGAUAUUUUAGAUAGUAUUUUUUUACUCAUUGAGAUAAUAUAAUCUCACCACCCUCCUUUCCACUAAUUUUAGGCUCAGGAUAGUAGGUAGAAAGCUCGUUUCGUUGAGGGCUACAGUUGGACUUGCAUCCUCAAAAACUGUAGGUUUACCGCUUUUGAUAUUUUUGGUCGUUCGUGGGCCCACGUGUCACUGUAAAUUAAAUCGUAUGCUUUGGUUAUCUGUAUUACAGUAUGUAUUAAUUUAUUUAGCUUUUACGCUACAAAAUUUAUUUACCGGUAACUUUAUAAAUAUUGUUUUAUAAGAAAAUAGAAUAUUUUAUUGAAUAUUUUUAUUAUAUUCAAAUAGUUAUAGUUUCGCUUUAAAUGAAUGUUUUUGUCAAGCCCGACCUUAUAAAGUACUUGCCAUGUCUUUCAUGUGAUUGACAAUAUGCUUGCAUACUUGGAAAGCCCCGAAAAAUGAUCAAAAGUCAGUAGUGUACCUAGAGGUGCAACUAAGUUGAAUUAAGCCUCGAACUACUUUAAAUAGAGAUCAUAAGAUGAAAUUGAGAAUUUUAAAACCCCAGAAUGACUUAAAAUGAUGAUUUGGAGUUCGAGGGUUGAAUUGGAGUCAAUUUGGAAUUUUCAUGAUCUAGGGGUAAAAUGGUCAUUUUGCCACCCAAGGUUAAGAUGUGAGUGUUGGAUGAUAUUUUUGACUAAGAUUGAUCAUUUGGAGUAUAAUUUGAGUUUGACAAGUGAAAAAUUUUAAUUUUGACGUUUUUCUGAGCAUAGGGGUAAAAUAGUCAUUUUGCCACCCUAAGGGCAAAAUUGUAAUUUUACACCACCCAAUACUUGUCCAGCACAUGGAUUUUACCCAAUAUUAUUAUGGAUAAUUGAGGAAAUUUAAGUGGUGGAGAGAGAUUGCUUAAUGAGCAAAUAUGACACAUGGACCAAUGGAAUGGUGACAUGUGUCAAGUUUAUAUCCAUUUAUUGUUUAGCUUUAAAAUUAGCAUAAAAUCAGCCUAUUUCCCUUCAUAUGGCUGGCCAAAACAAGAAGUGAAGAGGAAAGGAAAGAACACAAACCCUAGGUGGGAAAAUUGAAGAAAAAGUGUGGGAUUUCAAGGGAUUAAGCUAAUAAAGGUAAAAUUUUAUGAUUUUAUCUUAUGAUUUACACUACCCAUGCUUUCUUUUUUCAUUUUCCAUUCUUAAAACUCAAGUUUUCAUGAUGAACCCAUGCUGGCCGAAUUUGAGAGGAAAGGUUUUGAGCAUUGAUUUUGCUAGAUUUCAAGCUAAUUAAGUGUUUUUGGUUGUUUGGUAAUGGAAAGUAUAAAAAUCUAGCAAGGAAUCACUUUGUUCUUCACAAACCCACAAGAGGCCGAAUUUUCUAGGGAGGAUAUUGAGGCUGAAAUUGAUGAUAUUUCAUGAUAUUUUGGUGAUAUUUAAUGAUUGGUGAGGCUAGAAAUUUAAUAGGAAAUUUUGGCAUGAAAAUCUGAAUUUUUACCUAAUGUAUAGACAUGUGCAAUUUAUGGUUCAGACUGAUAUAUUGAAUCAUAUUCACAUUCAUUGAGGUAUUUUAAGUAUAAUUGGAGUGUAGAAAGUGAAAGAAAUCAAUUUGGAGUUAAAUUGAAGAUUUUAGCCAAUUACACCGAGAAUAGUACGAAUUAGAUCAAAUAUCGUAUUUAAACGGCUAUUCGGACAUUUUGCAUCACAUUUCGUGCAUUCAUAUAGAUUUAUAGAGCCUAAAAUAGUUUAUGAUAGAUUGAUACAAUUUAUUGAAAUUCGUGUCACGUAUGAUGUAUAAGUGGUGAGCCCUCUAACAAGGGUAAAGAGUUAGUGCCCGAAGACCAGGAAUAUGAGUAUAUCGAACUCCUAGAACUGUGAGUAACCUUAUCAUCAUUUUAAUUAUCUAAAGUGGUAUUUUUAUUCGAUUUUGUGAAUUUUAUGGAUAAUGAAUUAAAUGAUUAAUUUUUUGAUUUUAUAAAUAAAAUGUGAUUUAAUGAAAUGAUUUCAUAAAAUUGUCUUGAAAUUGAAAGAUGGCUUUGAAAAUAGAGUAACUGGAGACCACUUGAUGUGUUGUAAUUUAUGGUUUUAAUUGAUGGGUUAUGAUUAUGUGUUGGCAUGACUAGUUGGGAUUGUGGUUUGUGAACUGUAUGAAUUGUUCUGUUUUACAUCUACAGGUUGGGUAGUAUAAUAUUAGUUAUGUCAUGCUAUCAAAAUUUUAUUGUAUGGUGGGUUUAGCUUGCUACAAUGGGCGGGUUUUGUGGACCAACCUAUUAGAGGGGCACGAAAUCCGGUUAUAUAUGUACCUUGGUUGGAGAGGCGCGUAGGGUAUAUCCUGAGGUAUGGUUAGAGUUCACGUCACCCCGAACCAUCUCGUGAUGAUGAACUCCGCUAACGCCAAGGAACGACUGUGUUUUCCAAACUAAAAAUAUGUUUAUGUGUAUACAAAACUUUUUAAUAGCCUUGGCAGACUCGGUUAAAUGCCUCAGCCAAGGUAUUCUCGAGAAUGAUUUUGGCAGGAGCCAAGCUUUUAAGAUACUCAUAAGCCAUGUUGAUUAGUUAAAUGAAAUGAAUAUUUAUGUUAUGAAAUACAUAUUGAGAUAGAAUAUUUUAAUCGUCUCAUUUUACUCAACUUUAGAUAUUUUGAAUGGUGUUUGUUUACUCACUAGGAUUUCAUAAUCUCACCACCCUUAUUUCCACCCAUUUUAGGCUCAAUAUAGGCUGUAGAUAGCUGAUAUCGUCGAAGGCUAUAGUCGGCUUUACUACUCCAAAAACUGUAGGUUUAUUACCUUUGUACACUUUUGUUCCUUGUGGGCCCACGAGUCACUGUAAAGUAAAUUUCAUAUCCUGGUUAUCUGUAUUAUAGUACGUAUGAAUUUAUUUAGCUUUUACAUUACAAAAAUUAUUUACCGAUGACUCUAUAAAUAUUGCUUUACAAGAAAUUAUAAUAUUUUAUUGAAUAUUUUUAUUUUAUUUAAAUAGUUGCAAUAUCAUUUUUAAUAAAUGUUUUAGACACCCAAAUUUAUUUUAAAUCAUGAAAUAUGUGUUUUUCACUCAUUUACUACAUCUUUAGUCGAGUUCAGAAAAUUUUGAGAAAAAAUGACGAAAACGCCCCUGUGAGGCGAAAAUUAUUUUUCCACGGUUUUGAAAGGGAAAAAGCUUAAAAUUCUUUAAAAACGAGGUUUGGUGAUGAUUACUCAUAGGGGAGAUGAAAAAAAAAUGGUACCAAAGCCUUGUGGGGUUCCGGUUAGCACUCUAAGUAACGAAUGUUUACCGAGACAUCGCAACGGUUGUCACAGGCUUGAGGGGAGUACCGGGUCGUGAUAGUUUUAGACAUCUAAACUUAUUUUUGACUAUGAAAUAUGUGUUUUCCACUUGGAUACUAUUUUUUUAGCCGGUUUCGAGAUUUUUAAGGAAAAAUGACCAAAAUGCCCCUAUGAGAAAAAAUUAUUUUUCUAUUGUUUUGAUUUGGAAAUAGUUUGUAGUUCUCAAAACAUGAUACUUAAGAACUGUUGCUCACAAGGGAGAUGCGAAAAUUGAUAUUAAAGCCUUACGAGGUUUCGGUUGGCGUUCCGAGCAAUGAAUGUCUAUCGGGACGUCGCGACGGUUGUCACGGACUCGAGGAGAGUACCGGGUCAUGACAAUUACAUUGGUAUCAGAGCUUUUUGGUUUAAAAAUCAGAGCACAGAGUUUGUGGUUUUAAAGUUAAGUUAAAAAUUUACAAUGUCAGUGUGGCCUCAAGUUAAGUCAAGUUGAACAGAAUGCAUGCACCUACAUAUAAAAACCUACCUGUUCUUGUGAUGCAUAUAGAAUUAAGAAAUUACUGCUUGAUUGCGUAUAGGUUUUGAGGUGCGUUGGUUGCACACACUAUGUCUACGAGAGACGGUAGUCCCGAUGCCUCUCAUAGUAUUAGCGAGAGAUCGCUAGAUUCUUCUACUAGGAGCCAAUGGCAACCCGAACCAAGUAGUCCAGAAAGUGCUGAUAGUAAUGACAUUAAUGUAAGCAUGAGAAAUUCUCUUUUUAAAGAAUCUAGGGAAUACGCUAAAGAAAGGGGAAAAAUAAUGAUAGUCGAAGGAGAUUAUCAUCCUAGGAAGGUACCUGUACCCAUUGUUUGACACUUUCUUCCAAGCUGUGGGAUAAAUGUAAAGGAACAACAGGAAAAGAAUAAGGAGAAAGUAACUCUUGCAAGUUAUCUCCGUAGGAAAGUGAACGUUGUACGACAUUUUCCUCCUGGAUGUGGAAUAGGUGCUGCACCUGUGAGUGACGAAGAAUGCAGGAGAAUACAGCAAGCUUGGAUUGAGGAACAAAGGAGAAAAUCUCAGGAGGAAGAGGAGGAUCCUGAAGAGGAUCCUAAAAGAUACUUAAUACCUUUGUUGAAGUUUGUACCACCUUAAAUCUAGGCAAGUGUUGUUUAAGAGAAAAUGUAAUAGUUAUCUGUGCAAAAAAGUUAAUAGUUUGGCUUUUAAAGUGUAUGACUAUAAUGUAUUAUAAAGUAGCUGUUUAAGUGGCUGAAGGUAUAUGGGAAUCUUUUGGUAGGACAAAAGUGGAUUAACAUUAUGGCUAUUAAGGAAAGAUAUUUAUCUUAGUAGCAAGGUUGAUCAUCUUAGAUAAUUAUUGAAGACUAAUGUGGAAAAUCAUUAAUGAUUCAAGCAAUUACCCUAAUUAACAAUGAAUAUAUUUUGCAGUACUAAGAAAUGGAUACCGAUUAACAUGAUGAACUUUUGGAGUGAUAACCCUAGAUUUUGAUGAGGCAUAAAAGACCAUUUGAAUUGAUGAUGCUUGUUGGAAAUUAUUACUUAUCGUAGUAUGUGAGUUUUGAUAUGAUUCUGAAUGCAAAGCUAAAUAAAUAAAAUUAUGGUUUAUGAGACAAAUUGUAUCAGAGAAGAUGAUUCCCGAGCAAACACAUUAAACUAGGGGACUAUGUUAUAAUAAGCGGGUUCAGUGUGUUGUAAUUGCACAGGAUGUUGGGAGACAGUGUGGUAAGACUAACAAUUAAUCAUGGAGAUGUGAAAUUGGGAAUCUUAAUUGUAGUUAUAAUUCGAAAGGAUAUGGAAGAAAUCAAUGAGGCUUUAGAUGACAUUUUGAGUGAUUAAUGUUAUAAAGUCAAAGAUUGUAAACUUGAGGGUGAAGGAAGUAUAAAAUGAUGCCAUAACAUUAUAGGAAGAUAAUCUAAUACAAAUAUGGUCCAUUAGAGAUAAAUGAAGGAACUUGAAAAAGAUAAAUUUUUUAUUAAUAAGGAUUGUGAGUGUAAGUGUAGUGAAAGAUGAACUAUUUUUGUGGUCUUUGUAAUGGAAGUAAAUAAACUAUUGGAGUUAUAAGACAAGGAAGAUGAUUAAUAAUGGAUAAUGAAAAUAGUGGGAUACCAUAAAUAAUAAGUAAUUAUGUGUGUGAUGUGUAUAUAUUGUGAAUUCAUUACACCAUAUAGGAAAGAUGUCCUAAGGUGGGACUUGAAAUAUGUGGAUUUUUGGAUAUGCUCUAGGAAGGAACUUCUACAUCCUAAAUUCGAGAUAUCUUGAUCUUAUAACUGCAAGGACGAGAUGUAAUAAUUAAGUGAAUUAUCCACUUUAUAAAUAUAAUUGGUUAAGAACCCUUUAUGGCUAGAAAGCGUGAGCAAAUUGGGAAUGGCAUGAAGAUGAAACUCACGAGUUGAAGAAUGGUCAUUGGUUUUGAUGCUAAGCUUUAUUGUUUGGAGUCUUAAGUGCAUUGGGGAGGUAUUAAGAUAAAGAUGAUGAGUGAAAUUGUAGAGUUUCUUUAUUGCCUUAUAUAUUGGCAUGUAAGAGAAAGAAAAGUUAGAGAGUUUUUGAGAUGGCUUCAUAAAAAUAAAUUAACAUGUGGAGUGUUAAGAUGAAUAAUAUAUUGAUUGAAGUCAAAUCUUAAGAAAUAAAGAAGAUAAGAGAUUAAGCCUUGUUAAAGACUAAAGAGAAAGCGAGUGAAAAGUUAGAUGAAUGUAUGAGAUAUUGAUAAGAGAUGUCAAUACCAAGUGAUGAAAGUGUGAAUAAAGAUUUCAAUAAUGAUAUAGCAAAUGAGUUUAUAUAGAAUAUUGUUAUGAGAAUUUACAAAUCUUGUCUUGACUAUGUUGAAAGGAAAGGAUUAGUGAUAACACAAGUAAACUAUGUGGUAUGCUAGAAACCCUUGGAGAUAAAUUGAAGCAUGAGUAGUUGGGCAUGCCUUUAUGGAAAUGAUAUGCUUGGAGUAUGAAAGAGCAAAUAAGUAAUUAAGUGUUUCAAGAAUGUUGAAAUGCCUUUGAAAAAAAGAAUUAUAAGUUAUACGUGAUGAGUAUAAGAUGUGUGAUUUUGAAACUUGCUAAGGAGCCCAACGGCUAAGUCACGAGUUAAGUAAUCACCUGCUGUGAGACAUAAGUAUAAGAUAGAUAUCCCCAAGGAAAUACUUCAAGAUAAUUUCUGCAAUGGAUCUAGUGAAAGCAAACAUUAAGUUAUAUGAUCAUAAAAGGGAAGCCAUAAGCUGAGAGUGAUAUUUGUAUUGACAUUGAAAAAUACUUGAGGAGAAUCUAGUUUCAAGUCCUGUAAUUUUAAGUACAAUUUGUAAAUUGGUUAAGGAAGAAUGAUGUUAUAUUCGUGUGAAAGAGUGGAACAAAGGAUGAUAGAAGUUGACCUUGAUAAUGAAGUCGGGAAUGAAACUUUCCUAAUAUAUUAUGAAAAUUGGAAUUCAAAAAUGCUUGAGGCAUACAUGAUUCAAAUGAGUCUGAGUUUUAAGUGACAAAUCAAUAUCGGAAUGCAAGAAGGAUACAAGGUAAUGUAGAGGCAUGAAGGAUUAUCGAGGAAAAAGGAUGACUCUUAGGAAUUGUGGUGUUGUAUAAGAUGCAAUGAUCAAGUUAAGAUAAAUCUUUGAGGCAUCAAUGGGAUUAUAAAGCAUACACGCAUAAUAGAUUAUAAUUCAAUGGAGAUGACUAUCACGACCCAAAUUUCGGGCCAUGACCGGCACAUGGACCCAAUGGACGUAGUCCACUAAGCCCAAGCAAGCCUAUUCAUCUGACAUGUUCAUCAUUUUACCAAAACUACUAAGUCUCAUUUCAUAACUUUGAAUCAAAAUAGUGAUAGACAUUGCCAACUCAUACUGGCAUUACUCAUUUAAAAUAUACAUACAUUGUCUACAACAUGUAUUCUAAUAAUUUACAUUAAGUUGUCUAUACAUAUCAAAAGGAGACUUGAUGUCCAACAGAGAAACUCAACGAAUGUACUGCUACUGAAUGUCGAGGCACCUACCAAAAGAUGGAUACAAGUCUACAAGGACAACUCGUCCUAGUUACCGAUUGUCUCGUGUUUUGAAAACAUGAAGUUGAAAACGGUGAGUAUAAACCCAGUGAGUGAACAAGGAAGGGAACAAGCAACAACAAGGGAGAAUUUAAAAUCAUGAUGCACUUGUUUCAAAACAAUGCAAUUUAGUUCCAUUCAUAUUAAAAACCCCUCAUCAAGCCCUUAAAUGAUUAAUCAUUUGAAAAUCAUGAACCCAUACAUAAUGAACCAUUUGAAAAAUGAAAGCUUCAAUGAUACGCAAGCAAGUCAAAUACGACAACGAAUCUUCGCUGCAGCGGAAAGGCAUUCUCGCUGCAGCACCUUUCCGUUGCAGCGACGUUGGGAUUAAGUUAUUAGCCGAACGAGGGUUUCUCAACUGGCCAAGGGUUUCCCCCUAAAUCUCCUCAAUUUAAACUUAACUCAUUUAAUCCUUAAUGUUGGAAGUCCAUGCUCAGAUAUGGUAGCAAAGAAGCAAAAAAUAGGGCAACAAAUGGACAAGAAAGGAGACAAAAACAAAAAGUUUUUUGCUGCAGCGAGAUUUUGGUCAUAAAAUAAAAAGUUUCUUGCUGCAGCAAAAUUGUGACUCAGAAACAGAAAAUUUUUUGCUGCAGCGAGAAUGAAUUUCACUACAACUAGAAGCUACAGUGUCAUUCUCGCUGUAGUGAAAAUGCAUCCUCGUUGUAGCGAGUUUCCGGCCAGUCUACUCUUCCAAAACCAAAGAGUUUCUCGUUGCAGCGAGAAUCAAAACAUCAAGAAAAAGGUCUCCUUUUCCCUUAAAAUAAAGUCAUCCUGCUAAAUAACAAAAGCAACAUAUAACACCUGCAAACUCCUAAAUUUCAACAAAUCAAAUGUUCACAUUUUCGCAUUUACAACCAUAUACCAUAUAUGUAUAUAUAUAUAUAUAUAUAUCAUCUUGUACACCCUCCCAUUAUCAUCAUCUCAUAUGCAACGGCUUAUGCACACUCCCACUUGCACAUAGCCGUGUCAGCAACGGCUUAUGUGCACUCCUACUCGCACAUAGCCGGGUCCACAUCAACAUACAAAUAAGCACCCAAUGCAUAUCAUGCAUAUUAUCAUAUUUUGAUAACACAUAAUCCAUUGUAUAUCACAAUUUCACAAUAUAAAAUCACUUCACCAAAGGCUUGUUCCCAAGAUACAUUUUCAAAGACAAGUUGGAUAAAAUCAUUCAUAUUCCCCAAAACAAGUUUGAAAUGCAAGUCCACUUACUAGUAUAUUGUUGAGCCUUUCAUUGACUCUAAUUUCCCCUAAUUGUCCAAAUGGGAUGAUGGGGCUUCCUUGGAACCUACCAUCACAUUAAUAUCACUAUUAUGUUAAUUCACAUACUAUAAACCUUAAAAGCUAUCUCUUAGCUAACUUUCACUUGCCACUUCAAAUGGCUAUCUAUGUUCACUAUCUAAAUCACUAUAAAAUGAAUGAACAUCCUUAACAAUAAAACAGCUCAUAAUCUAAAUUUCUAGCCAUUAUCCACAGCUAAAAACCAAGUUUAGUUCAUCACUCACCCUAAGGUUCCGUUGUAGUGGAAUUAUCUUCCAAUAGCUUCCACACCAAUGGGGUAAUUCUUUCUUUCUCUCUCUAAAAUGCCCAACUAGUGAGAGAAAGUAUAAAAAUAAAACUUUUCAAAAGUUUUAAGGAGAGAGAGUGGAAGAAUAUAAGGGUUCUAGUCAUAAGGGCACAAAGGUAUGAAAACUAGAGCUAGAGAGAGAAAAUCAUGCAAGUUCUACAUCAAGCUUCCAUGGAGGUUAGAAGCAAUGUGAGAUGGAAGAAUAAGAAGAGGACAAGCUGCUGGAAUAUGGGAGAAGAAGUUGUUGGAAGAAAGAUAUUUAUAGCCAAUCUUAUCCAUUCCCUUGAAAUUACCAAAUUGCCCCUCCACAAAUUAGCUUAUUCUUCUCUAAUCUUUUAUGCAAUCUUUGUGCUCUUUUGAGACUGGGACAAGGUCCAUAAUUGUCUUGACAUGCUGGGGUUCAUGAAAACUUAAAAUUUUAGCCCGAGGUGAAAAAUGACCAUUUUACCCAUACCGUGAAAAUCAUCAAAAUCUUGGUUUUCUUUCCAUUUUACCCCUAAUUUCACCAUCCAUUUAUAUCUUAGGCCUACUUAGGCCAUAAUAUUGUUUUAAACUUACUUUUAUGGGUUUGGUAAGGAAAUGACGAAAUUACCCCUGAUUAGGGAUAUCGCGUAUACUUCCCUUUACGAGUCUAUAAGGGUCAAGGUCUCACAAUGACAUUGUGAUGCAAUGAUAUAUAGUACAAGAAAACUAAGUAUAUAAUUGGAAAUGAUAAGAAGAUAGUAUAAGUAUGUAAAUAAUGUAGAGCUAUGCACAAGCAUAAUGAGAAUUUGUAUGAAUUAUGAAGAUUAUUCUAUUGAAUCCUGGUUAUGGAUGGGAAUGAACAGAGAGAAAUUAGUCUGAAGGCAUUUGAAAACAAAGACCUGUAUACAUAAUAAGGAAUAUGGACAUUUGAAUGUGCGUGUAUACGUAUGUGUGGAGUUAGUGAUGUACCCAAUUGAAAUGAAGAAUGGUUUUAGUGGUUCGAGAUUUGAACUCAAUAUAUUUGAUGAGUUGUAUAGAUAAUGUAACAAUAAAGAAUCUUAUCAGAAGUCGAUUUAUGGCGACCUAAGGAAUUUUGGGGAAAUAGUUAAGGAAAUGUAAUCUAUAGUGCGAUUAAGCCAUAUGAGAUGGAUUAAUAGGAUUAAGAAGAUUGAAAUUUCCUAAAUGCGAGGUAAACAUGAAGUAUGUGAAAAUAAUUGAAGCCAUUAAUCUUCCCUAACAUUGAGGAUAUAUACAGGAAUGAGUAUGGCAUGUUAAUGAUGCCGUAAACUACACAAUAGUGUAUAAGGAUAGGAUGAAUGAAUGAAAGUCGAGAAGUUCGAUAUGGAAUGAUGUAAUAAGAUAGUGAUUGGUAUACCUAAAUAAGUAUAAAAUGCGAUCGAAAUUAGUAUGAUUGAGAUAAAGUUAUGAUUCAAGUUUAAUGAUAGUAAUAGAAGCAUGCUUGGUGUCUCGAUAUAAGAUAUCAUAAUUGUGAAGGUUACUGUUGAUCUAAUUUUAAAGGAUAAUAAUAGACAUAAGUGAAGUACUCGAGUUGAAUUGGAGGUAAAUGAGGUGAACAAAUCAAAAUUCCCUAUAAAGGGGAGGACAUAAGAAGUCGAGCAUUAGAGGAGAAAACAAUACCCUCACAUUUUCUCUAAGUUCAGUAAAUGAAAUUUUGAGGUCAAAAUUUUAUUUUAAGGGGGGUAGUGCUGUCAAGCUUGACUCUAAAAUAUGUUUAUUAUGCCAUUCCUACAUAAGAAUGAAUGUUUGCUUACUUAGGUACCUCGAAAAUUGUUAAAGGACGGUAAUGUACCAAAUGGUACAAUUAAGUUGAAUUAAGCCUCGAACUAGUCCAAGUAAAGAUUUUAAGAUGAAAUUGAGAAUUUUAAAACCCCAGAAUGACUUAAAAUGGUGAUUCGAAGUUCGAGGACCGAUUUGGAGUCAAAUUGAAAUUUUCAUGACCUAGGGGCAAAAUGGUCAUUUUGCCCCCCGAGGUUAAAAUUGGAAUGUUGAAUGAAGUUUUUGAUCAAGAUUGACUAUCUAGAACAUAAUUUGAGUUUGAGAAGUGAAAAAUUUUAAUUUUGACAUUUUUUCGAGCAUAAGGGUAAAAUGGUCAUUUUGCCGUCCAUGGGCAAAAUUAUAAUUUUACACCACCCAACACUUGUCCAGCACAUGAAUUUUAGCCAAUAUUAUCAUGGAUAAUUGAGGAAAUUUAAAUGGUGGAGAGAGAUUGCUUAAUGGGUAAAUAUGACACAUGGACCAAUGGAAUGGUGACACAUGGCAAAUUUUUGUCCAUUUAAUAUUUUCCUUUAUAAAGCCAAUUUGAACUCUUCCACAUUCAUUCUUAUGGCCGGCCAAAGCAAGAAUAAAGGAAGAAAAGAAAGAACAAAAACCCUAGAGUGAAAAUUCAAGAGAAAAUUGGUGGAUUUCAAGUAAUCAAGCAAUCAAAGGUAAAAUUUCUUAAUUUUGACUUGUGAUCUACCUUUCCCAUACAUUCUUUUGCAUUUUCCAUGGUUGAAUCACAUGAUUUCAUGAUGGGUCUCUUGCUGGCCGAACACUUAGAGAGAGAGAUUUUGAUGGUUGUUUUGGUUAAAUUUAAAGAUAUUCUAGUGUUUUUAGUUGAUUGGUGAUGUGUAGUAUGAAAAUCAAGCAAGAAAAAUUCAUGUUCUUCCAUAACCCGUCAUUGGCCGAAUUCUCCAUGUGGAAUAUUGAUGAUGAUUUUGAUUUUAUUUCAAGUGAUUUGAUUAGGAAUUAAUGAUUUAUGGUGUGAGAAUCAAGCUUGAAAAAUUAUAUUGUUAGUGAACCCUCCAUGGCCGAAUUUCCAAGAGAAAAUGUGAGGAUGAUUUUGCCAUAUUUCAAGUUAUUUAAUUUGUGUUUGAUGAUUUGGAGUGUUGGGAGAAAAAUGAAAUUAUUUGGAGUUAAAUUGGAUAUAUUGGCCAAUUAAUCGGUUGAUAGAUCAAAUUAGGCCAAUACCAUUUUAUUUAGGUACAUAAUUGAAUUUAUAUUGAACACCGUAUUUAGAUAGUUACCAGAGUAUUUCACAUCCCAUUUCAUGCAUUAGUAUAAAGCCUGAAUUGGAUUUACAAUGGUUUAGCACAAAUGUAGUAAAUGGUUUAUUGCGCAUUAUGUCUAGGUGGUGAGCUUUCUGGCAAAAAUAAAGAGAUAGUACCUGAGGAUCAAUAAUCGGAGUACUCAGAAUUCGACUCCCGAAAUAAUGAGUAACCUUACUAUCGUCUUAAUUAUCUAAAGUAGUUUUUAUUCGUUUUUGUGAAUUGAUAGAAAAAUGAGUUUAAAUGGUAAAUCUUUAUGUUUUAUAAGCAAAAUGUGAUUAAAUGAAAUGAUUUUAUAAAAUUAUCUUGAAAUUGAAAGAUGGUUUUGAAAAUGGAGUAAUUAGAGACUAAUUGCUGUGUUAUAAAUCAUGGUUUGAAUUGAAUGGCUUAUGAUAAUAUUGGCCUGAAUGGUUGAAUUGGUAAAUGUGCUAAAAAUGUAUGAACUGUUCAUUUGCCUUGAGAGGCUGUAAAAUAAAAUAAUUGCCAUGUCAUGCUAUCUCAAAUUUUAUUGUAUGGUGGGUUUAGCUUGCUGCAGUGGACGGGUUCUAUGGACCAGCCUUUUUGAGGGGCACAGAAUCCUGUUAUAUAUAUCUUACCUCAAUUAGGGAGGUGCGUAGGGUAACUCCCGAGGUACAACUUUAGAGUUCACUUCACGCCAAACCACCACGUGAGGUGAACUCAGCCAACGCCAAGGAACGGCUAUGUUUUUUUUAAAAAAAACAUGAUUUAUGCGUACAUGACUUUUUAAUAGCCUUGGCGGACUCGGUUGGGAUAGCCCUAGGCCAAGGUAUCCCUGAUAAUUGAGUAUGAGAAUGAUUUUGGCACGAGCCAAACUUUUCAGGAAAUCAUAAGCCUCGUUGUUUAUUUUGAGUGAAAUGAAUCUAUUUUAUCUUAUUAAAUUGAGUUCGAAAUGAUGUGAAUCAUUUUUAUGUUAAACUAUUUUAUCUGUCUCCAUUUACUCAGCUUUAGAUAUUUUAGAUGGUAUUUGUUUACUCACUGAGAUUAUAUAAUCUCAUCACCCUCCUUUCCACCCAUUUCAAGCUCAAGAUAGUCAGUAGAUAUCUCAUUUCGUUGAGGGCUACAGUUGGACCUGCAUCCUCAAAAACUGUAGGUUUACCGCUUUUGAUACUUUUGGUCGUUCGUGGGCUCACGUAUCACUGUAAAUUAAAUCUUAUGCUUUGGUUAUCUGUAUUACAGUAUGUAUGAAUUUAUUUAGCUUUUAUGCUACAAAAAUUAUUUACCAGUAACUCUCUAAAUAUUGUUUUAUAAAAAAAUAGAAUAUUUUAUUAAAUAUUUUUAUUAUAUUCAAAUAGUUAUAGUUUCGCUUUAAAUGAGUGUUUUAGACAUCUAAACUUAUUUUUUAUUAUGAAAUAUGUGUUUUCCACUCGCAUACUACAUUUUUAGCUGGUUUCGAGAUUUUUAAGGACAAAUGACCAAAAUGCCCCUGCGAGAAAAAAAUUAUUUUUCUAUUGUUUUGAUUUGGAAAUAGUUUAAUAGUCUCUCAAAACAUGAUACGUAACAACUGUUGCUCAUAGGGGAGGUGUGAAAACUGAUAUUAAAGCCUUGCGAGGUUCCGGUUGGCAUUCCAAGCAAUGAAUGUCUAUCGAGACGUCAUGACGGUUGUCACGGGCUCGAGGGGAGUACCGGGUCGUGACACUAUCAAUGGUGGAGAAUAUAAAAAAUUAACCUUUUACCUUGGAGCUUAUGGUAUUUCUCAUCUUACCACUAUACCUCGCACACUAGAGCAUAAUGGAACUAUGAAGUGAAGACAUUGGCACAUUGCUGAAACCAGCCUGACAUUCUUACAUCAAGCUUCAAUGCCAUUGUCUUUUUAGAAUCAUCUAUUUCAAACUGUUGUUUAUUUAAAAAAUCUAAUUUCUAUACCAAUUAUAGAAAACAAAUCUCUUUUUGAAAGUUUGUUUAUGAAAGUUUGUUUAAUUCUUAACCAAAUUAUAUCAAGCAUGGAGUUUUUGGUUGCCUUUGUUACCCUUAGAUUAAACCAUACAAUAACCAUAAACUCUAACCAAAAUCUAAACAAUGUGUCUUUUUGGUUACUCUAUCACACAAAGUGCUUACAAGUGUUAUGAUCUAAAACUAAAAAAAAUUUUAUUUCUUGGCAUUUUCAAUUUCAAGAAUCAAUUUUUCCUUUUUCUUCAAUCCAUCAAAAUAAUAUUUUAAGCCCUUUUUUACAAAAAUAUACUUUACCUUCUAGUUUAUUUCAAGCACUUGAAUUUCAUGGCUCAAUACUUGUAAACCUAGAAAAUGGGACAAGUGUUUCUUCAACUCAACAAUUUGAUACUCAGAUUAUUAAUCCAACUUCUGUUGUCUUAAAUUCUUCUUCGGGAAAUGAUCUUGGAAUGAAUUUUGCUCGAGACAUGGUUUACCCUUCUGAUGCACAACCACAUUAACCUGUGAUAAGAACACAUCCAAUGACCACACGAUCCCAGAACAAUAUUUUUUAAGCCUAAAAAAGCCUUUGACACCACUAAACAUCUCUUACCUCUUUCACAUGAAUCUACUUGUGUUUGUUAAGUUGUAACUGAUCGCAAUUGGAGGAAUGUUGUGACAAAAGAGCUUAAUGCUCUAGUCAGAAACCAUACAUGGGAGCUUGUUCCAUCCAACAAAUGGAUUUUUUGGAUCAAAAGAAAAUUAGAUGUCACCAUUGAAAAAUAUAAAGCUAAAUUAGUUGUCAAGGGAUUCCAUCAAUGAGCAGGAAUUGAUUAUAAGGACACGUUUAGUCCUGUCAUAAAACCAACUAUAAUCAGAGUAGUGCUUUGCAUUACGUUAGCUCAUCGCUGGCCUAUUCAACAAUUGCAUGUUAAUAAUGCCUUUUGUAGUACCCCGUAUUUUGAUACGGUGGCUAAUAAAGUUUACAAAUGCCAAUUGAGGUUAAUUAUUGAGUUAAAAAGGAUAAUUCAGAAGUGAACCUGUGAAAUCUCGAUCUCCAUAGACACAUAACUAGAAGUAGACGCAAAGAUGCGAACCAUGGGUAAUUUCGUAAUUUCACUUUGUGAGCUCUUACGAGUGGGUUUUUGUUUUAUGCUAUUAGGGUCUAAAUAGGCCUAAAGAAUGAAUGAAUGAUGUUUAUGAUGGUAAAAUAAGUGAAGAAGAUAAAAAUAAUGAUAAUUUCCACGGUAGGAGCAAAAUGGUCAUUUUUCAUCUCGGAUCAAAAUUUUUACGUUUUCAUGAACUCGAGUAUUUUUAGACUAUUAUGGACUUUGUUUUGGUGUCAAAAGAGUAAAAAGGUUGCACAAAGGAUGGGAGGAAGACAAAGCCACCAUGUUAAGGGCAUUUUGAUAAUUUCAAUGGAAAUUUGGAUUAACUUGAAGCAUAAAUAUCUAAGCUUCAGCAACUUCCAACAGUUUCUCCUUCUUCAUCCCAGCCCUUCUCUUCAUUUCACGUUUUCUUCAUUCUCCAUGGGAGGAAAACCUUGAAUCCUCCAUAAAUCUCUCAUCGAAAGUCCAAAUUUCAUGCUUUUGACCACUCAUUCAUAGGGUUUUUCAUGCUCUUCCACUUUUACACCUCAAUGGCUUUCAAAAGUCUUUGUUCAUCACUUUCUCUCACUAGUUGGAAGUUUUAGAGAGAGAAAGAGAGACUUGCCAUAGUAGCUUGAAAACUCUUGAAAAGGAGUUCAACUAAAAGUCCACCAAGGUGAGUAAUGAAUUAGAUUUAAUUUUCAAGUUGUUGAUAAUGGUUGAUGAUUAGAUUGGCGAGUUAAUCUAUUGUUGAGAUUGUUAAUCAUUUUUAGAGUGACUAGAGUAGAGUAAACAAAUAGCCACUUAAUGGUAAUUGGGAGCCAGUUACGAAUAACUAGCUGAACUUGAAUUAGGAAAUAGCUUUUGAGAGUGUAUUAAUGCCAAUUUGGGUUAGUUGUGAUGUUGUGUGUGUAUAGGUUCCAACAAGGCCUCACAUGUCCAUUUGGAGUAUUAGUUAAGGUUAAAGUCAUGCAAAAGAAUCAACAAAACCGGUGAGUGAACUUGCAUUUCAAAAUUGUUUUGGGAAAAAUAAUUAUAUUUUUACGAAACAUUUGAAUGAUUUAUUCCAACUUUUUUUUAAAAAUGUGUGCCGGAGAACAAGCCCUUGAUAAAAUGUUUUGAUGUUGUGAAAAUGUGAAAUGUGUAAAAGAACGAACCUAUGUGCUCUUAUAUUAUGUUGGUAUAUACAUAUAUAUCUGAAUAUAUGUUGUGCAUUGAUGAAUAAUGUUGUGUAAUGAUAUUGACCCGGCUAUGUGUGAGUAGGAGUGCGCAUAAGCCGAUGAUAACUCGGCUAUGUGAGAGUGAGAGUCCGCAUAAGCCGAUGAUGACCUGGCUAUGUGCGAGUAGGAGUACGCAUAAGCCGAUGAUGACCUAGCCAUGUGCUAGUGGGGAGUGCAUAUGAGCUGAUGAUGAUAGGAGGGUGUGCAUGAUGAUGGAUAUAUAUAUAUAUAUAUACAUACACAGAUAUGUGUGUUAUAGAAAGUUUAUGAAAAUAAUUGUGAUUGUGUUGUGUGUUGGCCUUGUUAAUUGCUCCCAAAAUUACUUUUCAUUUCAACAAGAAAAGGGCUUUUGAUUUAACAAGACCCUUUUCACUCAAAAUGCUCUGUUUCUCGCUGCAGCGAGAUUCAUUUUCGCUGCAGCGAGAAACUCUCGGGUUUUGGGGGUCACACUGGCCUGAUUCUCGCUGCAGCGAGAAUAAAUCUCGCUGCAAUGAGAAACUCUCAGGUUUUGGUGCAGUGCUUUUCACUUCGAUGAAGAUUUUGACCACCUUCCCUUCUGAACUGGGAAAAGUGGUAAACAUAAGCAUUGUAUCCCUGCCUCUUAGCUUUCUAAUGGUUCAAAAAUCAGGUCAUUGGACUUCUGUAGUGGGAGAUAUAAUAGAAAAACUGAAUAUAUGCAAACUAAGACUGUUUCUCGCUGCAACGAGAAACUUGUUGCCAUGUUUGCUACCUUCCUUGAUUUUGACAUAUUUUUCACCCAUUUAACUUUACGGAUUGAUCAUGGGUUCUUGUAACACUUUGGGGUUAUUAAUCAAGGUUGAAAUGAGGGGUUUUUAGUAAGAAAUUAAAUCAAUUGCAUUGUUUUUGAAACAAGUGCAUCAUGAUUUUCAAAUUCUUUUUAUCGAUUGCUUGUUCCCUUCUUAUGUUAACUCACUGAGUUUUAUACUCACGUUUUUAAACUUCAUGUUUUCAGAUUUGGAGGCAAUUGGGACCUAGAUUGAGUUGUCCACGUAUGCUCGCCUUUUUGGUAGGUACUAUGGCAUCUCAAUAGCUGUACCUUCACCCACGGUCACUCCGUUGACGGUCAAGAUUCUUAUGGUUGUGAACAUGUAUAAGUAAUGAAGACCACUAAAAUUCAUGUUAAAAAAUCAAAUAUGUAUAUUUGAUUACUGAAGUGAUUGUAAGGUGGCAAAUGAGUGAUACUAUGUUAGUAUAAUACAAUUGUGAGAAUUAGGUUACUAUAAAAUGUUAUUGAAAUAUUUUUAGUUGAGGAUUACAAUAUGAGUUUGAGAAAUGAUGGCUUGGAAUGAUGAUUGGGAUUGCAUAAAUAGGCUUGCUUGGGCUUAGUGGGCUAUGCCCAUUGAGCCCAUGCGUUGGUCAUAACCUGAAAUUUUGGGCUGUGACACCUUUCUUCAAAGGACAUUCACUGAUGAGGUUUACAUGGCAUAACCUACAAGCUUUAUUGACAAGGAUAAUCCUUCUCAUGUUUGUAAGUUGAAAAAGGCUAUUUAUGGCCUUAAACAAGCUCCUCCGACUUGGUAUAAGGAGCUAAGUUCAUCUUUAGUUAGCUAUGGCUUCCAAAAUUUUACUCUAGAUGCCUUAUUUUUUAUCAAUGCCAAGGAUUCUAUUUUGAUUUAUUUCUUGGUUUAUGUUGAUGACUUACUAGUCACAUGGAACAAUUCUGUCACUAUGUUUGCUUUUCUCACUAGUAGAUUCUCUCUCAAAGAUCUUGGCAGACUUAAUGUCUUCUUGGUUGUUGAAGUGAUUUCUACAUCCAAUGGCAUGUUCUUGUCUCAACAUAAAUAUAUACAUGACAUUCUUCAUUCAUUUGAUAUGGCCACUGCGAAGGAAGUCAUAACACUUAUGGCAACUAAUGUUAAGUUAUGGUUAAAAGAUGGAUCUAGUGUAGUUAAUGAUUAUAAAAGGUUAAUUGAGUCCUUACAACAUCUUUCUAUCACUAGACUUGAUGUUGCUCAUGCUAUCAAUAAAUUAUCCUAGUUUAUGCACUCACCAAUUCAAAUUCAUUGGUCUAGUCUCAAGCGAGUUCUACAGUACUUAAAAGGCACUAUUUACCAUAGGUUAUUCUUGAGGAAACACUAUUUAAUGCAAAUUUCAACUUUUAAUGAUUCAAAUUGUGUAGGCAACUUAAAUGAUAGAUCAUUAACCAUUAUGUAUGUCAUUGAUCUUGGCAGCCACCUUAUUUUUUGGAAAUCUUCCAAACAACGAUCAGUUGCAAGAUCAUCAAUCGAGGCUGAAUACAGAGCAAUUGCCAAUACUACAGCAGUACUUCGAUGGAUCAAAAAUCUUUUUGUUAAGUUGCAUUUCUCAUCUUCUUAAACUCCAGUUCUGCAUUGUGACAAUGGUAGAGCAAUAUAUUUGAGUGCUAAUAUAGUAUUUCAUGCAAGAAUAAAUGACUUAGCACUUGACUAUCAUUUUAUUCAUCAAAAUGUUCCAUCUUGACAACUUGGCAGCCACCUUAUUUUUUGGAAAUCUUCCAAACAACGAUCAGUUGCAAGAUCAUCCAUCGAGGCUGAAUACAGAGCAAUUGCCAAUACUACAGCAGUACUUCGAUGGAUCAAAAAUCUUCUUGUUGAGUUGCAUUUCUCAUAUUUUCAAACUCCAGUUCUGCAUUGUGACAAUGUUAGAGCACCAUAUUUGAGUGCCAAUCCAAAAUUUCAUUCAACAAUAAAACACUUAGAACUUGACUAUCACUUUGUUCGUCAAAAUGUUCCAUCUGGACAACUCAACAUUUUUUACAUUUCAAUUGCUGAUCAACUUGCAGAUGGUUUCAUUAAGCUUUUAGCUUGAUCAAUAUUUUUAUUUCUUUAAUCCAAGAUAGGUGUCAUUAAUGGCUCCACCAUCUUGUAGGGGCAUGUAUGGAACAUUACCAAGUUAGCAACAAACUCUAAGUCAGCAACAGAAGUUAACUCCAAGUCAUUACCAACCUUUACAGAUUCUUUCCAUAUUACUAAAUCAACUUGAGUCACUAACUCAACCGAUACAAUUUUAUUCAAAUUGUAACAACAAUUUAAAUUUGUAUUUAAAUUAUAACAAUGUUUUGAACUUGUAUUUUGAAUAACUUGUACUUGUGUAUAUAUAUACACUUACGAAAAAUUAAUGAAGAUAGGUUGAUUUAAUAUCAAUGUCUGUCAAUAUUUAUAACUGCAUGAUGAAAGCGACCAAGAUUGUGUAAAGAUUAUGAAGAUUCAUGUAAAACUCUACCAGAGAAAACCAUAAAGCUUAUCAUUGUUGAUGUCAUUUUAGAGCCUGAUGGCAAUGGCAUAUUUGAUGACACAAGCAUGGUUUAUGAUGUAGUUAUGCUUGCACGCCCCUCUGGAAAGGAAAGGACUGAUCUUGAACAGAAGGAGAUAUUAGAGGAAGCAGGCUUUGCUUGGUACAAAAUCAUUAAAAUUCCAAGCUUGCAAUCCUUUCUUGAGGCUUAUCAAGAUUACUUAAUAUUUUUGAAUUAAAUAAAUUCUUUGUUAAACUUUAUUUGCUCCAAAGUUCUCAUAUUUUAUAUCAUUUUCUAUACAAAUAUUUUUUUGAAAUGAGAUGUUAAUGAUUGACUUAGUACAAUGAAAAUUUGAUUUGUUUUUAUUGUUUUAGAAAUAGUAAUGGUCACGUCUAUAUCAUGGAAGGACCUUCAUACAUCAAUGGGAGAAUGAGGAAGGCUUUAGUCGGUUAUUUAAAGGCUCUUAUAAAAGAAGAGUUGCAUUUUUUUUUGAAAGUGAUGUUUAUAUUAAUCAUCUUUACCAUUAUGUCAUUGUCAAGUUUUUCGCAUAAUCUGCAAAAGACUUUUUAUGACAUAGUAAGAUAAUAAGGGCUUUGAGAACCUAUACAAUUACAAAAGAAUGUUGCCACAAAAACUGAAGGCAACUCUAGUCAUCACUAACCUACACACUAGUAAUAUAGCAUCCUUAAAACAAAAAAUGGUCUUCCUAGUGAAUCAUCUACCCAUCCCCACCUGAGGAUUUGAUCACAAAAAUAAAAUAUCAAAGAAAAAUAGUCCGUUGCACACUGAGCCAUCAAGAAUGCCCGAAAGAGCCCAAGAUCCCCAUCCUAGGUAAACAAAUCCAAUCAUGUGGAUAACCCACUGAUAGCUAGUACAAUCAUUUUUUGUUUCACUUUUUAGGACAACAGCUAGUAUGAUGAUUAAAAAUGAUAUAAAAAUUCAAUUUUUAAUAAAAAAAAUAAAAUUCUAAUUAAAUUCAAUGUCGUUUAGAUUUUAAAUAUUGAUAAAGCAAUAAAGAUCAAAUGAAAAUAUCUAAAAAUAAUAAUAAUUAGUGUACAAAGAAUGUACAUUAUUCAAUAUCUUUAUUAUUACAGGCAAAAUCUUAUUAAGCUCAUCGUAUCCAAUAACCAUAUGUACAAUUAAGCUCAAAAUACCCUUAUACGUAUACGCUCCAAUCAAAAUCACAAAAAUUUUCUUCUUACUAUAAAUCAACUAGUUAAAAUUUAAAAGCUCCCAAAAUGUUUUUGUACAUCCUUUAAUGUUCCAAAACCUAAUUAAUUAAGAAACUAAAAUUAAAAACAAAAAGGUUGAAGGCCGUUUGUAAUUCAAAAUAAUUUAAUGAAGGAAAACUUUUUAUGUUUAAAACAUUUUAUAGAAAAAUUUAAUAUUUUUUAUUAUUUGAAUAAAUUAUCAACAUUUAAUAAAUUAUGAUAGAAGAUUGAAUAUAAUAAAAUAUUUUUGACAAUUUUUUCAAAUAAUAAAAAAAAUUAAAAUUUUCUAUAAAAUGUUUUAUAUGUAAAAAGUUUUCCUUCAUCAAUUAUGCUAGAUGUCAUGGACGACGCCCUUUCACUUAAGUAUGCGAUAGUCCAUGCGGCGUUCAAGUGGACGUUUCCACAAACCAACCAAUAACUCGAUUAUAUAUGAGCAAACAUCAAUAAUAGCCACUAGUUAGUUUAUGCAAAAGCAAUACCAAAAUCAUAGGGCAUAAAGAAUGUCAUAUACGCAACCACUGAUCCAUAUAAAGUAUGUUUUAUUAAUAUUGAAAGUAUAUUUAAAGGGACUAAGAGUACUAACGUGCCAUUGAAGGUCCAUAAGGGCAGCCCUAGAUGGUUAGCUACAAACAUACCUUUACCAGUGAAACAAGCCAACAAUCUGCUGAUUGCUUACCCCAUAUAAAGAUCUAACAAGCUUUUACAUGUAUAUCUCCAAAAACAGUUACAAUGUGUGAAAUAGAGACAUUCUUUCCCUAAAAGGUUUUCCCUAGAAAACUUAACAAGCAUUUCUAAAUAUGCCACCAAAUGCCAUUACAAUGUUUGAAAAGGGGGACAUUUUCGUUAAGGGUACAAAAAACUUAGUCUUCUAGACAGUUCUACCUUGUCAUGGCAUUAUACAAGGUUGACUCAUGACUGUUGGUCCCAAAGAGUGUGAUGGAGGGAGGUGAAUAGCACUUUUGGAAUGACACAAAAAUUCUUUCCAAGUAAAGAACUGAUUAAAGGAAUUUGAAAAUGGAAGUUUAAAGCUUGCUGGAGGAAUGAUUUAAGUGUUAAGAGCAAGAAAAAAAUAAAAAAAGUAGACAAAACACAAUGAUUUAUAGUGGUUCGGUCCCAUUGGCCUACAUCCACUACCUUAAUCUCCCAAUCAAGGAUUUUCAAACUAAUUCACUAUAAUUAGUGAAAUUCCCAAGUUGCCAUCAAGUUUUUGCAAUGGUUUUUCACAGGCUCAGCCAUAACCUUUAACAAUGGUUUUUCACGAAAUCAACCAAAGCCCAAAACUAACUUUUCUAAGGCUAAGUUAUAACCUAUAACAACACCCAAGUUAACCUUAAGCUUGAUCUACCCCUUAGAGUGUCUCUCACACUUUGAAUAAAUAAGAAAUAGAGAAAAGAUGAAGUACAAUUGAUUACUUAUCUAAUCUAAGAUGCACAAAGUUAAGCUUAAACACUUUUUAAAAGGAGGGGAGUGAAAUACAAGUGUAAAAGAGAAGGUUUUUGGUAUUCUAAGUUCAAAAUCACUUUGGAUAACUUCUUUAUAUGAUUUUUGACUGUUAGAGAGGCUUUAAAUACUUGAAAAAUCACUUCUAGCCAUUGGAGACAAAAACUAGCCAUUUCUAGCUGUUAUUUUGUCCUUUUCCACUUAAAUUCAAAUUUUCUGACAGUGAGCUUCUAACUAGUUAACCAUACUUCUUAGUCGAUUAAGUCUUCUUUGUCUCGCAGUUUGCUUUACUCUGUUAAUCAAUUAACGGCAGCUUUAACUGAUUAAUAACUUGCUAUUUCCAAGCAUUAUUUUUGGCUAGCCUUCUUUCAACAGAUUAAUACUCCCUUUAACUGAUUGAAGCUUCUCUCCAUUCAUCGUUAAUUGAUUGAAAUGGACUCCAACCAAUUAAGAAUUCUUCAACUUGAAAUCACUUUGUUUGGUGUCUUGGACGGUUAUCAAUAUUUUGAAUUUGAAUUUUGGCGCUUCUUGACACUUUAUCUUUGACCUUUAACCAGUUAACUCAUUUUCCUUAAUCGAUUAAAAGGCUUUUGUUUUACAUCUACCACCCAUUUAACUGAUUAAACCUUGUUUUAACUAGUUAAGACCUUUCUGUCUGUCCUAGUGUAGCACCUAGAAUUAUUUUAAUUGAUUAAAGAUUUGUGUUAUUAGUUAAGACUAAUCUGUCUUCAUAAAAACUCUUUCUUCUUUGCUUGUUUAACCAACUAACCCAUCUUGCAACUGAACAAGCAUCUUGACUUGCUUUCAAAUACUAAAUGUAUUAAUGAAUUUAUGCUUUCUCCUACACACUUAAAUAAUAUAAUUAGACAUCAAUAAAUGGGAAUGUUUUGUUAUCAUAAAAAACACAUAGAGUCAACAUUCUUUCUUUCUUAUUUUUGAUGAUGACAAAACACUCUUAGGUUAAGAGUGCAAUGCCUAUGUUCAAUAUGAAUGCUUCAAAUCUUUAUGCAUAAUAAGUUGCUCCCCUUAGUUAAUUCAUUUAAUUUUUUUAAAGAUUUGCAAUAAAAUAUUUAUAAUAUCCACAAUAGCUAAACAAAAUAUAUAAUAUCUACAGUAGCUAAGCAAGAUAUAUUGAAUAUCCAUAAUAACUAGAACAUAGUAUUCAAUAAAACCACAAAAAUUAAAUAUAAAGACCUAUUAAACUCUAUUUAACUUAGACUUCUUUCUCAUUUUUUUUGUCAUUUUAAAAAAGAUAUUCGAAACUCCCUUUUAAUGAAUACAUCUAGAUUUUCCUUUAAUCUUUAAAUCAGACUUUAAUGAAUGAGAAUCGUAAGCACUCAUAAACCUAAGUCAUACAAGCUUAUAGAUAUAGUUCAAUAACUUCAAGAGUCAAGCUUGUAACUAUGUAAGAAUAAAUGUAUAAGAGUUAAACCAUUUCAAGAACUUGUCAAGGAUCACUCAAACAAUGUUCAAGCAAAUUUGAUCAUUUUGUCAUAAUCAAAACUAUAAUAAUUUUAAAACUAACAAUGCCAUCCUCCCUCUACUCAACCUGUUGAUGUCUUCAUUGAUUGAUUGGCUUAGAACUUUUCAAUCUUUUGUUGGAAGGUGCAAAGGUCGACUUCCUUCUCUUAGGUCAUUUCAUUUGUCCUUAGACCUUUCUAUUUCACCAAGUACUCUUGUGUUGGUCAUUAGUUGAAUAUGGUAAUUCUAUAUGCAAGAAUCUCCUCUACUUAGCAUUACGAUGGUGGCUUGUUAUUGAUGGUGGCUUUCGUGCAUUGACUCUUGCUUGUAUCUGCUGGAUUUGCAUCGAAUGGCUUUAGGUUGUUAACGUGAAACACUGGAUGCACCUUCAUCCACUUGAGUGGAUUUUCUUCUAAAAGGUCUUCCCCACUUUAAUCGCAAUUGGUAUCAGACUUUUAGAAUUUUGCACUAUUUGUUGAUCUUUUUUCUUAACAAUUUGAGUUGUUCGGCUACCAAUUUCACUAACACAAGGUUCUUUACCUCAAAGUGUUUCUCUUUUCGACCUUUGUCUACCCAUUUCUUCAUGCAGCUAGAGGCUUUCUCUAGAUAGGCUCAAACGAUCUUUGUGUUCUAUCUCUACUCCUUAGUAAGUUAAAAGCUUGAGCGCUCAUCACAUUAUAGGAUUCCACCGAGGUGUAGGGAAAUCUAGGUUGUUGCCUAGUGACAACUUUGAAAAGGGUUUUGUUUGUGGUGGAGCUUUUUUGCGAAUUGAAACAUAAUUGAGCCACUUAUAGCAGAUUAGGCCAAUUCUUAUGGUUUACCUAUACAAAGUGUCAUAGAUAUUCCUUUAGCAGUCUAUUGAAGCAUUCAGUUUGGCUAUCUAUUUAUGGAUGAUAACUAAAGGAGAUGUUGAGUUUAAACCUAAUAACUUGGAAAGCUAUUUUCAAAAGAAACCAGCAAACCUUGGAUCCCUUUCAUUGAUAAUACUUUUAAGAAUGCCCAAUAUUUUACCACAUGUUUGAAAACUAUACGAGCUGUUUCUUUUACAAAGCUAAACUUCUGUACCAGGAUAAAUGUAUCAUAUUUUGAAAAAUGGUCCGUUACCAUUAAAAUCAUUAUCAUAUCUCCCAUUUUCGAAAGUCAAGAAAAAUGCUUUCCCACGAAUUGGUCGAUAUUGGUAAAGGCUCGAGCAUCCUUGUCAGCUUUUGUCUCUCCACUUUGUCCUGUUGGCAAAUAAAACACGUCUUGGUGUAAUUCAUCACAUCUUGCCACAUAUGGGGCCAAUAGUAACCUUGUUUCAGUAAUGUCACAAUGCGCUACCAACCUUGAUGUCUUACCCAUAGAAUGUUACGACAUUCUCACACCAACUUUUGUCUCAGCUUUCUAACUCUUGAAGCAAAUAUCCAUGGCCCUUUUGUUAGUAAGAGUCCAUUUUUCACCCAAAAAUACUUGGACUUCCCACUUUCCAUUAAUUACAAAAUUGCAAUGGCCUGGGGAUCUCAUUUCAAGUUUUCUUUAAUAAGGUUACGAAUGUACGUAGUUACUUUGCUUCAACUUUGUGAAUGUUCAUAGAGCUACAAAUUCAACCUUUUUACUGAAGGCGUCUACCACUUAGUUAGCCUUUCAAGAUUUAUGCUUGAAGUAGAAAUCAAACUCAGCUAAAAACUCUUUCCAUUUCACUUGUUUGGUUGUAAGUUUCGACUAAGUAAGAAAAUGACUGACUACAGUGUUGUCUGUCUUAACCACGAAUUGUGACCCUAAUAAGUGGUGUUGCCACACCUACAAGCAAUGAAUUACUGUUAAGAGCCCUUUUUUUUGCGCUCUACAUCUUUUAUCAGCUUCUUUUAGUUUUUGAUUUUCAAAUGUGACUUGAUGCCCUUUUUGAAGUAAUACACCUUUAAGAGCAAUGUUUGAUGCAUCUGUUAUACUUCAAAAGGUUUUUCAAUAUCUAGGAGUGCCAGGAUAGGGUCUAUCAUCAUCCCUUCCUUCAAGUCUUCGAAAGCUUUUUGGCAUUGAGGUGUCUAGUCUCACAUCUAUCCCUUUUUAAAUAGUUCUAUAAGUACCGUUGUCCAUUUAGAAUAUCCUUCCACAAAUCUUCGAUAGUAGUUGUCUAGCUCUAAGAAUAAGUGAAGUUCAGUCGUAUUCUUAGGAGUUACCCACUUUUUUAUGGCCUUCACUUUUUAUGUAUCCAUCCUAAUAUGACCCUGCUCAAUUAUAUGGCCUAGAAAUUGAAUUCGGGAUUAAGCAAACAUGCAUUUGUCUCACUUCACGUACAACUAGUUGUCUCACAACUUUUGGCAAACUUGUUGUCACGACCCAAAUUCUAGGCCAUGACCGGCGCAUGGGCUCAAUGAACAUAGCCCACUAAGCCCAAGCAAGCCUAUUUACAUGAUCUGUUCAUUACUCCAUCAAAAUUACUGAAGUCAUAUUUCAUAACUUUGGAUCAAAAUAAUACUAAACAUUGCCAACUCAUAGUGGCACAUUGAUACAUGUAUCUUAAUAAUUUACAUCAGGGUUGUUUAUACAUCUUAAAAAGAAGACUCGAUUUCUAGCGGAGUAACCAUAGCGAAGUUGCAGCUACUGAAUGCCAUUGAUACCUACCAAAAGAUGGAUACAAGUCUAGGAGGACACCUCGUCCUAGUUACAGGCUACCUCUUGAUCUGAAAACAUGAAGUUGAAAAUGGUGAGUAUAAACCCAGUGAGUGAACAAGAAAGGGAACAAGUAAACAUUAAGGAAUGUUUAACGAAAUCAUGAUGCAUUCAUUUUUCAAAAUAAUGAAAUUUGUUUUAGUUCUUAUUAAAACCCCUCAUGUAAACCCCACAUGAGUAAAUCACUUUAUGAAAAGGGUUCAUGCUCAACAAAGGAUUUGGAGAGUGAAAACUUAAAUAGCAUUCAUGCGAAUCAGGUCAAAUAAACGACGGGUCCUCGCUGCAGUAGUGAGAAUGAAUUUUUGCUACAGCGACACUUGACUUAAAUUAUCAACUAGCCGAGGGUUUCUUAACUGGCCGAAAGUUUCUCACCAAACGUCCUCAUUUUAAACUUAAUUCAUUUAUUCCUUAAUAUUGGAAGUCCGUGCUCGACUAUGGUAUCAAAGAAAUGGAAAAUAGGGUAGCAACCGAACCAAAUGAGGAGCAAAACAGAAAGGUUUUCGCUGCAGCAAAAUAUUUGGUAACAAAAUAGAAAGUUUCUUGUUGCAACCCAAGAUUUUAGGCCAACCUUACCCCUUCAACCCGAGAGUUUCUUGCUGUAGCGAGGAACAGAGCAGUGAGAAAAAAAUUUCCUUCCUUUCAAGAAAAAGCCAUUUUGCUAAAAUGACAAAAUCAACAUAAAACACAUAAAGAUUUCCAAAGUUCAACAUGCCAAAUUCAUAUGCAUUUCAACCAUAAACCAUAUACAUGAGUUUUCGUUCUCUAGACAUAUAUACAUAUACAUACAUGGAUAAAUACUAAUACCACUAUCAUCACAUCCAGCUCAUGUGCAUCUCUCCACAUCGUGCACAUAGCCAGAGUCAUUGUGUGCAUCCCCCCACAUCGUGCACAAUCAGUGCCAUCGUGUACAUCCCCCCACAUCGUGCACACGGGCACUAUCAUCAUCCAUCUCCCUCACCACCACCAUUACCAGUAUGUGCAUUCCCCCACAUUGUGCACACACACGGUUAUAAUCAUCACACAACAUCAACCAUCAUGCACAACAUAUAUAUAUAUAUAUACCAACAUAAUGUAAUAGUGCAUGAAUCCAUAACAACCGCAUGUCACAACAUAAAAUCAAUUUAUCAAAGGCUUGUUCCCAAGGCACUUGUUUUUAAUGAAAGUUGGAUAAAAUCAUUCAAGUAUAUUGUGCAAAUAAGUUUACAUUCCCAAAAUAAUUUUGAAAUGCAAGUCCACUCACCGGUAUUUGUUGAGCCUUUAACUGACUCUAACCUUCCUAAUGGUCCAAUUGGGGCUGUGGGACUUCGUUAGAACCUAUCAUCACAUUAGCAUCACCAAUAUGUCAAUUCACAUACUUAUAAAGUCCAAAAGCUUUCUCUUAGCUAACUUCCAAUAACCAUUUAAAUGGCUAUCUAUUCUCUCUACCCUUAUCACUUUAAAAUGAAUGAACAUCCCAACUACCAAUUCACCCCAAAAUCUAAACACUAAUCAUUCUCAACACCAAAACUCAAUUCUAGUGUACUACUCACCUUGGUAGCUUGUAUUUGAAAUUCUUUCCAAAACUUUCAAGCUAUUUUUGAAGCUUCCUCUUUCUCUCUCUAAAACACCUAACUAGUGUGAGAGAGUAUGAAAAUAAGAUUUUUCAAGGGUUUUAAGGAAAGAGAGUGGAAGAGCACAAGGGUUUAUGGAAAGGGUGCACCAAAAGCAUGAAAUUUGGAGCUAUUUGAGGAAGGUUGUGGAGCUUUCUUAUCAAGCUUUCAUGGAGGUUGGGAAGCAAUGUGAAAGAGAAGAAGAAGAAGAAAAAGAAAAGCUGCUGGAGAAUGUAAAAGCUACUAGAAGAAAGAGAUAUUUAUAUCCCAAGCUUAUCCACUCCACUAAAUUACCAAAAUGCCCUUCCACAAAUUAACUUAUUCUCCUCCAAUCUUCUAUGCAAUAUUUUUACUCUUUUGACACUAGGACAAGGUCCAUAAUGGUCUAGAAAUGCUCAGGUUCAUGAAAACUUAAAAAUUCUAACUCAAGGUGAAAAAUGACCAUUUUGCCCCUAUCGUGAAAAUCAUCAAAAUUUUUAUUUCUUUGUCAUUUUACUCAUAUUUUCAUCUUUCAUUUAUGCCUUAGGCCAUAAUAUUGUUUAAAAAUCUUACUUGUAUGAGUUUACUAAGGAAAUGACAAAAUUACCCCUGAUCAAGGAUAUCGCGUCUAUUACUAACUAUGAGCCUAUAAAAGUUCAAGGUCUCACACUUGUCAUAAGUGCCUUUGAUGUUUCUCUCAGGUUGAACUGUACACCACAAUAUUGCUCAGAUAGAUUACCAUGAAGUUGUCGAAAUAAUCAUGGAAAAUCAAAUUCAUCGAUGUGCCAAAGGUCACAGAAGCAUUGGUUAUCUAAAAGGCAUAACAAGAAAUUCAAAUGCACCAUAUCGCGUUACACAGGUGGUUUUUGGUUCAUCUUUAUUAGCGACUCUUACUUGAUGGUAUCUCGAUCUAAGAUCUAAUUUAGAGAAAUACUUCACACAACUCAGUUGGUUGAAAAGAUAUGCUAUAAGGGGAAUUGGAUAUUUAUUCCUUAUUGUGACUUCAUUCAAAGCCCGGUAAUCCACGUACAAUCGUAAACUUACAUCUUACUUCUUUUGGAAUAGUACCAAGGCCCCAAAACGUGCUUUUGAAGGCUAGAUGAAUCUUGCUUGGAUCAUCUUGUUUAAUUGUUUUCUUAACUCAGCUAGCUCGAGGAGUUAUUUUAUAUGGCCCUUUUACGGGUGGUUUGACUCUCGAGAGUAGUUCUAUCUCAUGAUCAACUGCUAGUCAAGGUGGUAAGACCUUAGGUAGCUGUUCUGGCAUCGUAUCCUUAAAUUCUUCCAAAACCAACUUUAUUUUAACGAGUAUUAAAUUUGUGCUAUCUCCGCCUCCAUAGAUGGGCAUGGCCACAUAAGAGGGUUCUUCCUUUUUAAUCCCUUCCUUGAAUUGGAUAGUUGAUAUGAUUCUCUUCCCACUAUUGGAUAAAUUUGUAGCUGGUGCCACGCAUGGUUGUUCUUUGAAAAACAUUAAGCAGCCACAGUAGGGAAUAAGAUGGCUCGUGUUCUCGUCAAGAAAUCCAAGCCAAGAACAAAAUUAAAGUAAUCUAUAAUUGCAACAGUCAUGCUCACCUUCCCUUCCCAAAAACUAAUCUUAAUCUCCAUAUCUUUGGAGUUCCCUAUAAUAGCUGAGGCUGGUGAGUUGAUUAUUUUUAUCUACCUGAAGUCUUUUUCAACCUUGAAAUCGUAUCUCUUUGCCUUCCAAGACUGAUAAAAGUAUCAAAAGCUCUCAUGUUUAGCAUGACUUUGGUUAGUUUGUCAUUCAACAACACAUCGACAUACAUAUGCCCUCGUUGGGGCUCAUUCUUCAUCUUUUCUAAUUGUGCGUAUAGGGUAUUAAGGAACCGAAUUGAAUCUAUUUGUGUUGCUUCCCCUUAACUUCCUUAAUCAAGGUGGGGGGCCAAGGUGUCUCCACGUUAACAAUAAAUAUCGCAUUAAGAGUUGCUCAAUGUGGGCAAUCCGUUACUCAUGAGGUUCAUUGCAUAGAAAACAUGAUAUUAAGAGUCUAGGUUUGAAGCCGCAUGAAUUAGCUAUUCUUGGUUAAGGUGUGUCCUUAGAAAGUGGUCUCCUUUCUCCUGCCCACUCGAGGGUUGACUAACUCUUGAAAAUUUCACCCUACUAUUAGAGCUCGAGCUAUUAUUUCUUAAAAGGGGUCUUUUCUUUUAUUUGAGUUAUCACUAUAAUCAAUUAGACGUUCAAUAACUACCAUCACUGAAGUCACGGCUUGCACAUUUUGUCACUGCAACUUCGUAUUCAUCCACAAUUUAGACCCUCGAGGAAAUAGAACAACUGAUCUUUCUUGAUCAUGUCAUUAAUAUCCAACAUUAUGGCAUAGAAUUUCCUCACAUAUUCUCGUACUAACCCAGUCUGCAUCUCUUGUAAUUUUUUCUAAGCCAUAUACGUUACAUUCUUAGGGAAAAAUUGAUUUUUUAGUUCUCGCUUGAGGUUUGCCCAUGUAUUGAUGUGGCACUCGCCAUUAACAAAUUUCGAAUGCCACCAUAAUUUCGCAUCCCCAACAAUAUACAUUGUGACCAUCACCACAUUGUCUUCCUCCGACUCUAUGCAUACAGCUCGAAAGUACCGUUCAAUAUCAAAAAGGAAGUUUUUUUAACUCCUUUGCAUCUUUGGCCUUUUCGUAUCACUUAAGCUUCGACAUUUUAGCCUUUCUCCCUCGAUUUCUUGACUUUACACUUCUAUUACUUGCAGUAAUAACCAAAAGAUUUACUUGAGCUUUUAAUUCUCCAAACUCACCUUGAAGAAUGCUCAACACAUCCCUGGUCUCAUCAUUUAAGGCUUUUAUCAUCUUGAACAGUCUCCGUUAGACUAUCUCAAUUUCAUCUAUUCACUCAUGUGGGACCAUUUGAGCUUUUAUCCCAGCCAUUAUGGCUUCUACCUUUUCAAUUCUCUGAUGGUUCUUCGGUGCACUUCGCGUGGUCACCAAGUUUGUUCUUUCACUUAGCACGCAUUGCCCGUGUUUUGAUACCAAUUAUUAUGGACUAUACCCCUUUCCUGAAGUGUGUAAUAGUUUGUGCAAUGCUCGAGUGGAUGUUUCCACACAAGCUAGCCAAUAAGUCGAUUAUAUCUAAGCAAACAUCAAUAAUAACCACUAGUUAGUUUACACAAAAACAAUACAUAAAUCAUAGGGCAUAAAGAAUGCCACAUACAUAAGCAUUGAAUCCAUAUAAAAGAAAAAUGUUUUAUUAAUAUUGAAAGUAUGUACAAAGAGACCAAAAGUACUAACCCGUCAUUGUUGAGCCAUAAGGGCAGCUCUAAAUGGUUAGCUACAAACAUACCGUUACUAGUGAGACAGCUCAAUAAUCCACUAACAGCUCACCCCUUAUAAAGAGCUAAUGAGCUUUUAUAAGUAUAUCACCAAGAACCGUUACAAUGCGUAAAAUGGGAACAUUCUUUACCUAAAGGGUCUUCCUUUUAAAGACUUAACAAUCAUUUCUAAAUAAGCCACAAGUGCCAUUAUAAUGUUUGUAAAGGGGACAUUUCCCUUAAGAGUAUAAAGGACUUAGUCUUCUAGAUAGUUCUACCCUAUCAUGGCCCCUAUACAGGGUUAGGUCAUGAUAUUAGACAUCAAAAACAUAUUUUUCAACAUUAAGAAUAUUACAUAAAAAUAAUAUUUAACCCUUAUUUAUUUAUUUAUUUAUUUCUCAUCAUAUUGUUAUACUGGUUAGUUUGUUAAGUGAAUAAAUCCUAAAUUGGAAAUUAAAAGAAAGUAGAGAUUUUCAUUUGUGAAAAAUUUAUUUUUUAUUUUAUAAAAACUUUUCUCUUUAAUUGACCUUAACUAUUUUGCAUUAUUUUAAAAAUUAUAAUAUCUUGGCAAAAGUAAUUAUAAGUGAUAUGAUCCCUAACAAAUAGUUGAAUAAAAAAGUCAAAAUAUCAAGACUUUGAAUUACACUUCACCGGUCAAUCAAACAUCAAACUACAUGGAAUCAGAGCAUCUGUAGGAUCUUAAGGGACUAUAUACAUGUACAAAAACUUCUUCUCAAUCCAAAUUCUUAGAGAAGACUAAGCCGCAACCCCUAUAAUGGCCACCAAUGACUUGUUAGCUCAUCAGGCUCCACUUAUGUUUUCUAGUGAAAAUUACUCAAUUUGGUUGGUCAAAAUGCAAGCAUACUUAAAAGGUCUCAACCUUUAAAAGGUCAUUGAGCAAGCUACCAAGCUACCAAUAUUGAGAUAUAACCCCUAUUUCUCUAAAAAUACAACAUGAAAAGGGUUUAAGGUUUAAGGUUUAUGGUUUAGGAUUUAGGUUUAAUGACGCUUUGUCGAGAAAAAGAAUAAUGCACAAAGAGAUAAAAAGAAAGGAAAAAUAGUUAAACAGUUAAAUAAUGCCUUGUUAGAAAGUAGUUGAAUAAAAUAAUGAUGCUUUGUGGGAUCAAAUCUAAGGUUUAAAGGUCGAUCUCGUGCCCUAGAAGGCCAUUAAGCAAGCUACCAAGCUACCAACAUUGAGAUACAACCCCUCUUUCUCUAAAAAUACAACAUGGAAAGGGUUUAGGGUUUAAGGUUUAUGGUUUAGGAUUUAGGUUUAAUUAUGCUUUGUCAGAAAAAAAAUAAUGCAUAAAGAGAUGAAAAGAAAGGAAAAAUAGUUGAAUAAUUAAAUAAUGCUUUGUUAAAUUGUAGUUGAAUAAAAUAAUGAUGAUUUAUGGGAUCAAAUCCAAGGUUUAGGGAUUGAUCCAUGGGACAAGAAGGCAAUGAUGCUUUAUAGGAUGGAUCCCAAGGUUUGAAAAGAAGGUAAGGUAGCAAGAGAAGGUUUAUAUUUAUGAUUGAUAUCAAGGUUUAUAAUUUUAACGAUUAUAAGACAAUUAAAACAAGAUUCAAACAUGCUAAACUUAGACUUACAAUUUAAAAGUUAUGACAUAGAUGAUAACUUGGUGUGUUUUGUGCAACUUGAUUGUAAUGGUUCAUAUCAUAGCUAUCAAUAUCAUACACUACACGAUACAUAUCGUAUAAUAUGUUACGAUAGAAUGAAAAAUAAUAUGAACCAAUAUACUUUAUCGUUUUGAUCAAGUAUCUAAAGUGUAUCACAUAAUAGGCGAUAUGUAUUGUAUCAUAUGAUACAAUACACUUUUUAUAAGUUUUAUCAUACCAAAUUCUAAAUUGUAUAGAAGAAUGAAUGAGCUUGAUAAUUAACUUUUUUAUCUGUACCCUUGGUAUAAGUCUUAUUUUUGGUGAGAAUCGACCCUCAACUAAUGAGGUACAAUGGAAAUGUAUGGAUAGAUGAUUACCUAAUAGAGGUGAAUGAUUUCACCCAUUUGGCUAUGAUAUAGUAUGUGAAAUAGAGCCUGAUGCUUAUUAUGCCUAUCUAGCAUGGUGCUAGACAUGUGUAGUGAGUAUGACACAUGCUUGUUAUGCUUAUCUAACAAGGCUUGGUGCUAGACAUGUGUAGUGAGUAAGGCAUAUGCUUGUUAUGCUUAUUACUGGUCUUAAUUGAGUGCUAGAAAGAGGUGAAUAGCACUUUUAAAAAUUUUGAAGGAAACUUUCAAAGUUAAAAAACUUUUAAUGGAUUUUGAAAAGGAGAGUUUAAAACUUAUAAAGGCUAAAAUCACCAAGUAAAAAGAGGGUAAAGAGAAACGGACAAAACACAAGUAUUUAUAAUGGUUCGGUUCCCUAUCCUACAUCCACUAGCUUGAUCUCCCAAUCAAAGAUUUUCAACCCAGCUUCACCAAACCAAUGGAAUUGAUAGUUUCCACCAAACUUUUACAAGGUGAGCUUCUAACCUAAGCUCAAAACCCUUACAAGAUUCCCUAAGCUUUCCUCAACUUAGUCUACCCCUUAGAGUAUCUUUCAUACUCUAAGUAAACAAGAAAUAUAGAAAAGAUGAAGCAUAAUUGAUUACUUAGCUGAUCUAAGAUGUACAAAGUUAAGCUCAAGCACUUUUUCAAAGGAUGAAAGUUAAAUACAAGUGUAAAAAGAAGGUUUUUUUGUCUUCUAAGCUCAAAAUCACUUUACAUGGCUUUUUUCUCCCAUUUUUUACUAUUUGAACCUUUAUUUUUACUUGGAGGAUAGAUUUUAGUCGUUAGAGAUAGUUUUGGGUCAGAAAUAGCUGUUAUUUUGUCUUCUAGUAGCUCUUUUCAAAUUGUUGGCAGUGACUCUUUAACUGAUUAAAGGUCAAUGUUAACUGGUUAAAGCUUUUCUAAUUGGCAGUCUGUUCCACUAUGUUAACCAGUUAAAAAGGGCUUUAACAGGCUUUAACUAGCUAAGAACUUUCUAUUUUCAGACUCCUUUAAGCACUGAUGUUCACCAACUUCCUUUUACUUGAUUAAUCUUCCCUUUAACAGAUUAAAGCUUCUUUUCCUCCAACUUUAACUUAUUAAAAUAAACUUCAACCAAUUAAAAAUUCUUUAAAUUUGAAUUUCUUCAUUUGGCACCCUUUAACUAUCAAAUUCAUUUUGAAUUUAAAUUUUGGUGCUUUUAGGUACUUCAAGUUUAACCUUUAAUCGUUUAAUCGCUUUGGUUAACUAAUUAAUAAUCUUUUGUUUUACGUUCAGUACCAAUUUAACUGAUUAAGCAUUGUGUUAACCAGUUAAUACUUUUCUACCUGUCCUUAAUGUAACGCCCAUAAUUACUUUAAUUGAUUAAAGAUCUUUGUUAAUUGAUUAAGACUAAUCUGUUUUGAUUAAAGCGCUUUUUUCUUCACUUGUUUAAUCAAUUAACCCAUCUUGCAACUGAAUAGGUAUCUUCACUUGCUUUCAAACAACAAAUAAGUUAAAGAAUUUAAGCCUUCGCCUGCACACUAAAUAAUAUAAUUAGACACCAACGAAUGGGAAUGUUUUGUUAUCAUAAAAAACAUAUAAAGUCAACAUUUUCUCUCUUAUUUUUGAUAAUGACAAGACACUAUUAGAUUAAGAGUGCAAUGUCUAUUUUUAUAUUUUAUAUCUAUGUGCAGGUGAGGGAUUACUCCCCCUUAAUAUGUCCAUAAAAAACAAUUUCAAGAUUUUCAUUUUAUCUUUAAAUUAGACUUUAAUGAAUGAGGAAUCAUAAGCAUUCAUACAACUAAGCCAACAAUCUUAUAGAUAUAGUUUAAUAACUUCAAGAGUCAAGCUUGUAACUAUGUAAGAACAAAUGUAUGAGAGUUAAAUCAUUUCAAGUACUUAUCAAGGAUUACUCAAAUAAUGUUCAAGCAAAUUUGAUUAUUUUGUCAUAAUCAAAACUAUAAUAAUUUUAAAGCUAACAAUCUCUCCUUUUUUGAUAUGACAAAAUUAUGAGCAUAAUUUGCUUUUAAAAUGAUUUUAAAAUUUUCCCCUCAACAUAUGCAUAAAAUUAAAUUUGUUCAUAAACCUUCUCCCCUUUUUUUCAUAUCAAAAAAAUUAAGAAUUAUGAGCAUUAAACACUUAAGCUCAAGAAAUAAUGGUUAGCAAAAAUCAUCCAGAAUAUAAGCAUUAAGACCAUGAAUAUGCAACCAUAAGGCUGCCAUGUUAUCAUAUUUAUGCACUUAAUAUCCUCAACUAAGUCAUUAAGAAAUAUAGCCAUUAAACACAUUCAAUUAUUAAUUCAUUGAGAGAAUCAUCAAUAAGAAUGCUGCAUAUAUAUAUAUAUAUUUAAUUGAAAUGUGGGCAUAACAUUUAUGAAGUUUAAGAAAGAUAAGCAUAAAGAUGUUCAAUAAGCACAUAAGCCAUAUUUUUGCUCUAAUACCAAGUGUUAAAGGUCAAUAUACCAAUUGAUUAUGAGAGAUGGAAUCAUUUUAAAGCUUAUUAUAUCUAUUGGUAAAGUAGUAGUCAAGACUUCCCUUAUCAUUAAGCAUCUCAAGCGUAUCAACUUCAAGGCUCAAACACAUUUAAAAAAUAUAUGAUCAAUUUAAAGCUCAAGUGAGAAGAGACAAUUUUGAAGCUUGAUGCUAAUUUUAAAGCUAGAUACAAAUUUAUCAAACCUAACCAAUUAUGCCUUUCAACAUUCAAAUUUAAGUGAGAAGCAAUAUCCUUGAGGGUCGACUUGUCCAUUUUGGCUUUAUAGCACUCAAGAGUAUCCUACAUAUCCCUGAGGGUCGACUUUUAUCAUUCUAGUAGCACUGUUUGCAUUUUAUUCUCUAACAGUCGACUACCUAUGCUUAGGGGUCAACUAUGCUUGAUCCCUACACAUUGAAAAGCUAGAAAAAAGUGUAGAACAUGCAAUGUUCCAAGGUACAAUGAUCUCAAAACAUAGAUUUGUAUGAGAACAAUUUAGAAUUUCAUUUCAACCAAGUUUGGAACAUCAUUUUGGGCAUGUAUUGUCACGACCCAGUACUCUCUUCGAGCCCGUGACAACAGCCACGAUGUCCCAAUAGACAAACCUUACCCGAAAUGUCAACCGAAACCUCGCAAGGCUCUAGCAUCAGUUUUUCGCCUUCCCUAUGAGCAACAGUUACUAAAUAUCAUGUUUUAAAGGAAUAUAGAUGAUUUUCAAAUCAAAGACAAUCAAAAAGUAAUUUCUACAGCACAGGGGUAUUUUGAUCAUUUUACCUGAAAAUUUUGAAACCUGCUAAAAAUACAGUAUAUGAAUGAAAAAUUUACAUUUCAUAUAAAAAAAUAAAUCUAGGUGUCUAAAUCAUCUUUUUAAAGUGAAUUUAUAACUAAUAGAACUAAAUAAAAAUAUUGGAUAAAAUAUUUCAUUUUCAUAUAAAACAAUUACUGUAGUGUAAUAACAAAAUAAAUUCAUAUACAUAAUAGCACACAGCGCUAGGGUAUACAAAAAUAUUUUACAAUGACAUGUGAGCCCCAAAAUAACAAAAAUAAACAGGAUUGUAGACCUACGAUUUCUAAGGGUGCAAAUUAAAAAGCAAACCCUCAACAAAAUUGACUGUCUACAAACUACUUUGAACCUGAAAUGGGUGAAAAGAAGGGUGGUGAGUUUUUAUAAACGUAGUGAGUAAGCAAAGUUCAUUUAUAACAUCUAAAGCCGAGUAAAUAGAGACAAUUAAAGCAGCUCUUCAUAAUAUGAUUCAUAACAUUAAAACUAAUUUCAACCAUAUAAAACAGUUACGUUUCUUUAAAAAAAAUCAAUAAGGCUUAUGACUCUCUUAAAAACUUGGCUUGUGCCAAAACUUGUGCUCGGUAACAUCUUGUGCAGGACAUCCAACCGAGUCCGCCAAGGCUGUUAAAAUAACAUAUACACAUAAAACAUGUUUUUACGUUUAAAACACUGUCGUUCCUUGGCGUUGGUUGAGUUUCACCCUCACAUGGUGGUUCGACGUGAAGUGAACUCUAAACUACCUUAGGAGAUACCCUCAGUGCCUCUCAUACUAAGGUAAAAUAUGACGUCGUUUACCAUGCCCCUCUAAUAGGCCAGUCCACGGAAACCCGCCCAUUGCAAUAAGCUAAUCAAUUACCCCACCAAAUCAAUAGAAAUUUCAACAACAUGACAUGGCUAAUGUGAUAUUCCCAGCCUGUCAAGGUAAACAAAAUAGUUCAUAUAUUCCACACAAACACAAAACCAGCCAUUUAUGCCAUCACAUUGUCAUAAGCCAUCAAUUCAAACCAUAUAUCAAACACGAGUAUAUAGUCUCCACUUACUCAAUUUCCAAAAUCAGUAUUCAAUUUCAAAACAAGUUAUAAAUCUCAUUUCGUUUAGCCAACACUUCAAUUUUAAAACAUAAUAAUUUACAAUUUAAACUCAUUAUUCUUUAAAACAUAAAAACGAGUAGAAACAACUUUAGAUAGUUAAGAUGAAAGUCUAUUACUCACUAUAACGGGAGUACUCCUACUCCUAGUCCUCGGGUACGAUAUCCUUACCCUUACUAGAGGGCUCACCACCUAUACAUAAUACAUAACAAGUAAUUCAAUAUAUUUGUGCCAAACUAUUAUAAGACUAUUUCAGGCUCUUUAUGAAUGUAUGAAAUUGAAUGAGAAGUGUUCGAAUAAUCACUUAAAGAUGGUGUUCUACGUACGUUCAAUUGUUGUUGGACUGAAAUGGUAUUCGACCUAACUCGCACUAUACACUGUUUAAUUAGCCAAAACAUCCAAUUCAACUCCAAAUAAAUUCAUUGCACUUCCGAUACUCCAAUAAGUCCGUAUACCUCAUUAGAAAUCGAUUCUAAGUCCAUUUACUAUAAUUUUCUCAUUAUCGUUCAAUUUUUUUACUAAAGGAACUAUACUUUUUGAUAACCGUUUUCGAUAUCCAACAUCACGAAUCAUCAAAUAUGAGCUAGAUAACAUGAAAUAUGAUAAAAUUCAUCUUCAAAAUAUUUCCUAUAGAAUUCGACCAAUUAGGGUUUGAUGAAGAACAUGUUAUUUUCUUACUUGUUUUUCAUAUCGAAUAUCACAAAACACUAAAAACGCCUAGAUAACAUGAGAUCUAGCAAAACCCAUCCUCAAACCUUCCCCCCUUGAUUCGGCCAACAUGCUUCCAUCAUGAAAACUUGAGUUUCAACCAUAGAAAAUAAAAAAGAAAGCAUGGGUAAGGUAGAUCUUAAGCUAAAUCGCGAAAUCUUACCUCCGAGCGCUUCGUUUUUCGAAAAUCCAAUGAAUUUCUCUUGAAUUUUUCCUCCUUAGAGUUUUUCUAUUCUUUCCCCCUUUUGUUCUUUGGCUUGGAUGGCAAUAAGAGAGUGAAUGGGAGAGUUUAUGUUGAUUUUAUAAAGGAAAUUAUAAAAUAAUAAAAACUUGACACGUGUCGCCACUUGAUCGGUCCAUGGUUAAAACUUAACAAUUAAGCAUUCUCUUACCACCACAUAUAAUCCCAUAAUUAUCCAAAGCAUAAAAUGAUAAUAGGUGAAAUUCAUGGGCUUGACAAGUGUCAUGGUGGUGUAAAAUUUCAAAAAUUCCAAUUAUGUCCUCGUGGACACGUGAAAUGACCAUUUUUCCCUUAUGCUCGGAAUUGGAAUUUUUCACUUCUCAAAUUCAAAUUAUGUUCUAACUAGUCAAACUUGGUAAAAAAUCUCUUCCAACAAUCCAAUUUUGCUCUCGGGUGGCAAAAUGACCAUUUUGCCCUUACGUUAUGAAAAUUCUCGAUUGGAUUCCAAAUUAAUCCUCAAACUCCAAUUCACCAUUUUAAGACAUUCUAAGGUUCAAUAACUCUCAAAUACAUCCCAAAAUCUCUAUUUGGACUAGUUCGAGGCUUUAAUCGACUUAAUUGUACCACUAAGUACAACACCGACUUUUAACGAUUUUUCGAGGCAUCUAAGUAUGCAAACAUGCUAUCAAGUACAUGAAUGACAUAGCAAGUAUAUAUAAUAGAGUUGGGCUUGAUAUGUAUGAUCAGAGAUUCUUCAAGAAAAAUAUGUGAAAUUUUGACUUUUAUUACUCAUUGUUCAGAAGUGCUAAAAAGUUGAAAUGUUUAUUUGAAGAAUCAUGUCUCUAACUUGCUCAAGCAUACUCAAUUUUCAUCAUCAUGCAUGAAUAUGACAUAUAAAAUGUACAACAAGCAUUUUAAGUAACAUUUAAGCAUAACAAGCAUCAAAUUUAACAUUUUCAAUGUUUUUCUAGCAUAUAGACAAAAAUGCCUUUGAGGUCAUGCAAACAUUCAUUUACAACAAGGACAAGUUAUAAUAGCAUUCUCAACAAAAGGCACACUUGUUCAAGCUUUAUAUCAUUUAAAUCAUUGAAGCCUCAAGCAUUACAAGAAGAUUUGUUCAUUUUCUUAAAAUGUCAUCAAUGUCAAAUUAUCAUUCCCAUAAAUAUGCUUAAGAAAACUCUUUCAAUCUAUUUCAUAAAUCAUGAGAGAAAUAUCAAACAAAGUGGGAUUUAUACAGGUCAUGUAUCAAAUCAAUUUUGCUCAACCAUUCUAUAUCAUCAAAAACAAUAAAUUAAUAUCAAUCAAAGGGAAAAAAAGUUUUUACAAGAAAAUCAAUUGAUAAACUUUUAAUCUCUCUUUUCAAAAUUUUUACACUUAAAAACAUAUAAGAUUUGAGUUGGACAUGUAUUGCGUAAAAUCAUGAGCUCAAUGUCACUCAAUUUUGUUUAAUUAUUCUCUAAAUGGUUUAUGAAAUAUUCAAUGAGAAUAAUGAAUCAUGUUUAUGCAUGUCAAGGGUCAUUUUCAAAUAUCUCACAAUCAUAUGCCAAAAUGCCUUUAUGACCAUUCAACCUUACAAGCAAGCAUGCACAUCCAAUAAGAACAAGUCAAUAAAUAUUUUCAUCAUGCAACAAACUUGUCCAAUUCAUAAAUCAUUGUAAACAUAAGGAUGGCAAACAUUUUUAUCAUAUAAGCUCAUCUUGCUUUAAAAAUACCAAUUCAAGUAGUCAAAGCUUAUCAUGCUCAAUUUUAACCAACUUGAAACACUCAAACAAGUCUUAAAUGACAAAGCAAAGUUGUUCAAGUACUUAAAUUAUCUUAAACACAAGGAAACCACAAAGUCAAAUCUUCAAACUCAAUUUUCCUUGUUUAUGCUACUAGAAUAGGCAAUUAUGCAAAUCAAUCUAUUAAUCACACAAACAACUUCACAUGUUAUCAACAUCAAACCUUUUAUGUUUAAAAAUAUGUUCAAAAAUCAUUUUACCAACAAAAAUAUGAAAUCAAUUUCACAAAACAUGAGGAAAUUAUAUCAAAACAAUUUUCCACUAUUAAGCAAAAUCAAUAAAACAAACAAGCAAUUUUUUUAAAAAAAUGAAUAACUUUUGGCAUAAGCACGAGGAUAUAAGCAAGAUUAAAGAUAAACAUAUACUCAGUAUUUAGGCUUAUACUUCCUUCAAGAUUAUGCAAUUUAUAGCAUGUAUCAUAUCAAAUCAAAUUGUAUAACAAAAAUUUAUCAAUAAAGAUCAAAUGAGAGUAGAUAAAAAAUUAUACACUUAAUAUUCAAGCAAGAAAAGGAAAUCAAAGUUCUCAAUUAACAAGGCAAACAAAAACUAAGCUAGAUCAAUUAAUCUCAAGAAUUUCAUAACCAAGCAAAAUAAGAGCAAACAACCAAAGAUCACAAUUUGACAAACAAAUGACUUUCGAUAUAGAAAUAAGCCAAUUUCCAUUGUGUGUCUAAAGGGCAUUCAUUCUUCAAGAAUUUGUUCCUCUUUGCUCUAGCACACCUACAAGGGACACUUUUCAUAUGAUCUUUGGUAUUUAAAUUGAUUUGACUCAUUGAUAGUUAGUCUUAUUAUACAAAGUUCCUUUUGGAAUCCAUACUUGUUUAACUCUAUAAGGUAGAUAUUUCUUAAUUGAACAAGUGUGUGAAAUAUGACCAUGAAAGUUACAAUAAUUGCAUUUAGUCAUCUUUGAAAGUGGGGAAUUCAUGAAAACUUUUGGCUUUUUAGUUGUCAAUUUUCAAGCUUCACUUUCACAUCUAAAUUUUUUUUCCCAAAAUGUCAAUUUUCUUUUAAGAGGCUUCAAAAUCCAUUUUAAAUCUUUCAUUUUCUUUUUACAAAUCAAUCUUUUCCUUCAUUUAGAAAUCAUUUUUUUGUAUUUCAAAUUCAUUUUCUCAUAUUCACAUAAAUAUUUUCAAACCUUUUGCCCAUGAAUACAACUUUAUUAAAUCAAUGUCAAUCACAUGGCAUACAUGAGAAUCAAAGAAAUCUCUAAAUCCUCUAUCACAAAGAUGACUAAUGCUUAAUAAGUUAUGUUUCAAACCUUCAACAAGUAAAACAUGCUUGAUUUGAGUUGAGAAGUGUUACCAAUGGUUUCAAUUCCUUGGAUGAUUCCUUUGGAGUUUUCACCAAAAGAGACACUAUCGUUUUUCUUUCUAUCAAGUUCGACAAACAAAAUUUCAUUUCUGGUCAUAUUCCUUUAGUAGCCAUUAUUUAAGUAGCAAGACUACCUCUAUUUUGGUUGAGCUUUCAAACAUUGUUCCUUUUGUUCUUGCUCAAACUACAAAAUAAUUUUUCAUUUUUUUUUCAAAGGUACCCAUACUUUGAUGGUCCUUGAGGCUUAGUAAGCACAUAAGAACCUUUAGGCACCCAAACCAUCUUGGUUUUGGGGAGGUUAUUACCUUUAUGAUAAGAGUCAUAAAAGAGAUGACUUAUCUUGCCAUAAGCAUAAUAAUGGAAUGAAAAUGCAUCAUUUUUCCUUCUAAAAACAACAUUUCCUUUAUGUUUUUGUUCUUUGUACAACUUCAAUUUUGAUCUCUCAUCUAUUGAAGUUUUAAAAGUAAUAUUCUCCUUUAAUGCCUUUUGCAAUGCCUUAUUUUUGCUUUCUAGUUCCAACUUCAAAGAUUCAAAAUCUAUUUUGGAAUGCUCCAGCUUAAUUUAUAAAACAUUUCUCUGAUCAAAAAUAGAUUUGAAAUCACAUUUAAUCAUUUCUAAUUCAUCAUUUAAAGAUAAAGCUUUCUUUUUGAAACCUUAUACUUUAAAGCUAACUUCUCAAAUUCAACAUAUAAAAAAUCAUACUCAUAUUGAAAUUCAUCAUAGGAAAUAUUAGAUAAAUAAAAAAUUACCUCAAGUUCUUCAUCUUUGGCCAUCAAGCAAAACUGGGCUCUUACUUUUAUUUCUUUCUUAUUUUUCGUCCUUUCUUUCUUCUUCUUUUUCUUUCAUCUCUUGCUCAUAUGUGAAGAGUGAGCCAUAUAUCUCAUCUAAGGUGAUGACAUUAAGAUCUUUGGCUUCUCAAAUUGCUAUCACCUUUAGCUUCCAAGCCUUUAGUAACUUCUAAGCAACCUCUUUACCGUUUCAUGUUCAAAAAUUUCUUUCCUAAGUUGCUUGAGCUUGUUGACAAUGUUGGUGAACCCAUCAUACAUGGUUGUGAUGUCUUCUUUUGGUUCCAUCUUGAACAUCUCGUAGUUGUUAGUGAGAAGAGCAAUCUUGGACUCCUUCACUUGUGAAGUCUCUUUAUGAAUGAUCUUCAACUUCUCCCAAAUUUCUUUAUCUGUUGUACAAAUAAAACUUUAUUGAACUCAACGAAAUUUAGUGCACAAUGGAGAGUGUUUAUGGCUUUGAAGUUUAUUUGCAUGUUUCUUAUUUCAACUUCAGUCCAUUUAUCUUUAGUUUUAAGAGUUUUGUCACCAAUUAUAAGAUCAAUUUUUGUAUGAACAUAAGGACCUCUAGUGAUGAUAUCCCACAUUUCAUAAUCAAUAGCCCUUAUGUAGAUGGAGAUCCUAAUACUCCAAAAUUAGUAGUUUACUCCAUCAAAUAGAGGAAGCUUAUUUGUGAAUUGACUUUCUACGACGUUAAAACUUUAACUAGCCAUUAGAUUUACCUUUCAAGAUGUUAAGCUUAAAUUUCUAGGGUUAGGCUUUGAUUCCACUUGUUGAUCCCAAUCGAGUAUUAGAGGGGGGUGAAUAGCACUUUUAAAAAAUUUGAAGGAAAUUUUUAAGGUUAAAAAACUUUUAAAGGAUUUUGAAAAAAAAAGUUUAAAACUUGUAAAGGCAUAAAAUCACCAAGUAAAUAGAGGGUAAAUUGAAGUGGACAAAACACAAGUAUUUAUAGUGGUUUGGUCCCCUUGACCUACAUUCACUACCUUGAUCUUUCAAUCAAGGAUUUUGAACCCAACUUCACUAAACUAGUGGAACUGAUAACUUCCACCAAGCUUUUACAAGGUGAACUUCUAACCCAAGCUCAAAACUAUUACAAAAUUUCCUAAGCUUUCCUAAGCUUAGUCUAUAGUGUCUCUCACACUCUAAGUAAACAAGAAAUAGAAAAAAGAUGAAGUACAAUUGAUCACUUAACUAAGACGUACAAAUUUAAGCUCAAACAUUGUUUCAAAGGAUCAGAGUAAAAUAAAAGUGUACAGAGAAGGUUUUUUUGUCUUCUAAGCUCAAAAUCACUUUAGAUGGCUUCUCUCUCCCAUUUUUAACCGUUUAAACCUCUAUUUAUACUUCAAGGAUAGUUUCUAGUCAUUAAAGACAAUUUUGGUGAGAAAUAGCCAUUUGUUUGCCUUUUAGCGGCUCUUUUCAAAUUGCUGGCAGUGACUCUUUAACCUAUUAAAUGUAAGCAUUAACUAGUUAAAGCUUUUCUAUUUGGCAGUUUGCUUCAAUCUGUUAACCAGUUAAAGGGGGCUUUAACCGAUUAAGAACAUUCUAUCUUUAGGCUUAUUUAAACACUGAUUUUCACCAACUUCCUUUUAGUUGAUUAAUUCUCCAUUUAAUUGAUUGAAGCUUCUCUUCCUCUAACUUAAACUUAUUAAAAUAAACUCAACCAAUUAAAAAUUCUUUGAAUUUGAAUUUCUUCAUUUGGCUCCCUUUAACGAUCAACUUCAUUUUAAAUUUAAAUUUUGGCUCUUUUAGGUACUUCAAGGUUUUUUUUUUCUAGAAAUAAGUUACUUCAAGUUUGACCUUUAAUCUAUUAACCUCUUUGGUUCACUGAUUAAUAAGCUUCUAUUUUGCGUUCAAUACCCGUUUAACUAAUUAAGGCUUGUGUUAACUAGUUAAGACCUUUCUACUUGUCCUUAGUGUAGUGACCAGAAUUGCUUUAACUAAUUAAGGAUCUUUGUUAAUCGAUUAAGACUAAUCUGUCACGACCCAAAUUUCGGGCCAUGACAAGUGCAUGGGCCCAAUAGACGUAGUCUACUAAGCCCAAGUAAGCCUAUUAAUAUGACCUGUUCAUCAUUCCAUCAAGUUACUAAAGUCACAUUUCAUAAUUUCGAAUCAAAUAAUGUUAAUCAUUGCUAACUCGUAGUGGCAUUACCCAUCAAAAUAUACAUAUAUUGUCUGCAACAUGUAUCUUAAUAAUUUAUAUCAGGUUUGUCUAUACAUCUCAAAAAGGAGACUCGAUUUCUAGCGGAGAGACUCGGACGAAAGUACAGCUACUAAAUGCCGAGACACCUACCAAGAGUCGAAUCUACGAAGACACCUCGACCUAGUUACUGACUGCCUCCUAAUCUGAAAAAAUGAAGUUGAAAACGGUGAGUAUAAACCUAGUGAGUGAACAUAAGAAGGGAACAAUCAAUCAAUAGGAAGAAUUUGAAAAUCAUGAUGCACUUGUUUCAAAACAAUGCAAUUUAGUUUCAUUCUCAUUAAAACCCCUCAUUAAACCCUUAAAUGGUUAAUCACUUGAUAAUGAUGAAUCCACACAUAACAAAGAAAUUCAAGAAUGAAAGCUUCAGUGAUACACAAGCAAGUCAAAUGAAGCGACGGGUCCUCGCUGCAGCGGAAAAGCAUUCUUGCUGCAACAAAGUUUGGGCUCAAGUUAUUAGUUGAACGAGGGUUUCUCAACUGGCUGAGGGUUUUUCUCUAAAAUUCCUCAUUUCAAACUUUAUUAAAUAAACCCCUAAAUGUUAGGAGUCCAUGAUUAGCUAUGGUGUAAUUGAAAUGGAAAAAUAUGGCAAAACCAGCAAGAUAGCAUAAUGGACAAAAAGUUUCUCGUUGCAGUGAGAUUCUUUCUCACUGCAGCGAAAUUCAAGUGACCAAAACAGAAUGUUUCUCGCUAAAGCAAGAUUCGAUCUCGCUGCAGCGAGAAGCUUCAAAAAUUUUCUCGCUACAGCGAGAAUACAGUGAGAACUAGGUCAGGUAGACCUCUCAAACUUGAGAGUUUCUCGCUGCAGCGAGAAAUAUGGCACCAAAGGAAAGUUUCCAUUCUCUCAAGAAAAAGGCCAUCCUGCUGAAAUGACAGCAUUAACAUGAAACACUUAAAAUUCCCAAAGUUCAGCAUGCCAAAUUUUCAUAUGCAUUACAAUCAUAUACCAUAUUCAUGAACUUUUAUUUCAUAAACAUAUAUAUACAUAUACACAUAGAAAAACACCAAUACCACCAUCAUCUCACCUAGCUCAUGUGUAUCCCCCCACAUCGUGCACAUAGCCAGGGUCAUCGUGUGCAUCCCCCCACAUCGUGCACAAUUAGUGCCAUCGUGUGCAUCCCCCCACACCGUGCACACGCACGGUUAUCAUUAUCACACAAUAUCAACCAUCAAUGCACAACAUAUAUAUAUAUAUAUAUAUAUGUAUACCAACAUAAUGUAGUAGUACUUGAAUCCAUAACAGCCACAUAUCACAACAUAGAGACAAUUUAUCAAAGGCUUAUUCCAGAAUGAGUUUUGAAGAUAAAACAAAUAAAACGCUUUAGGGAUUCAAUCAAACAUACUUGUAUACACAUCCCAAAACCUUUUUAAUGCAAGUUCACUCAUCGAUAUUUUGUUAAACCUUUAGUUUACUCUAACUUCCCUAAUGGUCCAAAUGGGAAGGUGGGGCUUUGUUGGAACCUAAUCAUCACAUUAGCAUCAUAAUUAAAUCAAUUCCAAUACUUAUAAAUUCUAAAAGCUAUCUCUUAACUAGCUUCCAAUUGCCAUCUAAUUGGCUAUUUAUUUUCACUAUUCUAAUCACUCUAAAAUGAAUGAACAACCUCAACUACAAAAAAUUCACAACUCUAAUCUCUAGCCCUUCUCAACACUUAAAAUUCAACUCUAGUUUACUACUCACAUUGGUAGCUUUGAAAUAGAAAUUCUUUCCAAAAAUUUUCAAGCUCUUAUUGAAGCUCUCUCUUUCUCUCUCUCUAAAACGUCUAGCUAGUAAGAGAAAGUAUGGAAGUAAGGCUUAUGAAGGGUUUUAAAGUGAGAAAGUGAAAGAGCACAAGGGUUCUAUCACGACCUAAAUUUCGGGCCAUGACUGGCAUAAGGGCCUAAUAGACGUAGUCCAUUAAGCCCAAGCAAGCCUAUCUAUUUAUCCUACUCAUCAUUCCAUCAAAUAUUGCUAAGUCACAUUUUAUAACUUUAAAUCAAAAUAGUGAUAGACAUUGCCAACAACUCGUACUGGCAUUACUCAUUUAAAAUAUACAUACAUUGUCUACAGUAUGUAUUCUAAUAAUUUACAUUAGGUUCGUCUAUACACAACAAAAGAAUACUCGACUUCCAGCAGAGGGACUCGAAUGAAUGUACAGCUACUGAAUGCCGAGACACCUACCAAAAGAUGGAUACAAGUCUACAAGGACACCUCAUCCUAGUUACCGACUACCUCGUGAUAUGAAAACAUGAUGUUGAAAACGGUGAGUAUAAACCUAGUGAGUGAACAAGGAAGGGAACAAGCAACAAUAAGGGAGAAUUUAAAAUCAUGAUGCACUUGUUUCAAAACAAUGCAAUUUAGUUCCAUUCAUAUUAAAAACCCCUCAUCAAGCCCUUAAAUGAUUAAUCAUUUGAAAAUCAUGAACCCAUACAUAAUGAACCAUUUGAAGAAUGAAGGCUUCAAUGAUACGCAAACAAGUCAAAUACGACAACGAAUCUUCGCUGCAGCUUAAAGGCAUUCUUGCUGUCGUGUAGCUACAGUGAGAAUGCCUUUCUGCUUAGCGACAUUGGGAUUAAGUUAUUAGCCAAACGAGGGUUUCUCACUAAACCUCCUCAUUUUAAACUUAACUCAUUUAGUCCUUAAUAUUGGAAGUCCAUGCUCAGAUAUGGUAGCAAAGAAGUGAAAAAUAAGGCAGCAAUUGGACAAGAUAGGAGACAAAAUAGAAAGUUUUUCACUGCAGCGAGAAUGAAUUUCACUAUAGAGAAAAGCUACAGUGUCAUUCUCGCUACAUCAGUUUCCAGCUAGUCUACCACUCCAAACCUGAGAGUUUCUCGCUGCAGCGAAAAUGAUUCUCGCCGCAGCGAGAAACAGGGCACCAAUGAAAAUUUUGCCUUUCUUUCCAAAGAAAAACCACCCUACUAAAAUGUCCAAACCUACAUGAAACGCAUAACAGAUUUCCAAAGUUUAACAUGUCAAGUUUCACAUGCAUUAGAACCAUAUACCAUUACUCAUUAAUUUCCUAUAACACAUAUGUUUACAUAUAUAUAUAUAUAUAUAUGUAUACGUAUACCCAUCAUCAUCAUGCACAUCAUCCCAUCAUCAUCAUACACACCAUCACAUCAUCAUCAUCACCAGCUCAUGCGCACUCCCUACUCGCACAUGGCUGGGUCAUCAUCGAGUUAUGUGCACUCCCUACGCGCACAUAACCGGGUCAUCCUCAACUUAUGCUGUCACAACCUGAAACUCUCAUCGGGCCCAUGACAGUUGCCAUGAAGUCCCGAUAGGCACUUAUUACCCGAAAUGCCGAUCGAAACCCCGCAAAGCUUAGCAUCAGCUUUCACAUCUCCCCAGUGAGCGACAGUUUUUAAAUCUUGCAUUUUAAGAAAUCAUAAGUUGUUUCCAAAUCAAAACAAUAUACUAUUAUUUUCUGACUCACAGGGGCAUUUUCGUCAUUUUUCUUCAAAAAUACCGAAACCCUCCAAAAACAUGGUGUGUGGGUGAAAAACACAUGUUUCAUAAUUAAAAGUAAAUUUAGAUGUCUAAAAUAAUUAUUUGAAAUGAAAUUAUAAUUGUUUGAAUAAAAUAAUAAUAUUUAAUAAAAUAUUCUAUUUUCUAAAUAAAAAACAAUAUUUAUAGAGAAAUACAUAAUUUAAUUUCUGUAGUGUAAAAGCUAAAUAUAUUCAUAUGUACUUUAAAGCAGAUAGCUGAAGUAUAAAAUUACUUUUACAGUGACACGUGGGCCCCUAACUAACCAAUAAGGUGCGAGUUUGUGAACCUACAAUUUUGUCAAUGCAAGGCUAACUGAAAUCCUUGAUGCAAUCGGCUAUCUACUGACUAUCCUGAGCCUAAAAGGUGGAGAAUUGAGGGUGGUUAGAUUAUAAAAUUCCAGUGAGUAAACAAAUACCAUCUAAACCAUAUAAAGUCAAGUAAAUGGAGACAAGUAAGAUAUUCCAUUCCAGUAUGUUUCUCAUAACAUCAAUAAUCAAUUUACUCAAAUAAUCAACUUGGCUUAUGUAUUUCACAAAACUUGGCUCCUACCAAAAUUAUUCCCGAGGAUGCGUUGGCCUAGGCAUCUGACCGAGAUCACCAAGGCUGUUAAAUGUCUUUACAUCCGAAAUUCUAGUCAUGCCUUGGCGUUGGUUGAGUCUCACUCUCACGCGGUGGUCCACGUGAAGUGCACUCAAAUCUUUACCUCUAGAGAAACCCUACACACGGCUAUCUAAUCGAGGUAAGGUAUAUCUGAUUCUGUGCCCCCUCUCUUAGGUUGGUCCACAGAACCUCCGCUGCAGGGAUUAUGAAUUAUUUUAUCGAUCACCUGAUUUAUAAAAUCUUUUUCUGCAUGACAUGGCAAUUUAUCGUAAUCUAGCCUCUCAAGGCUAAAUACAUAGUAUAUAUAAUUUUGAUACAAACACAGACUUUGCCAUUCAUGCUCGCAUAUUGCUAUAAGCCAUAUAAAUUAAAGCACAAUUAAUAACACAAGCGGGCAAUCUCUAAUUACUCUACUUUCAAAACCAGUAUUCAAUUUCCCAAAACAUUUAUAAAAUCAUUUUAUAAAAUCACAAUUUUUCCUAAAACAUAGCAAUUUACCAUUUAAACUCAUUUUCUAUAAAAUCACACAAUUGAAUAAAACUACUCUAGAUAAUUAAGACGAUAAUAAGUUUACUCACAGUUUUAGGAGUUGAUGUACUUCUAAUCCCAGUAUUCAAGCACAAUCUCUGUACUUUUACUAGUGUAAUUUGCUCACCACUUAUCCACAAUGUACAAUACAUAAUUCACCACAUUAAUGCUUGACCAUUAUAAAUCAAUUCAGGCUCGGUGUAUAUGCAUCAUAUCACAUGCAACUUAUCCGACUACCGCUUAAAUGCAGUGCUGACCUAAUUCGGCCUAUCACCCGAUUAAAUUACUAACGCGUCCAAUUUAAUAUCAAAUUACUCCAUUUCUUUUUUUAAUACCUCAAUUCACCAAACAUUAUUCAAAUAACACCAAUUUCAGCAUCAAAACCUUCCCAUUUCUUCAUGGAAAAAUUCGGCCAUUACAGUGCACUAACACUGUGAUUUUUUCUACUUAAUUUUCUCACCAUUAUUCAUCAUUUUCUAAGCCAUUUCUCUUGAAAUAAUAACAAUCCAUCUCCCACACAUAUCAAGGAAGAUUCGGCCAUGAAGAUUCAUUAUACCAGAGUUAAAAUUUUUCACUUCUAAACCUCAAAUCAUACUCCAAUACUCAAAUAAUACUCCAACAAGUCAAAUGGGGCUAAAAAAAUCUUUUCUAAAAUUUCCAUUUUAUCCCCAAGUGACAAAUGACCAUUUUGCCCCUAGAUAGUGAAAAUUUCGGUUUGACUCCAAAUUUAUCCUUGAACUCCAAAUCACCAUUUUAAAUCAUUCCUGGACCGUGAAACUCUCAAUUUCACCUUAAAUUUCCUAUUUGAACUAGUUCGAGGCUUAAUCGACUUAAUGGUACCAUCAAGGGCAAUAUCGUCUUUUAACGAUUUCUUGAACUUCCUAAAUAUGCAAACAUUCUAUUGAGCAUGUAAAUGACGUCGUAAUUAUUUUAUAGAAUAGGGUUUGACAUAUGCGCACUUCCUACUCGCACAUAGCCGAGUCAAUAUAAUUACACAAUACUAUAUUCAAACAUAUAUGUAUAUCAACAUAAUGCAGCAACAUAGAGAUCCAUGAUAACCACAUGUCAUAACAUAAAAUGGAUUUAUCAAAGGCUUGUUCCCAAGGCACUUGCUUUAACAAAAGUUGUGUAGAAUCAUUCAAAUACUUUGUACAAAACAAUCACAUUCCUAAAAUAGUUUUGAUAGGCAGUCCACUCACCGAUUUAUUGUUGAGCCUUUAGCUGACUCUAAUUCCCCUAAUGAUCCAAUUGGAAGGAUGGGACUUCAUUAGAACUUAGGAUCACAUUAGCACAAGCAAUAGGUCAAUUCACAUACUAUAAACCCUAAAAGCUAUCUCUUAGCUAGCUUUCAAUUGCCACUUUAAAUGGCUAUCUAUGUUCACUAUCUAAAUUACUAUAAAAUGAAUGAACAUCCCCAACAAUAAAACAGCUCAUAAUCUAAAUUACUAACCAUUAUCUACAGCUAAAAACAAAGCUUAGUUCAUCACUCACCUUAGGGUUUCUUUGUAGUUGAAUUUUCUUCUAAUAGCCUCCAAACAAAUGGGGUAAUUUUCUCUUUCUCUCUCUAGAAUGACCAACUAGUGAGAGAAAGCAUGAAAAUAAGAUUUUUCAAGGGUUUUAAGGAGAGAGAGUGGAAGAAUACAAGGGUUCUAGUCAAAAAGGGCUCAAAGGUAUGAAAAAUAGAGCUAGAGAGAGAAAAUUAUGCAAGCUCCACAUCAAGCUUCCAUGGAGGUUGGAAGUAAGGUGAAAGAGAAGAAAGAAGAAGAAGAAAAAUCUGCUCGAAAAUGGGAGAAGAAGCUGCUGAAAACAAGAUAUUUAUAGCUCAAAUUUAUCCAUUCCCUUGAAAUUACCAAAUUACCCCUCCACAAUUUAGCUUAUUCUCCUUCAAUCUUUUAUGCAAUCUUUUUGCUCUUUUGACAUUGAGACAAGGUCCAUAAUGGUCUAGACAUGCUCGGGUUCAUGAAAACUUAAAAUUCUAACCCGAGGUGAAAAAUGACCAUUUUACCCCUACCAUGAAAAUCAUCAAAAUUUUGGUUUCCUUUCCAUUUUACCCCUAAUUUCACCAUCCAUUUAUGCCUUAGGCCUACUUAGGCCAUAAUAUUGUUUAAAAAUCUUACUUUUAUGGGCUUACUAAGGAAAUAACGAAAUUACCCCUAAUUAGGGAUAUCGCGUAUAUUACUAACUACGAGUCUAUAAAGGUCAAGGUCUCACAGGUUCUAUGCAAAAAUGCACAAAAGCUUGAAAAUUGGAGCUAUUUCGAGAGAGGUUAUAGAGGUUUCAUAGCAAGCUUCCAUGGAGGAUAAAAGCAACGUGAGAUGAGAAGGAUGAAAAAGAUGAAGCUGUUGGAGAAUGAAGAAGCUGUUGGAAGAAAAAGAUAUUUAUAGCUCAAGCUUAUCCAACUCCAUUUUUUUAAAAAAAAAAAAGUUGGAAGUUCUCGUAGGACCCAGCUAUCCUGUUAAAUUUUAUUAAUUAUCGAAAAAUGAAGGACAGCAGGGAGGGGGGCACAAACCGAACCUCCAGAAUUACAUGAGAUUGAGAAGAGUUAAGAAAAGUACCUAAUGAGGAAAAUGUAAUUUUAUGUGUAUAUUUGUGAAUGCAAACAUAAAAUUGAAACACUUUCCUGUUACAAGAGUUUAAAUAAUUACUAAAGAAAAAGGCGUAAAAAUAAAUUAGGAGUACCUAAGAAAUCCUCUAAGCUUACCUUCUACUUGCGCAAAUAUCUGCAGGUUUUUGUGCGUAUGCCCCUGGUUGGACAAAUAGUCUGCAGCCUAGUUCCCUUCUCUCUGAAUAUGUGAAAUCCGAAAAAAGAAAACAUUCAAACAUUUUCAGAUUGAGGCUAACAAAUAUCUAGUCUGAGAUGAACCCUGAUGUCCCUCCUGUAUCAUUUGUACAACUACCUGUGCAUCCAUUUCUAUCCAGACUCUAGAUACGUUGUACGCAAUACAUAAUAGCAGACCCCGAUGUCAUGCCAUUAACUCUGCCUGGAAUGAAUUAUGAGGUCCAAAAUUUUCAGAGAAAGCAAAAAUCAUAUUACCUGUAUGGUCUCUAAGAAGACCACCACCAGCAGCAUUCUGGAAUGCAUCUUUAGAACUACCAUCGACAUUCAGCUUAAACUUAUCAAUCAAUGGACGAUGCCAGUAAAUAAUUUUGGGUGGAUCCUGGUUCUUCCGAUCAAAACGGAAACCCUAAUGUGUAGCAAUAUCAAGAUCACCUCGCCAUUGCCAUUGGCGUAACAAAGAACCCUGAAACAACUGCUGUAACAAUUUCAUAAUACGCCAAAUAAUUCUAUCCGGAUACAUUCCAAGGCCUCUAUGCUUAGCAUCAUUUCUUUCAACCCAAAGAAACCAAAAGAUCAGCAAAGGCAAUAAUAUUCGAAUAUGUCCAGGUUUAGUGUAAUCCCCAGAAUAAUACCAAGCAUGAAUAAUUUGCAUAACAUUGUUGGGGUUAAGAACAGAUAUUUGAAAGAAUUUCGCAAAAUAAUUCCAAACCUGUUGUGCAACCGAACCAUCCCAAAAUACAUGCGUAACCGUCUCUUCUGACCGGCAGCAAAGGCAUUUCGAUGCUAAUUGGAAGCCUUUUGAUUUCUUCCGUAACUCCACAAGAAUCCAAUUAUUCACUAAUCGCCAUAAGAAAAAUGAGACAGUAAGUGGGAUACUUGUGUGCCAAAAGAACUUACCUAAUGGAUGACUAGGUUGUCUUUGGUGAAGUAUUUCCCAUGCACUCUUGGUAGAAAAGUCUCCAUUUGGCGUUAAAGCCCAAUAUGCUGCAUCCUCUUGUAAACAACUUAUAAGGAUCUUCAAUAUCUCAUUCACGACAUUAGUUGGCAAUACAGCUCUCAGCUUGUUAACAUCCCACUCAUUAUCAUGAAAAAAAUAAUGAACUUUAAUCAUGGAAUUAGAAAAUGAGGGGAAAGAGUUUACUAGUGAGUCAUCUCCAAACCAAAUAUCAUGCCAGAAAAAUAAAUCUCCUUUCCCAAGCCGCCACCUUAUCUGUUGCCCUGUUAUGUCUCUCCCAAUGAUCAUUCGCUUCCAUGUAGGUGAAUCAUGUGGUUUAGAAGUCACUUUGUGAAGAAGUUGGCCAGUAUAGUAUCUAGCUCUCAUAUAUCGAGUCCACAAGUUACUACAAGUUUGGAAUCUCCACCAUAGUUUCGUAGAGAAAGCCUCAAAAACAUCCGUCAAAUUACGAAUACCCAACCCACCUUCUGAACAACGUAAUGCUAUUUUUCCCUAUGCCAUCCAAUGCAUCUUUUUACUAUCCAAUGAACCUCCCCAAAUAAAAGAAUUAAAAAUUCUCUCAAUUCGUUCAAUAACAAUCACAGGCGGCUUAAGCACUUGGAGCAAAUAAAUCAGCAGAGAUGACAAAACACUUCGUAAUAAAGUAAUACGCCCACCUGGAGACAAAACUUUAUUCUCCCAUCCUGUAAUGCGAUCCCGGAUCUUAUUGAUGAGGGAAUCAAACAGCAACACCUUCUUAGGUCCCUUAUACAGAGGAGCUCCCAAAUAUGUGAUGGGUAAUUUUGUUUGCUGAAAUCCUGUGGCUUGAGCUAUAAUCUGGCAUCUCGAGCUAGACACACUGUUUGCUGUAAUGAAGUUACUUUUGUUAGGAUUAAGCUUCUGCCCUGAAAUCUGUUCGUACUCCUGCAAGAACGUUAACACUUUUUGCAAGGCAGCUUUGCUUCCAUUAGUAAAAAUCAUGACAUCAUCCGCAAAGGCAAGGUGACUGAUAUUUAUAGAGCAUCCGGAUUGAUAAUGCAAUGAGCAGAAUUGAGAGAAUAAAUUAUUUAAACCAUGAGAUAGGUAUUCAGCAGCAAGGAUAAAUAAUAAUGGUGAAAUUGCAUCUCCCUGUCGUAAGCCCCUCUCAGAUUUAAAAUACCCAACUGAUUGCCCAUUAAUCAAUAAAGAAAACCAGCAGUUCGAAAUGCAGCGUUUAAUCAUGUCUAUCCAAUGAGCAUUAAAUCCAAAUUUGUCCAUCAUCAAAUAUAAAAAAUCCCAGUUUAUCCAGUCAUAAGCUUUCAUCAUAUCAAGUUUUAAGACAACAUUACCUCCUCUCGAUUUAUGAUCCAGCUUACCAAUCAAUUCCUGGGCCAGAAGUAUGUUGUCACUGAUCAGCCUACCUUUCACAAAGCCACUCUGAUUUUCGGAUAUCAAUGAAGGCAAUACUGUAGAUAAACGGUUUGCCAAUAGCUUGGUGAUAAUUUUGUUGAGGACAGUGCAUAAGCUAAUAGGCCGAAAAUCCUUCCAUUGCAUUGCAUCCGAUUUUUUGGGUAGUAAAAUUAGAGUUAUAGAUGUAACUCCUUUUGGCAGCCUUGCUCCUCUGAAAAAAUCCUGAACAGCAUAGAGCAGAUCAUUUGCAAUGAUACUCCAGCAAUGUUGGUAGAAGAGAGAGGAAAACCCAUCAGGCCCUGCCACACUGUCUUUAUCAAUCCCAAAUACUACCUCCUUGACCUCAGACAGCGUAGGCACUACACAUAACAACUCGUUAUCAUGGUUAGUUAAUAAACAAGGAAUUAAGGAAGUAUUGAACCUGGUGUUAUCACUGCUGUCUGCUUGUAAAAGAUUAGCAAAAUAAUCCACUGCUGCAGAUUUAAUAAGCUUUUGAUCCUCUACAACCGAACCAUCAUUAUUUUCGAUCCGAAAUAUAGAAUUUUUCACUCUUUUCUUAUGCACUCUCAUGUGGAAAAAUCGUGUAUUAUUUUCCCCCUCCACCAACCACUUAACCCCCGAUUUUUGCUGCCAAUACGCCUCUUCAACGUUGAGCAAAUGAUUGAGUCUAACAUAGGAUAAAUGCAUGCUUUCACGGUUUGCAGGAGAUUGGUCCUCUUGGAACCGUUUUUCACUCUCCUCAGCCUAUUUCUCUACUGCACGUAAGUUGCUAAAGAUGUCACCAAACACAUAUUUAUUCCAUCCCUUAAGUGCCUUUUUAAGUCUCUGAUGUUUCAACCAAAAAGCAUUCAUUCUGAUUCCCUGCAUCGGUAAAUUCCAGUUAUUAGCCACAAACUCUAAAAACCCAUGAUGUUUUACCCAACAGUGAAGGAAACGAAAUGAUGAAGGCCUCUGCACAUUGGAGUUAGAACAGGAGAUAAGCAGCGGGCAGUGAUUUGAACCAUCCCGGUUAGAUGCUGAAUCCGAGUGGUAGUAAAUUGAGAACCCCACUGUGAGUUAUAAACAACCCUGUCUAAUCUUUGAAACAUAUGGGAAUUGGUCCACAUAAAUUUAUUGCCUUCAAAUCUUGCAUCCAACAACCCACAAUCAAAUAAAGCAGUUGCAAAAUCUUCCAUAGCUUCGGUAUGUGGGUCUGCCCCAAAUAAUCUUUCCUCCCUGCUUAAAAUCACGUUAAAAUCCCCUGCAACAAGCCAAGGGUCUUGUACAUCUACUGCAAUCAUUCUUAAAAAAUCCCAUAAAGUAUUCCGUUCCAGUCUAGUACAUUUUGCAUAAAUAAAAUAUGCUUGAAUGGGAAAAGGAAACCAAGGAAACGACAAUUGAACAUGCAAACCUUGAGGGUGGUCAAACCUGGUUUUGCAUGUGAUCCCAUGCAUCCAAAAAAUCCAAAUUUUUUGAGAACAAUUAAAAGCCGCUCCAUCAAAGUCUAGUUUCCUUCUGAAAAAUUCAAUUCUGGACACAUUUACCAUUGGUUCCAAAAUCACCAAAAGUUUUAUUUGGUGCAUCAACUGCAGUUUUUUUAUUCUCCUUUGGAUUACUUUACCAGCCACUCCCCUCACAUUCCAGAGUAAAGCACUAAUCAUGGACAAGAUCUGGUAAUGAAUUGCUUUGAGAUGGAAUCGUCACAAGCUCCAUCUGUCCCCGACUGAUUUCCAUUCUCGGAAUAACCUUCCUCUGAAGGAAUGUAAGAAACGUCACUAUCAGAUUUCCUUCUUCUGGCAAUUGUAGGAUCGUAGUCAAACUGAUGGCUAUCCGAAUCUAGUUUAGAAUCAACGUUACUCAAUGAUCUGCUACUAUCCCUAUCAUGAUUUUGCUGCUUGUUACCUCCAAAAAUUUGGUUCUCCAACAUUUGUCCUUCUUUGUCUGCAUGAUGGAUCACAGAUUGGGAAGGAAUAAGGCUAGGUUCCUUGUUAAAGCAACAAUACCCUUGUCCUUUAAAUACUGGAGAUUCACAAGUGCUGCCAAUAACAUUUCCCGAGGAGGCAUUCUCAGCGCAAAACUUAUUGGAAGAAGAAUGAACAGUGUCGAGUUGAAGACAGCCAUCUAGACUCACUACCUCAUUAUUACCGAGUUGACUCAUCUGUACAUUUUCAUUCCCGACUUGCACCCUUGCAGCUUCCAUGCUUACGCGUUCUGACCCCCAUUUUUGACUCUCCGUAUGGUGACCGACCUUCGAUUCUUUUAGGACGUCCCCAUGCACGUCCACUACUGAAGAUAAACGAUCUUCCAAUUGACGAUUUUUCUUCUUCUUUACUUUUCGGGUUGUUACAUGGCCUGCAUCUACUGCCCGUUGAACCCCAUCAAAGUCUCUUAUAUUCUGUACACUAUCAUAAGUAUCUUCACCGGUCUGCCAACUCUCCCUCAUCAUUGCCCGCGCCGAUAGUAAAAAAUCCCUAUCAUUUCCUGCACCGAUAGCCACACUUCCUUCCUUCGUUCGUUCAAUCGAAACGCCCACUUGGUUAAGCUUUCGAGCUUCCAAAUCUACUUCAUCUUUCUUAUUCGUAGCCUGAAGAUCAUCCAGAUCCAUCCCUUUACCAUGCUUCUUCCUUGGUACCAAUCCCACCAUCGUCGGCUGCGUUUCUUUUGCCUUUGAAAAUUUUUUUGGGUUAUGCAUAUUAUUGUUCACCCUCUCUGUUCUCCCCUGUUCUACGUGAUUCAACUGCACUUGUUCCUCCAACACGCCGACCGCAUCAAACUGAUUUGAUAUCGGUACCUGUACCUCUUUUUGGCUAUUUGGGGGGAUGUUGAUAGGUUUUGGAUCCUUUACUCCGCUCGUACCUGGCUUCUCCACCACCUGCCAUUUUGUACUCUGUUUUGGUUCUAUAAACUGAACUCGAUCUAUUCAAUUCCCUUCGCUCAUACCUUGUUCUCCUUCGAUAGGCUUUUCCUUGCCUUCGUCAUCCCCAUUCCUCUUCACUCUCGUUUUCGGGGGUUGCGGUCGCUUCUUCGGUCGAUGCCCCAGCACUAUACAUGUCGAUACGCCAUGUCCCACAUGGCAGCAGUGUGAACAAUAUUCUGGCAGCUUUGCACAAUCAACUUUUUGCAUAUAUCCUCCUAUCACAGAUCCUGUUUUCCUAUCCCGAGUCACAAUCCAGACUUGAUCAAUGGGAGGCUUUUGGCAAUCAUACUCGAUGCACACCCUUGCCACGCUUGGACGCGUUCCCUUCGCCGUGGCUUCAUCAACCAUCAAAGGACGACCCACUGUCUUUGCUAUCAUCAAUAGGGCAAAUUUCUCAUAUAAGUGUGCCCUUAGGUUUGGGAAUGAUAUCCAAAUUGGCACUAGUGAAGAUUCCUUCUCCGGUUGAAAAUCCGGAAUCCAUUUAAAAACACGCAUUUUUUGAUUCGAGAUAAACCAUACCUGUUUCAACCAGAUCCGGUUGAGGUCAUGUUCGUUUGAAAGUUGAAUCAAAAUAUGCUUGUAAUCAAGCCAUUUUAUCUCGUAUGCACCCACUAAGCCGAUUCCUUUAAAAGCCAUACGGAUCUCGUUUAUGCGCGGCAUCCUGGAGAAUUUUCCGAUCAUGGAGAACUUGAAAGGCUGCGCUAAGGCAGUGAUUUCAUCAUAAAAAAAAACUGCAGCCGGUCUGUCCUUGUACCAAAAAGGUUCACGGGUGGGGGGGAUUAAAGGUGGCUUUUCCCCAGCCGCCACACUCAAGAAGAACUUUUUUUUGUGCACGAGGGGAUAUGGGUGGAUUUUGAAGGUUGUUAUUUAGCAAGCCUCCAUUGUUGACUGGCGUUUGUAAAUCUUUUGGGUCUGUGGGGUCUCGGUUGGUUCCGUGCGGCAUGAUAAGUGACGAUUCAAAAGGCGGGGAUGGUAGUGGGGAAUUCGGCGGCCUUCCAGUCGCCAUUCCGUGAGGGUGAGGGAGGGGUGGAAAGUGUGAAAAUUCCAGAGCGUUUUAUCCAACUCCAUUUAAAUUAUGAAAAUACCCUUAGCAAGUUAGCUUGUUCUUCUCCAAUCCUUUGUGCAAUCUUUUUACUCUUUCGACACUGAAACAAAGUCCAUAAUGGUCUAGAAAUGCUCUAGUUCACGAAAACUUAAAAAUUUUAACCCGAGGUGAAAAAUGACCAUUUUACCCUUACCGUGGAAAUCAUCAUCAUUGUUAUUUCCUUCGUCAUUUUACUCGUAUUUCAUCAUUUAUUUAUGCCUUAGGCCUACUUAGGCCUUAAUAUUGUUUAAAACUUACUUUUAGGGGUUUACUAAGGAAAUGACGAAACUACCCUUAGCUAGUGUUAUUGCAUCUAUGCCUAGUUAUGAGCCUAUAGAGGUCGAGGUCUCACGUAAUCUAUCUUCAUUAAAGCUCUUUCUUCUUUGCUUGUUUAACCAAUUAACCCAUCUUGUAACUGAACAGGCAUCUUGACUUGCUUUCAAACAAUAAAUAAGUUAAAGAAUUAAAGCCUUUUCCUGCACACUUAAAUAAUAUAAUUAGACACCAAUGAAUGAGAAUGUUUUGUUAUCAUACAAAACACAUGGAGUCAAUAUUCUCUCUCUUAUUUUUUAUGAUGACAAAACACUCUUAGAUUAAGAGUGCAAUGUCUAUAUUUAUAUUUUAUAUCUAUGUUCAAGUGAGGGAUUACUCGCCCUUAAUAUAUGCUCCCCUUUAGUAUGUGCAAAAAAAACAAUUUCAAGAUUUUCCUUUAAUCUUUGAAUUAGACGUUAAUGAAUGGGGAAUCAUAAGGACUCAUACAACUAAGUUAUGCAAGCUUAUAGAUAUAGUUCAUUAACUUCAAGAGUCAAGCUUGUAACUAUGUAAGAACAAAUGUAUUAGAGUUAAAUCGUUUCAAGAUCUUGUCAAGAAUCACUUAAAUAGUGUUCAAGAAAAUUUGAUCAUUUUGUCAUAAUCAAAACUAUAUAAUUUUAAAGCUAAUAACUAUCUAGAGAGGCUUGGUUCUAGACAUGUGUAGUGAGUAAGACACAUGCUUGUUAUACCUAUCUAGUAAGACUUGGUGCUAAACAUGUGCAGUAAGACUUGGAAUGGUGCUCAACUAAGCUCAUUGUGGGUUUGGAUUGCAAUCCUCCCUUGGUGAUGUAAUGCGGCUAAAUAUGUUGAUAGAGUGAACUUGGUAAUUAGGCCUAUGAUAGAGUGAUGUUAUAAACAUAAAAAACAAUAAUAAAUAAAAUAGUUACGAACUUUGUAAAUUAGGAAUAAUGUUAUAAUUUUUAUGUGUUUGUGUCAUAGACAGUUAAUUUGAAUUAAAUAAAUAUAUGGAAAUUGUUCAAUGAUGAAAUUUCAAGAAGGUUAUAAGUGAUAAGUUCGAGAGAAUUUCUAGGUGAGGAAAUUCUCUGAACUUCUGUCGUGAGUGCUGGAGAGUUCGAAAAAUUUUCAAUAAAAAUGAUUUGCUUAAAUAAUCAUAAUAAAAAUAACAAAAAAUAAUAAGACAAAACAAAUAAAUGAAAAAAAGGCAUAAAAAUGCAAACAAAUAAAAAGUCUUCAAUGAUGGAAUUUUGUCAUAGCCCAAAUCUUGAGCCAUGACCGGCACAUGGGCCUAAUAAGCAUAGCCCACCAAACCCAAGCAAGCCUUAUUAGAGAUUCUCGAUAAUUCACUAUACUCAUUCUCCAAUCCAUAUUAGUGCUUAAACCAUAUACUUUCGUACCAUAACUUGAGCCAUAAUUAUAAUAAUCAAUUCAAUCUUUAAAACAUAUAAUCAUAAGUAUAUACAAUGAGGUCUAAAGUCUCCAAUCUAAUACUUAUGCCAAGGCCGCUAUCCAUUUACAAUUAAAUAAACAAAGUGCUACGACUCGACCUCUAGUAGCAGAGUGACUUGGAAUGAAAUGCUAUGAGAUGCCUUUACAUAUCUGUAAUGGACCAUAAGUGCCGAUGAUUGCACACUAGGCCGAUCACUAUUUACAAAAGGGAAAUAAGGGGGUGAGCCUCACAGACUCAGUGAUCAUUGGCUCCAUGUGUAGGGAGUAGAUGGGAAACAAGCAAUAAAUAAAUCAUUUGAAUGAUAAAAUCAAAGUAUGAAAUGCUAAUCUUAUAAACCAAAUCACAAUAAGGAUAUUUGUGCCUUGUAAAAAUAAUAUCGUAGAAUCAUAAUACAAGGCUUUCUUUAGCAAAACAAUGUAAAAAAUAAGUGUAACAGAAAGAGUUUCAAUUGCCAGAAAUAUCAUUUAUUAUCAAAAUAUGAAAUACGGUAUAAAGGUAUGCAAGCUCCCAAAAUGUGUGGCAUGUAAAGAAAUCAAAGUGUGUAGCCACAUAAAUCAACUCAUGAUUCUCGAGUAAGCAUGAAAAGCUUUUAUUUAAACAAGAGAAGCUGCAAAGAAAAUCUGAACCCUUUACCAUGUAAAAGAGUACGCGUCGAAAAGCUUAUAAGGCUUUCAAGUAGAAAAGUAAAAUAUCAACACGUGGACCCAUUUCCAUUUAAUAAUAAUCAGGGAGUCUUACUCCACAUGAUUCUUAUAGCCAUGGCAACCUCCAGGAUGUUGGCUGACAUCGGAGAAUCAAGCGGUCGCUACCACACACAUCUCGGAGUCUCACUCUACCGAAUCACUUGUGGCCUAGCCACAUAUACAUAUCACAGGUCGUGGCCCCCGCCACGCCUAACAGACCGUCGGUGACCCAAAGGUUCUCUAGCUAGAGCUCACUCAUGCAUGAGGGUCACACUUAACCGAAGUGAUAGUUGGCCUACUCUCGAUGCACUUGGUUUAUCAAAACCAUUUUCAAAAAUCACAUUGAAGUUUCCAAGUCUUUCGCUUAAAACCAUUUGAAAACAAGGUUCAAUAACCUUUCAAAUUACUUUCCACAUAAAAAGGCAUGGUGUAUUCCUUUAUACAAAGAUCGGACUAAAACCAGUACUCCAAACUUGCAUUUAAAUCAUUUAACAGUUGCAUUUAAACUAUGCAUAUCACACAAAAAUACAAAGCACGGAUUUUGAAUGCAAAACAGUAUAAAAGGCGUGUUUCCUAAUUCUUAAAACACUUUACGUAUAUAGGUCAUCUAUAGAUAUAUCCAAAACAAUUUUCAAAACAACUUGCAUCCAUAAUUUUCUACGAGUUCUACCAGCUCAUGCUUUCCACAAUAACAGUGUAUAAAUCAUUGUAAAUCCAUUUAGAAAUCUCCUAUCGAGGCUAAUAGCUCAUUCUUUCCACAAUUGCAUUUAAUGAAAUCUGGAAAUGUUUAUAAAACGUAUAACAUUAUAUAGCUAUGGAAAUUUUGAAAUAGACACCCCCCACUCACCUUACAAUAGCGGAACGCUUCGUCGCUAUUGAUUCGAGUGAGUAUCUCGCUAUUUCUAUUUGCUGGUCACUAGUUACCUUGCCUGGUACGCCACCACAGUAAACUUUCCUAGCAACAAAUUAAACUCAAUACGUUUAGUGUAUAUCAUUUCCACUUCUCUUUCUCAUUCAAUCAUAAAUCCUCAUUCUACUAACUAGCAUCUUGACACAUUUUUGCUAAGGUUCCUCAUAUCCUUUGCUUGCGUAAUUUCUUUAGAUUGUGAGUAUCGACAACUUGUUUAUAACAUCAAGUACCCAUGUCAACCUUUCCAACGAUUUUUAUUCAAAUUCGUCAUAUAUUUUCUCAACAUAAACCACAUAUUUGGCAGCAAUUAUAAAUAUAAUUUCAUCAAGCAUUUCCUAAGUUUACAUGCACCACAAUUUACAUUCAUAUUCUGCCCAUACUUGCACAAUUAUUUCCUCACAAUAUUCAACUAACCGUAGGCUUUAAAACAUAAUGUUAAGAUUACCGCUUUCCUUUUCCACUUUGAGUCCAUCAUGUACCCACGGGUUUAUUGGCUUGUAUGUCACCAAUUUUUCUCCAAUCAAGCCAAUCUUUGCUGCCACAAGACAUUUCUCUUAGUCACUAACUCAUUUUCAAAGAUUACUCAAGCUAAAAACAAGAAUCCUUACCUUUCCUUGCUUGAGUCACCAAAACCAAGCUUUUUCUUCCUUUCUCUCUUUUUCUUUCUUCUUUAUUUCUUUCCUUUCUCCUUUCUUCCAACUGAUAUCAUCUAUUUUCUUUCCAAGAGGACUGUUUUCCUUGCAAACCAAAGCCAUUUUUCUUUUCAAAUGCAUGGUGGCAAGGUGAAAUGGCAUGGGAGCAAUGAAAAUGGCAUUGGGAGCAUGAAAGAGAAGAAGAAAAUUCUAUUGGGUGGAGAUAAGAACCAGCCAUGGGAUAAGGAUGAAGAGUCAAAGCUUCCAAACUAAUGGCAAAAUUACCAUUUUGCAUUCUAAGGUUUUCACCGUUUUUAAUUGUAUCCUCCCACAAUCUUUUAAUUCCAAUUUCUUUCCAUUUUUCUUCCCUAACACUUGUAUCGAUAAAAUAUCAAGUUUAUGCUUCAACGCAGUAUCACCACACUAUUUAAAUAUUUACUUUCCCAUGCUAACUUUAUUUAAUAAAGACAUGCGAGCCCCAUUAACAUCAUUUUUCUCCAAAAUUUCCUCGUUUUUCUUCUCCUCCACUUAGAUUGACCAUAUAUUCCUUCUUCAUGAAAAAUUUCGAUACUGAAUAAAAUAUUAAUAUUUUAAUAUUAUUUUAUUAAUAAAAAAUUAUUUUAUUCCAAAAUUUUUCACUUGUCUCCUUAGUGCCCAAAAUGUCUUAUUAUGCCCCAAUUCACUUUCGAAUCACUUUUUAUAUCAUUAAUUCAUCUUCGAUAAAAAAUUAUUUUUUAAUUGUUAUUUCCUCACGUUCGUAAUAUUUUAUUCCGAUCUAUGCCUUCAUCCUUCACCACUUGUAAACACUCUAAUUAACCUCAAUUAGCAUCUGAUAAUAUUUAUUAGCCAACAUAUCAAAGUACGAGGUGCUACAAAUUUCAAGAAGGUUAACUGAGAACUUCGAGAAAAUUUCUAAGUGAGAGAAUUUUCUUAAAUUCUACUAUAACUGUUAGAGUACUAAGGAAAUUCUUCAAUACCAAAAAAUUUUUAUCUAUUUAAAAAAAAAAUAAAUAAAAAAGACAAUAUAAUAAAAAAUAGAAAAUAGGUCAAGGAAGUAAAAUUGAAUAUUGAACUAAAAUUUAUUUGACAGGGUUAAAGAUGACACAUGAUUAAUUAGGUACCAUUUGUAAAGGGCUCUGUGAGGGUACUAAUACCUUCCAUAAAUGUAAUCGUACUCCCAAAUCUAAUUUGUUUUGUAUACCAGAACCUAUACUGAUUAGUGAACCUAAGUCAUGCAUAGGACCUCAUUAGGAAAUUUAGAUUCACCUAGGUGGCCUAUCAUACCUAAACGAAAAAGAUUGGUGGCAACUCCUCUUUACAUCCCAUUGAAUGGUUGAGUUUCAAACUCACACGUUACGACACAUAAGACAUGGUAAGUACUUUAACACUAAGGAGAAAACUUGAUGGAGUUAAGUACAGUGGUAGGUUUUGCCAAAUGGUGCCUGCUAGUGAGAGUGAGUUUAAUACAUUUGAAGGUGGAAGAAGUUUGUGGCGCAUUGUUGUUGAUCUAGUACACGCAACUAUACGUAUCAAACAAGUAGACAGUAAGUCCAAAAUCAUAUCCCAUAAGGAUUUGCUGUUAAUUGUUUACUAAGUACUAAAAUUAUGACAGAUUAAUUUUAUUCAAGUAACUCGAUUUUGUAGAUAAUUAAUUAAAACUAGAUUUAAUCAGCAACUAAACUAAUUAACAAAAACUAAAAAUUAACUAGAGAAAGGUAAUAGAUUAUGGGUUCAUUCAACACUUUAUCUGACAUCAAUUCCUUUCAAUAUUUACAUUCAUGGGUAGUUUUUCUAACCUAGAAUCAAACCUAUAUACAAGUCUUUGUCAAGAUGCUUGUAUAAACACCUAACUUAAUUAGGUCACUAUAUGCCUAUAGUAAUCAAUUAAAUAAGGUUCAUUAAGUUAUUGUUCUAAUUUGGUUAUGUAUGGCAUUUAGGCAUAUGCCUACCCCAAUUGCAAAUCAGAUCACCUAAGUGACAUGAACAUACACUAUUCAAACCUUAGUCUAAUCUCAAAUCACUGUAUUGAGUCUCAUUUAGAUUCACAAAUUAUUCAAUUGUUGGCUAGACAAUCAAAAGCAUUAUGAACAAAUUUGAAUAAACAAAACCAUAUCCAUUCAUAAUAAAUAAAAGAGAAACUGUUGUCGAUUUAAUACACGCAAGUGCACAUGACCUUAAAGUAAUAUAAAAGUAAGUUGAGUAUCGUUUCCCACAGAAACUUGUGCCUAUUCUCACUAAGUAUUAAAUUUAUAACAAAGUUGAUCUUCUCCAAGCACUCGAUUUCAAAUGAUUAAUUAUGCUAAAAAUGAACAUUAAAACCAAGAAAAUAAAAUAAAAUAAAAUUUUAUUAAGAAAAAGAUUAAUUCACAACCUAAGAUUGUGGUGUCUUUCAAACUUUCAUAUGAAUUUAACCAUUCUCCCUAACUUAGAUUAAUGGGAUACAUGGCUAACUUAGAAUCCAUAUUAUGUACAAGUCUUUUUCGAGAUCACGUACACAUACCUUUUUCAAAACUAAUUCCAUAUGUCUAUGUAAAUAAUUAGAAAAGAUGCAUUGCGUUUGUGUUUUAAUUUGGCUACUUAAGGUAUUUAGGUAUGUCACGACCCAAUUUCUCAGGCCAUGACCGGCGCAUGAGCUCAAUGAGCACAGCUCUCUAAGCCCAAGCAAGCCAAUCCAUUUACCUUUGCUUAACAAAUUUAUCAUAUCAUGCAUACACACACAUUUUUUUUUUCGGGUGUGAACAUAGCCAAAACACAAUGGCAUUAUUGAUAACAAUAUACAUGCACUAUACCAGUCAUGUAUUUAGCAAUUUGCAUUGCAUACACAUAUUCACAUUGUUAGAUUGUAUUCAUAAUAUAAAAGGACCCAUGACUUUCAGCGGAGACAUUUACAAUAAAAGGGAUUAUUAUCAAAUGCCAGACACAUACCCAGGAGAUGCACUACGGGGACUCCUCGAUCUAGGGUCCAACAGUCACCUGAUCUGAAAACAUGAAUUUUUAUAAAACGUGAGUACAAUACUCAGUGAGUGAACAAGGAAGGGAACAACCAACAAUUAAGGAGAAUUUAAAAUCAUGAAGCAUUUGUUUCAAAACAAUGCAAUUUAGUUCAUUCCUANNNNNNNNNNNNNNNNNNNNNNNNNNNNNNNNNNNNNNNNNNNNNNNNNNNNNNNNNNNNNNNNNNNNNNNNNNNNNNNNNNNNNNNNNNNNNNNNNNNNNNNNNNNNNNNNNNNNNNNNNNNNNNNNNNNNNNNNNNNNNNNNNNNNNNNNNNNNNNNNNNNNNNNNNNNNNNNNNNNNNNNNNNNNNNNNNNNNNNNNNNNNNNNNNNNNNNNNNNNNNNNNNNNNNNNNNNNNNNNNNNNNNNNNNNNNNNNNNNNNNNNNNNNNNNNNNNNNNNNNNNNNNNNNNNNNNNNNNNNNNNNNNNNNNNNNNNNNNNNNNNNNNNNNNNNNNNNNNNNNNNNNNNNNNNNNNNNNNNNNNNNNNNNNNNNNNNNNNNNNNNNNNNNNNNNNNNNNNNNNNNNNNNNNNNNNNNNNNNNNNNNNNNNNNNNNNNNNNNNNNNNNNNNNNNNNNNNNNNNNNNNNNNNNNNNNNNNNNNNNNNNNNNNNNNNNNNNNNNNNNNNNNNNNNNNNNNNNNNNNNNNNNNNNNNNNNNNNNNNNNNNNNNNNNNNNNNNNNNNNNNNNNNNNNNNNNNNNNNNNNNNNNNNNNNNNNNNNNNNNNNNNNNNNNNNNNNNNNNNNNNNNNNNNNNNNNNNNNNNNNNNNNNNNNNNNNNNNNNNNNNNNNNNNNNNNNNNNNNNNNNNNNNNNNNNNNNNNNNNNNNNNNNNNNNNNNNNNNNNNNNNNNNNNNNNNNNNNNNNNNNNNNNNNNNNNNNNNNNNNNNNNNNNNNNNNNNNNNNNNNNNNNNNNNNNNNNNNNNNNNNNNNNNNNNNNNNNNNNNNNNNNNNNNNNNNNNNNNNNNNNNNNNNNNNNNNNNNNNNNNNNNNNNNNNNNNNNNNNNNNNNNNNNNNNNNNNNNNNNNNNNNNNNNNNNNNNNNNNNNNNNNNNNNNNNNNNNNNNNNNNNNNNNNNNNNNNNNNNNNNNNNNNNNNNNNNNNNNNNNNNNNNNNNNNNNNNNNNNNNNNNNNNNNNNNNNNNNNNNNNNNNNNNNNNNNNNNNNNNNNNNNNNNNNNNNNNNNNNNNNNNNNNNNNNNNNNNNNNNNNNNNNNNNNNNNNNNNNNNNNNNNNNNNNNNNNNNNNNNNNNNNNNNGCCAUUUUCCUUGAAAUAAAAACAAUCCCCCAUUGAUAUUCAGCCCUCAUGGUUCGGCCAACAAGGAACCCUAGAGAAAUUGAAUAUUUCUUUUGUGUUUUUGUUCAUAACCAUGCUUAACUAUCCCUAAACACUAACAUAGUCUAAAAUCAAAUUAUUCCAACAACAAUUCCUCUUCCAUACCCAUUUUUCAGAAUUGAAUUCAUCAUGAUAACUCAAUAUUCAACCAUGGAAAUCAAGAACAAAAGCAUGGGUAAGCUAGGUAUCAAGGAGAAUUAAAGAAAUUUUAACUUACCUAGCUUUUUUCUUUGAUUUCUUCACUUUUUCUUUGAAUUUCCACCUAGGUUUUCUUCUUUUUCCUUUUGUUCUUCCCUUUUUCUUGUUGCUGGAUGCCUAGGCCGAAUAUGGUGAGGCAAUUGGGGAUUUAAUGGGCUGAUUUCUAUAGAAAAUAAUAAAAUAAUCAAGCAUGCCAUGUGUCACAUGCUUAUUGCCCCAAUUUUUAACUUUUUGACUUUUUCUUCUUAAUUUUCCAUCACAAAUAUUCUGGUAUUUAUCCAAUCCUACCACAAUUAAAAUCCCCUGGUCUUGACAAGUGCUGGGGCAAAAAUUUUACUGAUUUGCCCCCGGGAUGAAAAAAUUAUGAUUUUGCCCCUAUACUCCGAAAUGUACCGGAAUCUCAUUAUUUCUACUUUUCAACCUAAAAUAACACUAAUAUUGAUCAAUAUUAACCAAAUGGGGCAAAAAUUAUUUAAAAAAUUUUUGUUUAGUCCUCUAGUAGCAAAAUUACCAUUUUACCCUUAUGCUCCAUAAAUACCGGGAAUCACAAUUUUUCACUGUUAAACAUCAUUUUAUACUCCAGUAAUCAUAAUUAUAUUUCAUAUAAUUAUUCUUGGUCAAAUGUGAUCAAAUCUUGGCUAAAAAUCUCCAUUUUAUCAUCAAAUGGUAAAAUAACUGUUUUGUCCCUAAUUGGUCAAUUUUUUGAUGGACUCCAAAUUGGACCUUGAACUUCAAAUCACUAUUCUAAGCCAUUCUGUUGGUUUUAAAAUUUUAAAAUUCCUCUUAGAAUUUCUAUUUGAACUAGUUCAAGGCUCGAUUUAACUUAGUUGUACCACUUGGUACAAUACCAUCUUUUAAUCGAGCUUGACAAGGUCUCACAGGUAUAUAUCUAUCUUAAAUACGAAAGUAUCACCUAACUCUGAAGUGAAUCAAACAUAGGUUAUUUAAAACAAUAGUUUAUUCUAAACUCCCUCUAUCGAGUUGCAUUUAGAGACUCAAGAUAUUUCAACUGGUGAUCAGGUAGUGAAACCAAUAAGUACAAAAUUGAAUAAACCAUCCAUCAUCCAUUAAUACUAAGCAAAGAGAAAUCUUAUAUUCAAACUACAUAAUGAAAAAACCCAUAAUCCUAGAAAGCAAAUUUAGUUCAUCAUUGUUUUUACAAUAGACAUAAUUAAUUUAGAAAAAAAAAGAUCAUUUAUAUAGCAAAAGAAUAAGAAAGAAAUGAAGAGUAAAGAAAUAUCAAACUUUCAAUUAUUGAUCUUCGGUUGCCUUCAAUUUUUUUUCGUUUCUUUCUUUGGAGAGCCUUUUUCUUUUCUCUCAAAAAUUUCCAUUCAUUCAUUCUUUAAGCCUCUCCUAUUAGCUACUAAAAUCACCUAUUUAUAGCCUCCAGGAAAUCUUAAAAUCCAAUUUCCUGAUUGGUUGCAAAUUCAUAAUUCACGUUAAAGUGCCACAACCUUGCUCUAUGGGAGUCGCGAUGCUGUGGCCUUAUAUAUUAUUUUUCAUGGUUUUUCAACUAGAGUUGCAGCGCUCCUCCUUGGGUGCUAUGGCCUUGAGCUUUGCAAGGUCGUGACACUACUUCUUAUGCUGCCUUGGUGCAAAAGUAUUGCAGUGCCUUAUUCGACAAUGAAAUUUUCUCCUACCUUGACGAUGAUCUUGGUGAAAUAGAAAACAUGAAAGUUUUAGGUCUGCCUCGUAUCUUUCCUAUGGUCCAAGAAUCACAUUGAUUGGAUCUAUGUAGCUCGAGUUAUGUCUAAAUUACUACAUGUUCAAUGAAAAUCUGCACUUAGUCUCCAUUGCAUAGUUCAUCACCAUUUAAUUUUUAUGCAUUUGAAAACCCAUAAACACAAGAACUAAAUCCGAAUUGGCUUUAAAUAAGGUUUUCAACAUGGGAAUAACUAGAAUUACUUGAAUUGUCUAAGUUAACAUGCUUUAAACUAGCCAACUAAAAACAUAAAAAUUGUCUAAAGACUACAUAAAACAUAAGGACUUAGCUACAUUAAGAUCUCAAAAUGUGACUAAAUAACUCUAUAUAAUAAAGUUUUCAAACCCCUAAACUUAAUAUUUUGUGAGUCCUCGAGAAAAAUUAAAAAUAAAAUUAAGAAGGCAUAAUUGAAAAGAUCAAGCAAAGAAACUGCACCAAUCCAUUAAUCACCUUUAAUUUCGUCAUAAAUUGUCUUGUCUUCCCAACUUAUAGCAAGGCAUCGAUAUUGUAUUAGUUUACAUUUCAUUUUAAUGCAAGCUUAUGUUCAGAUGAAUUUUAUGUGUGUGUGUGUGUGAAAUCUCUUAUAAAGAGCAUCAAGCACUUCGAAUAAGACUAUGCUCAUACAUAUUUCAAAUUAGCUCAAAAUUUCAUAUGUUUGCUUUUCACUUAUCUCUCCAUUAAUGUAAGCUAAUGGUUAAUUAUGGAUUCUUAGGACUUUAUUCAAUUUGUAAUAUAAGGCUAGGGUAAGGAUAGGAUAUAGGAUAUAAUGAGGCUCAAAUCACCAUAAGCAUAAAAUUAUUCUAGGACCUAUAUAACCUUACUUCUCUUCACCAAGUAUACCUUUCUCUUUCCCUUCAAUUUUCAUUUGUCAAGCAUUUAUUCUUUUUUUUAUUCUCAAAUCAACACCCCCAAACUUGUUUCUUUUAAGGAUAGUGGGAUGAAUGUUUUACAUUGAAUUUCGAAUUUUUCUCCACUUCAUCUUUUCCAUCUUUUCUUCAAAUAAUUCAACAUAUAUUUUAUAAAACAAUGUACAUGUUUAGGAGUGAGGGUUGUAGAAUUGAAAAUUAUUUAGAAGCUAGGCUAACUUAUUUAUGGUUGAUAAAGAAAAGUGAAAACUUUUUUGCUCGAAGGGGUAUACUAGGGACAAAAUUUAACUGGGUUGGCUGGAAAGUCUCAAUCGACCCAAGGAUGGCCUAAGUCAUUUCCCUAACUAAGUGUAGCCUAUAAUUUCACCUCAAGAUGGAUCAAACAAAUUCUAAAAUUCCAAACAUAGUAUAAAAAUUCGCAUUCAUAUAAUCAUUCUCUAAAUGUACAUAAUGACUCAAUAUAAGAGAUAAAGUGCUUAAUUGUGGAAUUUCCAUCCUACUUCAACUAGAAUCAUGUUUACUAAAAGUGACAAGAAUAAGAAGACAACUAGGUUUCAACAUUGGAUAAGUAAAUCAAUUUCAUGGUGCAUUACUCUACCUUCCAGUUUCAGCACACUCCUACCCUAACAUGCAAUGUAAUAUGCUAAGAGAAAGCAUAAAAAGUCCCCCUCAAACUUAAAGUGAACAUUGUCCCCAACGUUCCUAGAGGUAAGAAAGAAAAUACUACCCUAUGCUUGUAAAUGACAUCACACGUCAUCCUCUUCCUCCGCAACGCUGACUUUAUUGUUAUUAUUAUUUUUAUUCAAAAGUCAUAAAAAAUAACCUAUAAAAACAUGAAAAAGACAAUAAAAUUAGCAAAAAAAAAUUAAAAUGCAAUAAAAACUAAAAAUAAAAGUCCACUAAAAAAAUUGAAUAGGCCAAAAUUAUAUAAGUGUAGAAAACUUGGGUUACCUCCUAAACAAUGCUUUCUUUAUCGUCUUUAGCUAGACUCUUUUUUCAACCUCUUCAUCCUUUCUCAUCAUAAGACUUGAGGCUCAACACAUUGACCAUCAACAAAUCAGUGUCUUCACUCUCGACCUCCAUAAUGCCAUGAGGAUAGAUUUUCCUCAACUUAAAAAGACCUAACCAUCUUGAUUUACUUUUCCAUGGAAAAAGCUAGAAGUGGGACUUAGAAAGUAAUGAGACUUGCUACCCAACCUUAAAAUACAUAUAGGUUGAAGGUGAUAGUUCAACACUAAGGCUUGCUCGCUCAAGUGGCUAUGGUGGAGUAAUCUUACCUUUACCUUUAUCGUCUACGUCCACUCUACAGCAAUGAGCUGUAGAGCAAAGGUACUUAGUUGUAUUGAAGAUAGUAAAUUCAACUACCUCUUCUCCAACUCUAAAAGUUAUUCUGCCUUCCUUUACAUUGAUGAGUGCAUCUAUAGUGGCCAAGAAUGGAUGUCUCAAUAUAAUUAGAACUCUUCGAUCCUCCUCCAUCUCAAGUACAAGAAAGUCCACUAGAAUGUACAAUUUCCCCACUUUAAUCAAGACAUCCUUUAUAAUCCAAUAUGGUUGCCUUAUUAUUCUGUCUACUAACUACAAAGUGAUUGUGGUAAGUUGAAUCUCUUUUAAUCCAAUUUUCCUAGCAACAGACAAAGGAAUAAUUAAGAUACUAGCACCCAAAUCACAUAAAAGCAUUCAAAAAAUUAAAAUUACCAAUUGAGCAAAUGACAAAAAAACUCCCUAAGUCCUUAAGGUUUGGUGGAAGCUUGUUCUAGAUUAUAGCAUUGCACUCGCCAAUAAGUAUAAUUGUCUCAAAAUCCUCCAAUUUCCUCUUUUUCGACAAUAUGUCCUUCAAAAACUUCACAUAUGACGGCAUUUGCUCUGAAGCUUCUACCAAAGAAAUGUUGAUGUGAAGCUGUUUGAAUACUUCGUGAAACUUUUGGAAGUGCUUAUCAAGCUUUGUUCUUGAAAGUGUUAAGGAAAAGGUGGUGGUGGUAGGUUUGACUUUACUUCGAUGUCUUGACUUUGCUUAUAAGAAAUCACUAUCUUUGUCUUUUUCUUAUCAAACUUUUCUGGUUGUUUAGCUUGCUUUAAAUUACUUUCAACUUGCUUACCACUUCUCAAAGUGAUGGCCAUGACAUGUUCCUUACCUUCCUUCUUUGGAUUUACCUCUAUAUCACUAGGUAAAAUUCCUUGAGCUUUGUUGUUUAUUGAGAUUACCAAUUGUUUAACUUACGUCUCAAGGUUUCUUAAAGGCUGCUUAACUUUAAAUGAUGGAGUCUAUCUUGGCCAUGUACUACAUCAGCAACUUCUCCAUUGAUGAUUUCUUAUCCGAAAUAGGGGUUCUCGAUUGCUGUUGAAAACUAAAGGGAAUGUUCAGCCUAAAAGCUUAUGCUUCUAGACUAUUUCCCCAAGAAAAGUUUGGAUGGUUCCUCCAUCUGGGAUUAUAGGUGUUGGAAAAGGGGUUGUUUUACUAUUUGUUUCAAACAAACUAAAUGAUUUCCAUGUUGUUACUGGGAACUAAUCACUAGCAUGCCAUCUCCAAAAUGUUCACACACUACAAAAGAACUUUGAAUAGGCUUAGUACUAAAAGAAUUAACCUUUUUUGUUAGAGCAGCUACCUGUGCAAUUAAUGCCAUGAUGGCAUCAAUCUCAUGAACUCCAACUACCUUUCUAUGUGUAGGUCAUUUUGAUGGCCAUUGAUAAUUGUUUGACGCCAUCUUUUCUAAUAGGUCAUAUGUUUCAUCGAUAGUCUUUCCCAUGAGAGCUCCUCUUGCAACUACAUCAAUUGUGUUUCAAACUUAGCUAUGCAAUCCAUUGUAAAACAUAUGUACUUUAACCCAUUUUGGAAGACCAUGAUAUGGGCAAUGCCUAAGUAAGUCCUUGUAUUUAUCCCAAGCUUCAUAUAAUGACUCACUAUCAGAGUGUAUAAAUGAAGUGAUAUCGUUCCUCAUUUUAGCUAUCUUCGCCAAAGGAAAGUAUUUUGCAAGGAACUUCUGGACAAGAUCAUCUGAUGUUGUGAUUGAACCCAUGGGUAAUGAAUUCAACCACACCUUUGCUUUGUCUCUUAAUGAAAAUGGAAAUAAUCUCAGUUGAAUGGCAUCAUCUGUGACCCUGUUGUGCUUAAAUGUGUCACAUAUCUUUAAGAAAUUAGAUAUGUGAGCAUUUAGGCUAUCAUUCAAAAGACUUCCAAACUGGACUGAUGUUUGGAUCAUAAUUAUAAUGGCUGACUUGAUCUCAAAAUUAUUUGCUUGAAUGCUUGGCCAUCUAAUGCUUGAUAGGAUACCUUGUACUAGAGAAAUAGCAUACCCUUUAACGAAUCAUUCUCUUCAACUACCCUCUCUUGGACUUGCCAUUCUCUUGGAUGUUCAGCCAUUGUAUUAGAAGAAACAAAACCUUGUUGACUAACUCGUCUCAAUCUUCAAAAUGUCCUCUCGAUCUCUGGGUCACACGAGAUAAUCUCUAAGUUUUGUGCUCUAUGCGUACAACGUCAAAACUUACCUGAAAAACACAAAAGAAAAAAGAAAAAAACUUAGUCUAAGAUAACCUGUUUAAUUUAAUAUAAUAAAGGUAAAUAGGAAAACAAAUCCCUAGUAACAGCGCCAAAAACUUGUUGUCAAUUUAAUACACGCAACUGCACGUGUUCGUACAAGUAAUAUAAAGGUUUGAGUAUUGUUUCCCACAAAGAUUUGUACCUAUUCUCACUAAGUAUUAAAUUUUUAACAAAGAUGAUCUUAUCCAAGCACUCGAUUUUGAAUGAUUAAUUCCACUAACACUGGUUGUUAAAACUAAGUAAAUAAAAUAAACUAAAAUUUUACUAAAAAACAUAUUCAUUAAAAACCAAGGAUUAUGGUGUCUUUCAAAAUUUCAUUUGAAUUUAAUCAUUCUCCUUAACUUAAAUUAAUGGGAUACACGAUUAACCUAGAAUCCAUAUUAUGUACAAGUCUCUGUAGAGAUCAUGCACACAUACCUUUUCAAAACUAAUUCCAUAUGUCUAUGUAAAUUAAUUAGCAAAGGUUCAUUGCAUUUGUGUUCUAAUCUGGCUACCUAAAGUAUUUAGGUAUAUGUCUAUCCUAAAUACGAAACUAUCACCUAACUCUGAAGUUAGUAGAACAUAGGUUGUUCAAAACAAUGGUUUAUUAUAAACUCCCUUUAUUGAGUUGCAUUUAAAGUCCCAAGACAUUUCAACUGGUGAUCAAGCAGUGAAAAGCAAUAAAUACAUAAUUGAAUAAACCAUACAUCAUCCAUUAAUAAUAAGCAAAGACAAAUCAUAUAUUCAAACUACAUAAUGAAAUAACCCAUAAUCCUAGAAAACAAAUUUAGUUCAUCGUUAUUUUUACAGCAGACAUAAUUAAUUCAAAAGAAAAUAUCAUUUCUAUAGCAAAAGAACAAAAAAGAAAUGUAGAAUAAAGAAAUAUCAAAGCCUUUUUCGAUUUUUGAUCGUCGGUUGCCUUCGAUUUCUUCUCUUUUCUUUGAUUGGGGAGCCUUUUUUUUUUUCUCUUAAAAACUGCCUUUCAUUCACUCUACAAGCCUCUCCUCUCAUUUACUAAAAAUCACCUAUUUAUAGCCUUUAGAAAAUCCUAAAAACUCAUUUCUUGAUCGGCCACAAAUUCAUAAUCCAUGUUAGAGCACCGUGGCCUUGCUCCAUGGGCACCACGGCUUUGCUGCCUUAUAUAUUCUUUUUCAUGGUUUUUCAACAGGUGCUAUGACACUCCUCCUUAAGCACCAUAGCAUUGGCUUCUAAAAUUUGUAUGGAAGCAUUGCUACUCCCUUGGGCACUGCAACCUUGAGCUUUGCAAGGUCACGAUGCUACUCCUUGUGCUGCCUUGGUGUAGAAUUGUUGUAAUUCUUCAUCUUAAAACACAUUUUUCUCCUACCUUGAUGCUGAUCUUGGUGAAAUGAUAAACAUGAAAGUUUUAGGUCUGCCUCUUAGCUUUCCUAUUGUUCAAAAAUCAAGUUGAUUGGAUCUUGGUAGCUCAAGUUAUGCCAAAUUACCGCAACAUGUUCAGUGAAAAUCUACAAUUAGUCUCUGUUGCAUAGUUCAUCACCAUUUAAUUUUUAUGCAUUUGAAAACCUACAAACACAAGGACUAAAUCAGUAUUGGCUUAAAAUAGGGCUUUCAACAUGGAAAUAACUAGAAUUACUUGAAUUAGGCUAAGUUAACAUGCUUUAAACUGAUCAACUAAAACCAUAAAAACUGUCUAAAGAGUACUUAAAACAAAAAGACUUCGCUACAUUAACAUCUCAAAAUGUGGCUAAAUAACUCUCUAUAAUAGAGUUAUCUAGAAAAAAAAUAUGCAAAUUACAUGUUGAAAUCCACCACAAUCUUAGAAAAAUAGUUUAGCUCAAAAUAUCUAAUAAAAACAUCAUCCAAAGGAAAGUAGCCAUUAAUCCAAGUCAAAGAAACUAAGAGAAACACAAAAGUAAAGAGAGAAACUAAUAGUUUGAAGCUUUUGAUGUCACAGCCCAAAUUCCAGGCUAUGACCGACGCAUAAGCCCAAUGGGCAUAGCCCACUAAGUCCAAGCAAGCCUAUUUAUGCAAUCCCGAUCAUCAUUCCAAACCAUCAUUUCUCAAACCCAUAUUGUAAUUCUCAACUAAAAAUAUUUCAAUAACAGUUUAUAGUAACCCAAUACUCACAAUUGUAUUAUGCUAACAUAGUAUCACUCAUUUGCCACCUUACAGUGGCUUCAGUAAUCAAAUAUACAUAUUUGAUUUUUUUACAUGAAUCCUAGUGGUCUUCAUUACUUAUACAUGUACACAAGCAUAAGACUCAUGAUCGUCAGCGGAGUGACUCUAUGUGAAGAUAUAGCUACUGAGUUACCAUAGUACCUACCAAAAAGAUGAGCAUACAUGGACAGCUCAAUCUAGGUCCUAAUGCCUUUGAAUUUGAAAACAUGAAGUUUGAAAAUGUGAGUAUAAACUCAAUGAGUGAACAUAAGAAGGGAACAAGCAAUCGACAGGAAGAAUUUGGAAAUCAUGAUGCACUUGUUUAAAAAACAAUGCAAUUGAUUUAAUUUCUUACUAAAAACCCCUCAUUUCAAACUUUGAUCAAUAACCUCAUAGUGUUUCAAAAACCCAUGAUCAAUCCAUGAAGUUAAAUGGGUGAAAACUAGGUCAAAAUCAAGCAAGGUAGCAAGCAUGGCGGCAAGUUUCUCGCUGCCGCGAGAAACAGUCUCAAUUUGCAUAUGUUUCAGUGUUUCUAUUAUAUCUCUAAAUACAGAAGUCCAAUUGACCUUAUUUUUAAACCAUUAGAAAGAUAAGAGGCAGAUAUACAACUUUAAUGUUUAUCACUUUUCCCAUUUCAAAGGGGAAAGUGGUCAAAAUCUUCAUCAAAGUGAAAGUACUGCACCAGAACCCGAGAGUUUCUCUCUGCAACGAGAACCAAGCCAGUGUGACCCCCAAAACCCGAGAGUUUCUCAGUGCAAUGAAAAUGAAUCUCGUUGUAGUGAGAAAUAGAGCAUUUUAAUUGAAAUGGGUCUUGUUACAUCAAAAGCCAUUUUCUUGUUGAAAUGAAAAGCAAUUUGAGAGCAAUUAACAAUGCUAACUUGCAACACAAUCACAAAUAUUUUCAUAACUUUCUAUAACACACACAUAUAUACACAUAUGCAUUCAUCAUCAUGUGUGCACUCCCUACUCGCACACUUUAACAUCAUCAUGUGUGCACUCCCUACUCGUACACUUCAACAUCAUCAUGUGUGCACUCCCUACUUGCACACUCUAACAUCAUCAUGUGUGCACUUCCUACUCGCACACUCUAACAUCAUCAUUUGUGCACUCCCUACUCGCACACUUCAACAUCCUCACACAACAUUAUUCAUCAAUGCACAAUGUAUAUUCAUAUACAUACAUACCAACAUAAUAUAGGAGCACAUGGAUUCAUCCUUUUACACAUUUCACAUUUUCACAACAUCAAAGUAUUUUAUCAAGGGCUUGUUCCCUGGCACGCAUUUUUAAACAAAGGUUGGAUAAAAUCAUUCAAAUGUUUCAUCCAAACACAUGUGAAAUGCAAGGUCACUCACCGGUCUUGUUGAUUCUUUUGCUUGACUCUAACCUCAACUAAUACUCCAAAUGGACAUGUGAGGCCUUGUUGGAACCUAUACACACACAACAUCACAACUAACCCAAAUUGGCAUUAAUAUAAUCCAAAAGCUCUUUCCUAAUCAAGUUCCACUAGUUAUUCCUAACUAGCUUCCAAUUGCCAUUAAAUGGCUAGUUAUUCACACUACUCUAGUCACCCUAAGAGUGAAUAAACAACCUCAAUGAUAAAACACUCACAAACCCCAUUAUUAGCCAUUAUCAAUAACUAAAGAAAUUUAACCCUAACUUAUACUCACCUUGAUGGUCUUUGUAGUUGAAUUCUCUUUCAAAAUUCUUCAAGCUAACAAGGGAAAUCACUCUCUCUCUCUACAUGUCCAGCUAGUAAAAGGAAUAUGAAAGUAAGACUUUUUUUAAGGGUUUUAAGGUGGGAGAGUGAAAGAGCACAAAAGGUUCUAUGAAAAUGUGUUCAAAAGCAUGAAAUUGAAGCUAGAGAGAGAAAGUUAUGGAAGCUUUAAGGGAGGCUCCCAUGGAGAUGAAGAAACAUGAGAUGGGAAAGGAAGAAGAAAUGGCUGAAAGUUGCUGGAAAUUGCUAGAGCUUUAGAUAUUUAUAUCUAAAGUUUGUCCAUUUUCACUUAAAUUACCAAAAUGCCCUUAACAUGGUGACUAUCUUCCUCUCAUUCUUUGUGCAACCUUUUACUAUUUUGACACUAGGGCAAGGUCCAUAAUAGUCUAGAAAUACUCGAGUUCUCAAAAACAUAAAAACUUAUACCCGAGUUACAAAAUAACCAUUUUACCCUUAUCAUGAAAAUUAUCAUUAUUUUUAUCUUCUUCAUUUAUUUACCAUCAUAAACAUCAUUUAUUCAUUCCUUAGUCUUAUUUAGACCUUAAUAGCAUAAAAAAAGCCACUCGUAGGAGCUCACUAAGAGAAAUUAUGAAAUUACCCCUAAUCUGCAUUAUCGCGUCUACUUCUAGUUAUGUGUCUAUAGAGAUCGAGAUUUCAUAGGUUCACUUCUGAAUUACCUUUUUUAACUUGGUAAUUAACCUUAAUUAGCAUCCGUAAACUCUGUUAGCCACCGUAUCAAAAUACGAGUUUCUACAUUUGAUUUCAAUUCUCCCUCAAAUUCUUUUGUUUUCUUGCUUUGUUUUUGACUUUUUUUUUCUCCAAAAUAGUUUCUUGCCAUCUUCUUUUUAAAACCUCUGAAAAAGGUCUGUUAAAUAGGCUCCAAAAUCCUUAAUUUCCAAAUCCAGUCAAAAGUUUAUUUUUGAAAGUCUGUCUAGCAUCGUGGCAUUUAUCUCCUUAGUGCUAUGGUACCUUAGCCUCGGCAUGAAGUAUGGUGCAUCUUUUUCUUCCAGCACAGCAGCCUUACUUCCUCAACGCCACAACGCCUUACUUCCUCAGCGCCACAAUCCUCUACUCUCGAGUUCUACUAUGAUGCCCAUCUUCCUUGUGGCACUGUGGCCUUACUCUCCUCAAUGCCAUGGUGUCGUACUUACUAGAUGAAGUAUGUGUCUUGAUGCACUUCGACAUCGCAGCCUUGAGUAACUCAAGGUCAUAGCUCUCAUUCCGUUGUGCUGCCUUGUGCAGAACUAUAGUCUUCUAGCCCUUUCCAACAUGAUAUUCACCUUAAUAUGUUCCAAACUGAGUGAAGUGGUAAACAUGAAAGUUGUAGCCCUAUCUCUUUUCCAUUAGCUCAAGAAUCACAUCAAUUGGACUAUUGUAUCUCAAUUUAUGCUCAAAACACUACAAUAUAUAUAAAUGAAGCCAUCACCAUACUUAAACAGUUUUUCAUAAAAUAAACCUUUCUCAUCGAAUUUCCUACAAGAACAACAUACAAAUCAACAAUAAAUAUACUUACAGUAAUUUAAAAUAAAAUAAAACAUAAAAUUCACUAAUAAUAAGUUAAAUUAAAGUAAUCAACAUGUAAUUAAAAUUAACUAAGAAAAACACCUAAACUACUAAAAUACAAACCUAAAAUCUCAAAGACCUAGUUAUUUAAGUCUCCCAAAAAAGUCAAAAUAACUAUGUAUAACAAAGUUAUCACACCCGCAAAGCUUAAGAUUUUGCUAGUCCUCAAGCAAAACAUAAACUAAAGUACAAUAACAUAAAUAAAGGAAACAACUUGACUAGAAAUAAAUUGCAUCAACUCAACAAUCACCUACAAUAUUUUCAUAAAUUAAUCCAUAAUCUCUACUCUAAGCAACACAUAAUAUUAUCCAAGUUCAUGUACAAUUCAAAUACAAGCUCAUCGUCAAGUGGAUUUUCGUGUGUGUGUGCAAUCGUUUCACCUAGAACAUAUACAAUCCAGAUAAGUUUAUAAGCAUGCAAAAUUCAAAUUAGUAUUGAAAUUCUAUAAGUUUGCUUUUCAUCUCUCUCUCCACUAAUGAAGACUAAUACUAAGUCAAUGAUCAAUAGGGCUUUAUCAAGCUUGUAAUGUAUGACUAGGGUCAAUGUAGGAUAAUGGAUAUUAUAUAGCUUAAAUCACCCUAAGCACAUAGUCAUUUUAGGACCUAUAAAGAGCUUUAUUCUCUUUCACCAAUUUCACCAUUUUUUAUAAAAUUUUCCUUUUGUUCAACACUUCAUUCUUUUUCUUCCCUUUUUCUUUUCUUUUUCUCAAUAUUACAUUCCCAAACUUAUUUCUUUUAUUGGGUAGUAAAAUAAAUACAAUCAUACUUUUGAUCUUUUAUCACUUUUCAUCUUUACUAUCUUUUUUCACUAUCUAGCUCAUUACACUUCCUAAAUUGACUUAUGCACUUAGGAAUGGGGGAUGUAAAAAUUGAAAAUUUUUAUAUAAGGGUCUAGGUUACUAAUUAAGUGUUUAAACAAAGAAAAUGUUACAUUAGGUUCAAAUGGGAAUUCUAAGGAUAAAUAUAUAGCAAGGUUGGCUCGAAAGUCUUAAACAUCAUCUCCUUAACUGCAUAUAGCCUAAGAUUUCUCCGAGAGAGAGAAUAAAAAAAAUUCUAGAAUUCUAGACAUAAUUCAAAAUUUCACAUUCCCAUAAACCUUCUCUAGAUAUGUACAAUGAAUCUAAGCAAAAUUCAUGUUGCUCAAGUCGUAGAAAUCACAUCCUAACCAUGAAGCUUAGCAUAAGACUUCACAUAAUAUUUAAACAAUAUUCACAUGUUUCUAAGAAUCAAGAUAAGAACAUAACUAGGUUCUUAUCAUUAGAUAGGUAAAUUAAAUGAAAUUGGCCCAAUUAAAUCUAGCUCAAGUUCUUAAAACAUGCAACAAAUUAGAUGAUAAAUAACUUAAUUAAGUUAAAAAUUAAAACCAUAAAGAAAACAAAUCUUAAAAACUAAAAUCCCCCCCCCCCCAAACUUGAAAAUAACAUUGUCCCUAAUGUUAUGAAAAGUAAGGAAAAGGAAUGCUCUCUUGACUUGCUGUCAACCUCUACUGAUCAUCCUCCUCGUUAUCUUCAUUCUAGUCUUCCACUGUGGAAUCAUUUGGCAAAAUGGGAAAAAGGCCAUGCCCAUGCCAACAUGCUUAGCUUAAGCUCGUAUCAUCUUCUCAUUUGACUGCAUACAUGUUGCAUGAUGAUCAUUCGAAGUUAAAGACUUUCCAUUCUCUAAGACAUGGAAAAAUGUUAAGGCCGUUGUUGUGGUGGUGCAUGGCAUGGAGUUGAUGAAAAACUUUCUUCAGCAGCUGAAUGCUCCAAAGCAUAAAGCCUAUGCAUAAUGCCUGCAUCCAAAGGAACUUUAGGAUGCAAAAUUUCUUCACUUUUGUCCCAAUUCACUCCCACUUUCUUGCAUAAAGCCAUGAUCAAGGAUGGAUACCAAAGUCCAUCACAUGGCCAACAAGCAACUUGAACAAUCUUAUUGAACACCACAUGAGCCACAUUAAUUGAAAUUCUUGAAACAAUUGCAUACAAUAAAAUGGCUUUAUCCCUUGUCACGUCACUCAAAUGCUUCACAAGAAAUAAUCUCACCACCAAAAAGUGAUAGCAUAACUUGUGAUCAUUCUUCAUGGCGCUAGCUUUAAAAGAUAUUUGUAUGCCCUUAUUUAUUUUUCCACUCUACACCGUCAUUACAAAGCACUCCAAUAGCUCCAUCCAAAUCAAUAUUGCAUGCCAAAAAUUGCCCAUGCUCAUCACUUUCAAUAUCAGGUAAGUUGUAGAAUUGGUAUAAAGUCUGACUAUUAAAGCUUACCUGACAUCUUCAGACAAAAACCUACCCAUUCUCAUGUUCAACAACAUUGGCAUAAAAUUCCUGAACAACAAGUAAUACAGUUACAUCAAGUUGCUCACAAAAUUUCUCCCACUACCGCUCAAUGAUAAUCCUAUGAACAGAAUUAUAAUGGGCAAGAUGAAGAUCAAUGCCUCACUUCGAAAUAAGGACUUUUUGCACAAGGGAUUGCGUAUGCCUUGUGGCCACCUCAACAAAAACAAAUUUACUAUGAUCAAAACAAGUCACACUACUACUACCUCUAGCUCGCUUCUUGGGUGCCAUCAAGCACUCAACAAAUGUGCAAUAAUUUAUACUCAAGUGUCAACAAAAUACAUAGCAACUUCUCAAUUUAACCCAUAAUAAUGCCACUAAAAUCACAAGUGCAUCAAUAAUCCCACUCCCACAAUUAAUAUUCAAGUGCUGAAUUUUAUCACUAUUCAUAGCUUCCGAGCCUCCAAUCUCUCAAAUAUUCAAUGUAGAAGCAAUUAAAAGCAAGCACAUAUACUACAAUCUCAAAUUAAUCACCAACCCACUAAUCAACAAUCACAAGGGCUUCUCUAAUAGCUAAAUCUACCAAAGUUGAAAAUGCUUCAAAAAACUAAAUCCACUUACUUGAAUUUUCUGUAGAAAAUUUGGUUGUUGAAUGAGUGGAAGAUUAUUUACCUACUUCAAAGGAGUUAUUUAGUCCCAAAUUGUGAAGUUUUGGAAGUACAAUUGAGCAGGUGGAAGUUAGAGAGAGAAAAUAUGAAGGUAGAGAGAGAAAAAAUACCCAAAAAAUGAAAAGGAAAAGCGAGGGGUAGAUUUAUAAAGUGGGGCCCCAAAUGGGCAACACAACACUCUAGCCUCAAGCCUUUCUAUGGGGUAGGGCAUCACGCGGUGCCAUGGUGCUGACCUUCUUAACGUCGCGACGUCGUUUCAAUUUUUUUUGAAUCAAAGGCCCUACGAAAGCAAAAAAGAAAAAGAAAAAUUAGACUCAUGGAAUAAAACAUAAAAUAUGAAAGAAAUUGCAAGUAAAAAUAAAAAUCAAAAUAUGCUAAAUAAAAUAACAAUAAAGAUAAACUAAGUUUAAAAACUUAGAUUACCUCUCAAGAAAUGCUUUUUUUAUAGUCGUUAGCUAGACUCUCUUGUAAGCUCAUUUGAGAUCGAAAAGAUGGAUAGAGGAUUGUUGACAAUCAAUGUCACCUCCCUAAUAAUGCUUCAACCACUACCCAUUCAAUUUGAAUGUUUCAUUGGUUAACCCAUCUAUUAUUUCCAUUGCUCCGUGUGGAAACACUUUUGAUACAAUAAAGCAUCUCGACCAUCUUGAUUUCAACUUGCUCGAAAAUAGCUUUAAGAGCGAGUUAAACAACAACACAUGUUAGCCUAGCUCAAAAUGAAGCUCAAUAAUCUUUUGAUCAUGCCAUCUCUUCAUUUUUUCUUAACAAAUUUUGGCAUUUUCAUAAGCACCCAAGCGAAGUUCAUCCAUUUCAUUUAACUGAAGCUAACACUUCUCACCAAUUGCUUCCAAGUCAAAGUUUAACUUCUUGAUGGCCCAAAAGGCACUUACUCCAACUUCAUCAGAAUGUGACAUGCUUUUUCAAAUACCAACUGAUAUGAGGGCAUACUAUUGGAGUUUAUAAGAUUUUCUAUAUGCCCAUAGUGUAUCAUCAAGUCUACUGGCCCAAUCCUUCCUUGAUGGAGAUACAACAUUUUCUAAAAUUCUUUUAAUUUCCCGUUUGACAUUUUGACUUGUCCACUUGUAUAGGGGUGAUAAGUUGUGACCACCUUGUGUGUCACUCCAUACUUUACAAGCAACGCUAUAAAAAAUUUAUUACAAAAGUGGCUACCUUCGUCACUCACUAUGGUCCUUGGUGUUCCGAAUCUAGUGAAAAUAUUCUUCUUCAAAAAUUUCAGCACAACCUUAGCAUCAUUCGCUGGCAAAGUUGAGGCUUCUAUCCACUUUGACACAUAGUUAAUAGUGUCACGACCCAAAUUUUUGAGCCAUGACCGGCGCAAGGGCCCAAUAAACGUAGUCUAUUAAGCCCAAGCAAACUUAUUGAUUUAUCCUACUCAUGAUUCCAUCAAAUAUCGCUAAGUCAUAUUUCAUACUUUUGAAUCAAAAUAGUGAUAUACAUUGCCAACUCGUAUUGGCAUUACUCCUUGAAAAUUUACAUACAAUGUCUACAACAUGUAUUCUAAUAAUUUACAUUAAGUUUGUCUAUACAAAACAAAAUAACACUCGAUUUUCAGUGGAGGGACUCGGAUGAAUGUAUAGCUACUGAAUGCCGAGACACCUACCAAAAGAUGGACACAGGUCUACAAGGACACCUCGUCCUAGUUACCGGCUGCCUCGAGAUCUGAAAACAUGAAUUUGAAAAUGGUGAGUAUAAACCCAGUGAGUGAACAAAGAAGGGAACAAUCAUACCAUAAGGAAUCUUUAAUGAAAUCAUGAUGCAUUCUUUUUCAAAACAAUGCAAUUUGUUUCUAUUCUUAUUAAAAACCCCUCAUCAAGCCUUUAAAUGAUUAAUCAUUUGAAAAUCAUUAACCCAUACAUAACGAACCAUUUGAAGAAUAAAAGCUUUAAUAUUACACAAGUAAGUCAAAUACAACAAUGAAUCUUCGUUGCAGUGGAAAGGCAUUCAAAUGAAUUUUUGUUGCAACGACAUUGGGAUUUAGUUAUUAACCAAACGAGGGUUUCUCAACUGGCCGAGGGUUUCUCACUAAACCUACUCAUUUUAAACUUAACUCAUUUGAUCCUUAAUGUUGGAAGUCCAUGCUCUGAUAUGGUAGCAAAUAAGUGAAAGAUAGGAUAGCAAUUGAAUAAGAUAGGAGACCAAAGCAGAAAGUUUUUCGUUGCAGCGAAAUUGUAACCCAGAACAGAAUGUUUCUCGCUGCAACGAAAUUGCAACCUAGAAAUAAAAAGUUUCUCGCUGCAGCGAGAAGCUACAGUGUCAUUCUCGCUGUAGCGAAAAUGCAUCCUCGCUGUAGUGAGUUUUUCACCAGCCUACCCUUUUAAAACUCGAGAGUUUCUUGCUGCAGCGAAAUACAGGGCAUCAAAUGAAAAUUUCCCUUUCUCCCAAAGAAAACCACCCUACUUGAAAUGUUCAAAACCAAUAUGAAACACAUAACUAUUUCUCAAGGUUUAACAUGUCAAGUUUCACAUGCAUUACAACCAUAAACCAUUAUCCAUCAAUUUCCUAUAACACACAUAUUUACAUAUGUAUAUAUAUAUAUNNNNNNNNNNNNNNNNNNNNNNNNNNNNNNNNNNNNNNNNNNNNNNNNNNNNNNNNNNNNNNNNNNNNNNNNNNNNNNNNNNNNNNNNNNNNNNNNNNNNNNNNNNNNNNNNNNNNNNNNNNNNNNNNNNNNNNNNNNNNNNNNNNNNNNNNNNNNNNNNNNNNNNNNNNNNNNNNNNNNNNNNNNNNNNNNNNNNNNNNNNNNNNNNNNNNNNNNNNNNNNNNNNNNNNNNNNNNNNNNNNNNNNNNNNNNNNNNNNNNNNNNNNNNNNNNNNNNNNNNNNNNNNNNNNNNNNNNNNNNNNNNNNNNNNNNNNNNNNNNNNNNNNNNNNNNNNNNNNNNNNNNNNNNNNNNNNNNNNNNNNNNNNNNNNNNNNNNNNNNNNNNNNNNNNNNNNNNNNNNNNNNNNNNNNNNNNNNNNNNNNNNNNNNNNNNNNNNNNNNNNNNNNNNNNNNNNNNNNNNNNNNNNNNNNNNNNNNNNNNNNNNNNNNNNNNNNNNNNNNNNNNNNNNNNNNNNNNNNNNNNNNNNNNNNNNNNNNNNNNNNNNNNNNNNNNNNNNNNNNNNNNNNNNNNNNNNNNNNNNNNNNNNNNNNNNNNNNNNNNNNNNNNNNNNNNNNNNNNNNNNNNNNNNNNNNNNNNNNNNNNNNNNNNNNNNNNNNNNNNNNNNNNNNNNNNNNNNNNNNNNNNNNNNNNNNNNNNNNNNNNNNNNNNNNNNNNNNNNNNNNNNNNNNNNNNNNNNNNNNNNNNNNNNNNNNNNNNNNNNNNNNNNNNNNNNNNNNNNNNNNNNNNNNNNNNNNNNNNNNNNNNNNNNNNNNNNNNNNNNNNNNNNNNNNNNNNNNNNNNNNNNNNNNNNNNNNNNNNNNNNNNNNNNNNNNNNNNNNNNNNNNNNNNNNNNNNNNNNNNNNNNNNNNNNNNNNNNNNNNNNNNNNNNNNNNNNNNNNNNNNNNNNNNNNNNNNNNNNNNNNNNNNNNNNNNNNNNNNNNNNNNNNNNNNNNNNNNNNNNNNNNGAAAUUCAAGAUAUUUAUAGGCAAUCUUAUCCUUUCCCUUAAAAUUAUGAAAAUGCCCCUCCACCAAUUUACUUAUUCUCCUCCAAUCUUUUAUGCAAUCCUUUUGCUCUUUUAACACUGGGACAAGAUCCAUAAUGGUCUAGACAUGUUCGGGUUCAUAAAAACUUAAAAUUUUAACCCGAUGUGAAAAAUGACCAUUUUACCCCUGUUAUGAAAAUUGUUGAAACUUCUAGUUUUCUUUGUGUUUUCAUCAGCACACAUCAUUUAUGUAGUUUUAUACCCAUUUAAGCCUUAAAAUAUCAUAAAACUUUCUUCUGGAAGCUUAUUAAAGAAAAUGACAAAACUACCCCUAGCUCGUAUUAUUACAUCUAUACUUAGUUACAAGCCUAUAAAGGUUGAGGUCUCACAAAUAGCCACCAAGAUGUAGCAAUUGUUGAAAUAAGAAAUGAAUGGUCCCAUGAAAUCCAUUCCCCCAACAUCAAAAAUCUCCACUUCAAUGAUGCUAUUGAGCAACAUCUCAUGUCUUCUUAAAAUGUUCCUCACUCUUUGACACCUACAGAAUGCAAAACAAAAUUGUGAGCAUCCUUAAAAAGUGUUGGCCAAUAAAAACCUGAAUGAAAAAGUUUGGUUGUAGUUUUAUCUCCUCUAAAGUGGCCCCCAACUCCGAAGAAUGACAAUGACUCAAUAAGCUUUCAACCUCUUCCUUUGGAAUGCACCUUUUUAACAUUCUUUUAGCACAUUACUUAUAUAAAAAUGAUUCAACCCACACAUAAAAUCUAACAUCAUGAAGAAAUUUCUUUCUUUGAUGAAAAUUUAAAUUUAGAGGAAGAAGCUUGCUUACAAUAUAAUUGACAUAAUCAGCAUACCAUGGUAAAUUUUUUUGACCAACACAUAAUAAUUGUUCAUUCAAAAAGGUUCCGUUGAUCAAAGUUAAGUCCUUACCUUGGUUCUGAUUCUCUAACCUCAACAAAUGGUCUACUAGUUGAUUCUCUAAGCCUUUUUUGUCUCUAAUUCCAAAUCAAAUUCUGAUAGCAACAAAAUCCACAUUAUCAACCUUGGCUUGGCAUCCUUCUUAGAAAUCAAAUACUUAAUCGCAGAGUGGUCAGUGUAAACGGUAACAUUUGUGCCAAUCAAGUAUGAAUAAAACUUGUCAAAUGCAUGCACAACAACUAAUAGUUCUUUUUCAAUAGUAGUGUAAUGCAUUUGAGUUUCAAUCAAGGUUUUGCUAACAUAAUAUAUAGAAUGAAAAACUUUAUCUUUUCUUUGUCCUAACACUACACCUACAGCAUAGUCACUAGCAUCACACAGAAGCUCAAAUAGGAGUGACCGAUUAGGAACUACAAUAAUGGGUGUAGAUGUCAAUUUUUUUUUCAAUUUGUUAGCUUUAUCAGGUUUAACAUUAUUAUAGUUUUGAAAUGACAAAAGUGAUCAAAAUUGCUUCAAUAAUCUAUGAAAUUCUUUGAGUGAUGCUUGAACUUGUUUGAAUGAUUUUUGAAGUUGUUUGAAAAUGUUAUUGAGCUUAAUUUAUUAAUGUUAAAAACUCUCAUACAUUUGCUUUUGAAGUGCGCAAGUGUUUCCAUGUGAAAAAUGAUCAAAACUGCUUGAAUGAUCUUUGAACUUGUUUGAAUAAUUUUUAUAUUUGUUUGAAUGAGUUUUUGAACUUGUUUGAAUAGUUUUUAAACAUUUUUAAAUAAGUUUUGAAGUGCCUAAGUGUUUCCAUGUGAAAAGUUUUAAAAUUUCUUGAAUAAGUUUUGAAAAUUGCUUUAAUGAUUUUUGAGCUUGUUUGAAUAGCUUCUAAACUUGUUUAAAUUAGUUUUAAAUCUCCCCUGCAUUUGAUUUUGAAAUGUCCAAGUAUUUGGCAUCAAAUUGGGUUCAAAAAGAAGAAUUUUCUAUGCUUUAAGCUAUUAGUAUCGAUACUUUAGUCAAAAGUAUCAAUACAUUUAAAACAGAAUGGUUUUGCCCAAAAUGUAUGGAUUCAUUUCCAAAAUGUAUCGAUACAUGCCAAAAUGUAUUGAUACAUUGCAACAUGUAUCAAUACAUUUUGGAAUGUAUCGAUACAUUUGGUUCAGAACUAGCUAUUACACGCGAAAAUCAAAGGAAAAACUGUUAUUUUCUUCAAACCUUCUCCAAUGGCUCCAAAGCUUCAUCACUUAUAAAAAAGACUUCUCCAACACAUUUACAAGGUAAGAAGAGUGGAAAAAUUUAUCAAAUACUCAAGUAUCAAAUCCUAUAAAGAAAAAGAGAAAAAAGAAAGAGAAACCAAGCUAGAGCAAGCAAUUCACAUUCUUCUGCCAAGCUUUUAAGCUUUCUUGUGCUAUAAUUCCUUUGUGUCUUCAUUCCUAUCAUUUGUAAUCAUUUUUAUGCCCAUCACACUCUUCCUACAUUGUACUUACUUAGCAAAACCCACUUUCUAGAGGUAUCUAUGCUAUUCAAAAUUGUAAGAGAGAGAAGGUUAUGCUUUAGCCUUUAAAAGGCAUUGUGAAGGUUAUGCUUGAUCCAUAAAAGACAUUGUAUUGAGAGGUUGUGCAUGAUCCUUGAAAGGCAUUGUAAACAUUAUGCUUGGCCUUAAAAAGUAUUUUUCAUAGUGGAUUUGAAAUUCCUUAGUGAGCUAAAAUAGAGGACGUAGGCAAGGAAGUUGAACCUCUAUAAAAAUAGUGUCUUCUCUCUUUAUUUUUCACUUCUUGAAUUUAUGCAUUUACAUUAAAGAAUUUAUCAAAUUGUUCUUAACUUGUUUAUUCCUUAAUUUACUCUUCAAAUUGUUAUUGACACACUUUGAUAGAAACACAAAUUUAUGAAAAUUAUUUUUAGCUUGACUUGAUUAGAAGCUUGUGAAAAUUUUACACUAGUGCAUUUUGCCUUAAAGAGUUUGAAAAUUUAUUUUCAACUUGUUUGGUCAUUAUUUUAGUUAAAUUACUUUUGGCAUGUUUUAAAGUGAAAACAAAUUUGAGAAACUUAUUUUCAAACUUGCCUUCACAAAAAGUUUAAAUUUGUUAAAAAGAAAUUUUAAAAAUCCAAUUCCCCUCUUGGAUAUUUUUCUCAUUAUUAUAAAGCUAACACUUCUAACACAAUUCUACAAAUGCAACAUGACAUGCAUUAUUAAAUUUAAAUGGGACAUCUUUUUUCUAAGAGAUUACACAAAGGUAUAGCAAUUUUAGAAAAAUCCUUAAUGAAUCGUCGAUAAAAACCAGCAUGUCCAAGAAAAUUCCUAAUACCUUUUAACAAGGUUGGUGGGGGAAGCUUCUUGAUUGUCUCUAUCUUUGUUUUGUCUACCUCCAAAACUUUGCUUGAAACCUUGUGACCAAGAACAAUGCUUUUUUGUACGAUAAAAUGGCACUUCUCCCAAUUUAGCACCAGGUUUAUCUCUUCACAUCUUUUCAAAACCUCGUCAAGAUUCCACAAACAUUCAUCAAAAUUAUUUCCAAAAGUAAAGAUGUCAUCCAUAAAUACAUCUAGUGUUUUCUCCACCAUAGUUGAAAAAAUAGCCAUCAUGCUUCGUUAGAAUAUGGCUAGAGCAUUGCAGAGUCGCAUCCUCCUAAAAGCAAAAAUGCCAUAUAGACAGGUGAAGGUUAUCUUCUCUUGAUCCUCUAGAGCUAUUACAAUCUGAUUAUAUCCUAAAUACCCAUCCAAGAAACAAUAGUACUCCUUUCUAGCUAGCCUAUCCAACAUUUAAUCAAUAAAUGGUAAAUGAAAGUGAUAUUUCCAUCUGGCCUUGUUAAGUUUCUAGUACCCAAUGCAAACUCUCCAUUCAGUUAUUGUCUUUGUGGGAAUGAGCUCAUUAUUUUCAUUUGCAACUACUGUUAUCCCACCUUUCUUUGGUAGCAUUGCACUAGACUUACUCAAGCACUACCCAAAAUAAGAUAGAUGAUGCCAUCAUCUAGCCAUUUGAUUAUCACCUUCUUCACUACCUCCUUCAUGAUUUAAUUCAAUCUUCUCUAAUGCUUGAUAGUGACUUUAUGAUUAUCUUUCAACAAAAUUUUAUGCAUGUAUCUCAAAGGAUUUAUUCCAUUUAUGCCUACAAUUAUCCAACCCAAUGCCUUUUUAUGCUCUCUCAAAACUCUCAAUAGUUUAUCUUUUUACUUGUUAGUAAGAACAGAUGAAACAAUAACAGAAAGAGUAAAAGAAUCACCAAGAUAUGUAUACCUCAGAUGAUUUAGCAAUAGUUUGAGUUCCAACUUAGGAUGUUCUUUAAUAAAAGGCUUCAUUGGUGAGGAUGAAAACGAAGAGAAAUCCAACAACUCAAAUUGUGUUCCUAAGACACAAGACGGAACAUUCAACACAUUCACACAUUUUAUGAUAACCUCAUUACUUGUCUCAAAUUCAACAACCAAUGACACCUCAAAGUGGGUCAGUGAGAUGGCUUUCCUUGAAAACUUCAUUUGUGACCUUAUCCACCACACUAACUUGAUUGUUAGUAAACUUUAAAGCUCUAAGAAUGUUAAAUGUUACCUCUUGAUCUUGCACUCGUAAGGUAAGUUCUUCCUUCUCGACAUCGAUGAGUGCUCUUGCAAUGCGUAAGAAAAGUCUCCCAAGGAUAAUAAGAACUUUUUUGUCCUCCUCCAUAUCUAGUAUUAUGAAAUCUAUCAAAAAAAUGAAUUUAUCCACUUUUACAAGCACAUCUUCCAUUAUACCUUUAAGAUAUAAGAGGAUUCUAUCAACCAAUUGUAGAGUCACAGUAAUGGGCUUAAUCUCUCCCAACCCUAACUUGUUGUAGAUAAACAAAUGCAUCAAAUUAAUACUUGUCCUCAAAUCAUUCCAAGCCUUGGCGAAGAAGAAUAGACCAAUUGUGAAAGGAAUAGUAAAACUAUUAGGGUCUUUAAGCUUUGGAAGAAACUUUUUUUGUAUGAUUGCACUGCAUUCCUCAAUAAGUGUCACAGUUUCAAUUCAUCCAACUACCUCUUCCUGGACAAGAUAUCUUUCAGAAAUUUCACAUAUGAAGGCAUUUUCUCUAAAGCCUUAGCAAAGGGAAUGUUGAUGUGAAGCUUUUUAAACACCUCUAUAAAUUUUUGAAAUUGGCUCUCUUCUUGUUGUUUCUUGAAGCAUUGAGGAAAGGGUGGUGGUGGUAGAGUUGCCUUAGUCUUUUUCUCUUGACACUGCUCACUAAAACUUGCAGUAAGUGUCUCACACUCAACUGUCUUACCUUUCAGUUCAACUUGCUUUGGGUUACUUUCAACUUCCUUACCACUUCUCAAAGUAAUGGCUUUGACAUUUUCCUUACCUUCCCUCCUUAGAUUUGCCUCGAUAUCACUAGGUAGGGUCCUUUAAGCUCUGUUGUUUAAUGAGCUAGCUAGUUGACCAACCUAUCAGUGGAAGGGGAAGGGCUAAGUCAGCUUAGAUUUCCAAGCGAAGGGGUUAGGUCAAUGAUCAACAACAAUUGGGAGGCUUCGAUCUACACCGUCUAAAGUAAAGGUGGGUCGAUUGACAUGGGAAAGGUACAAGUGAGUUGGCAUGGGAGAGCCUCAUGACAAGAGAGGGUCGAUAAGGGAGAGGCAACGGUAGGUCGACACGAGAGCAAUAAAAGUGGGUGGUCGGCACAGGAAAAAGGCAAAACAAGUAGUGAAGUGAAGAGAAAAGGGGGAAAUGUGGGAAAAAAAACCUUAAAACCUUUUAAUUAUAUUUAUUGAUGAAAACUCCAUUGAUAAUUUUAAAAUUCAAUACCGACAAAAUUUUCGUCAGUAGUUUCGUCAACAAACUCUUAAAAGGGAACCAUGCAUAUGCCGAUGGAAUUAUCAAUGAAAUUUUUUAUAGUAAUUUUAAAAUUCAAUACUAAUGAAAAUUCUAUUGAUGAUUUCAUUAGCAAACUCGUAAAAGGGAACCAUGCAUAUGUAGACAAAAAUUUCAUUGGUAUAUUGACAUUUUUGCCGAUAGAAAUUCCAUUAGUAAAAUCUAUUGAUAAAAUUUGUCGGUAUAGGCAUUACCGACCAAUUAUUUAUGUCGAUAAUUUUCACACCCUCCCUUUUAAUUGGAAGCCAAUGCAUUACCAACUAAAUAAAUUUCGUUACUAAAUUCUGUUAAUAUUCUGUCGGUAAUCCAUUAGUAAUAUGCAUGAUUCCAUUCCAUUGGUAUUCUAUUGGUAAUUCAUUAGUAUUUGUCAACAAAAUUUUACAGACGAAUUCAAUUUUGUCGGUAAAACCUUUUUUUUUACUAGUAUAAAAUUCGACAAUGUCCUUUCACCUAGAAAAUUCCUCGAUAAAAUUUAUCCUUAUAAUCUUCCCGAAGAAAUCUCAUCAUCGAGUUUGAAAAUUGUGCAUAAAAUAAGUGUCACAUAGUAUAAUGCACAUUAUAAUUUAUUAAAUACGAAUCAAAGUCUUUUAUCAAAAAUAUUUCUCGGAUCUUUCCAUCUUUUUGGUAAAAUCCAAGAACAAAUCCUCACCUAGAGAAUCUCUUGGGUAGGUUUAUUCUUACAAACUUUACAAAAAGGUCUCAUCAUCAAAGACAUUAUUCAUUUUAAAACAUGUAAUAUAUCAUGAUGUAAAUUUCAAUUUAUUUAAUUAAUACAAACGAUGACCUUUUAUUAAAAGCACAGCUUGGAUCCUCCCAAUUUUCUAGUAAAAUUUGAGAUCACUCUCUCACCUAGAUAGUUUCUUAGGAGACUUAUCUUUACAAGCCUCGUGAGAAAGUCUCAUCAUUAGGGUCAUCCUUUUGUUAGUCCCAAUAAUAUGUGCUAGAGGGGGGUGAAUAGCACAAUUUGGCUCUUUCAAAAAUUGUCUCUAAGUGUAGACAAAGGUGAGACAAAUGAAGGAAAGAAAAUAAAAUAAAAACAGAGUAAACAAGACAGCACAAUUUAGAGUGGUUCGGUCCAAGACCUACAUCCACUACCUUGAUUAUCCAACCAAGGAUUUUCCCAACAAAUGCACUAAAAAUCGGUAAAAUUCACAAGCUUUCACCAAACUUUAUAAUGGCUUUUACAAGGCUCUACCAAAACCUUUUACACUAGUUUUUCACUGGCUAAACUAAAACCCAACACCUAACUUUUCAAGGCUAAGUUAAAACUUUAACACAUUCAAGCAAACCUUGCUCGAAACAACCACUUAGAGUGACUCCCUCAUGCUAAAAAUACAAGAAGAGAAGUAAAAGAAAGUACCUAUGAUCACAAGUUAAUCUAAAUGGUACAAUAUUGAGUGCAGAAUACAAAUACAAAGGAUAGGCAUUUAAGUGCAACAAGGUGUAAAGAAGAUUUUCUGGUUUUUCAGCUCUUAAUUACUCAAAUCUCUUCCAAAACUUUCAAAAACUUGUUUUCAACUUUUGGAAGACCUUUUUAUACUUGGAGAAACAUCUUUGAUGGCAGUUUGAUAGUUUUCUAACCGUUGGAGACAAUUGGGAGUCGGUUCUAGCCGUUACUCUAUCUUUUAGUGCAGAUUUCAAACUUGCAAGUAGAAUGCUCUUAGUCGACUAACCGAUAUCUUAGUCGACUAAGUCGUCUCUGUUUUCUACUCCUUGUAUCUGGCAGUUCUGGUAGUGUGCACUUAGUCAACUAACCCAUUUCUUAGUCAACCAAGUUGGUUCUGUCUUGAAGUCCUGAUUUUGGCAAUAGCUUCUUAGUCGACUAACCCUCAUCUUGGUUGACUAAGUUGGUUCUGUUUCUCAAUAUUCUUCAGCCUUGCCAUUUCUCUAAUUUAAAUUUUAGUCAACCAACAUUCUUCAUUAUUUAACCAAAGACCUUUCUUUUUGUUAAUCAAUCAUUUUUCUUCAUUUUCAUGAUUUUUGAUAUACACAUUUGAAAGGUUGAUUUAUUACUUCCAUAUGAUUUUUUGUCCUGCACACUUAGAUACGAAUGUUAGACACAAAUGAAAUAGGAAUGUUUUAUUAUCAUCAAAAACUAAUGGAGCCAACAAUCUCCCCCUUUUUGAUGAUGACAAAACAUUCCUUGAUUAACAGCACAGUGUCCUUUAAUUCUUUUUAGUUUCUGCAGAAAAUGAAGAUUGCUCCCCCUAAGUAAGUGCUCCCCCUUAGUGUGUGCAUAUUUUGAUUAUUCAUUCCAGCAAAUUUUAUUCAUGUUAUGUAGAAAUUGACACUGUACAUUCAGAGUAUACAUGUGCAAAAAUAUAAGAUGAUUUAAAGCAAAUGAAUGUUGAAAGAUUAUCAUCAAAAUUUUAUAAUGUCUGUCAAUAGCAAUUAGAUUUUGUCUAUGUCAUUCAUCAUUCAACUGAUAUACUAUACACAAUAUCCAAAUCCAUCCAUAAUAAUAAUUUAUAAUAAAGAUCAGUACACAGAUUCUAACAUCAAUGUAGUAACAGACUUUUAUCAACAGUAGUUGAAAUGUAAUAAACAACAGGAUAUCAGCAAGCAUUCAAUUAUCAGCAACAAAAUACCAUGAACAUAUUAGCAAAGUACCAUAAAUAUAUCAGCAUCUAAUUUUUUAUACAAAAUAUAAACAGCAAGAUCAAAGUUAAGUGUUCAAUUGCCAUCAAAGCAGAAAAACAUAAAAUAUUCCUAAAUUGCCCUUGGUCCAUUAUGCUUUCUUUCUUUCCUAAGCUCCUGGUUCCUUCAUCCUAACAUUUUUUUUUAUUUAAUUUCUUGGUUCCUUCUCCCUCUAAGGUUCUGCUGGUCUUCUCCCCCUUUUUGUCAUCAUCAAUUCCUAGGCAUCAAUUGAGGAGAAUGAUGGGGAUGACUCAUCAGUGGCAUAUUUGACAUCUAAAGGCUGAGGAGAGGAUAUUGGAGGUAACUCUUGGGACACGAGAUCAAGUAAGGGUGAGUCAGAUACUUUAAAGGGUUCUUGAGGAGAAGAAACAGGUGCUGGCUUGGACUUUUUUGCCAGUCUGGUGGACAUCUUUCUCUUGAGGAAUGCUAUUUUUGUCGCCAUUGUUUUCAUUCCUUUGGUGGGUGGUUUUGUCUCUAGUUGUGGUGCUGCAGUGAUUUUUUGUUUUCCUUUUCUAGAUUUUGCUUUCAUUUUGGGGGCUAGUGUAGAUGCUGUUUGCUGAGCUUUUCCCUUAACUGCUUCUUUCUCCGCUUUUUCCUCCCUAACCAUUUGGUGGAAGACAUCCAUAAUGGAUACCUCUUUUGAGUUUGGAGGCGAGGGCUGUUGUUUCUCAUGUUCUGAGGGAGCAUUUUCAUUUGGAGAACCUAGCAUUUCUAUUCCUUGUUCUGAUUUGUCCUUUCUCUAGUGUUCAGGUGAAUGGGUCUUAGUUAAUUGAUCAACACCAGGAUGAGAAUCCUUUCUCUGAAGAAUAUGACUGGCAGUUCUAUAAGUUGAGCCUUCAGCUUGAACACCAUAACUUGCUUCAUGAGGAACAGAUCCUCUUGCUUGCAAAGCUGAAUCCUUAGCACCUUGCUGGCUGGUGCAACACUUGGUGUUUCAAAGGAAUCUGCAACAGCAGGUUCUGAUGGCUUUUCUUUCCCUUUCAAUUCAUUCUCCAGUGCAGUAACUUUCUCUUCAAUUUUUUGCAAUCUAACUUCUUGAUUAAUGAGCUUUCCAUUUAUCCUCAUCAAUAGAUUAAAAAUUAUUUCACUAGAAAAUUGUGAGGAUGCUGCCUCUGACUGAGCUGGGAGUGAAGAUUCCCCUUCAAGAGUUACUUUGGGAGUUUUAACAUAUUUUUCUCCUUCAAGUUUGUAUCCCAUCUUAGAUAAACUCUUGAGGUAGAUUGAUUGAUCUCUGCACUUUACCUGAUCCAUUGCAUAUCUUGAACUUCAAAUCCCCUUUUUCUAGAUCAGUGCAGUAAUGAUAUUCCGAUAUGGCGGAUUAAUCUUUUCCAAUCUACAGGCUCCCUUCAUUCUCUCAAUCAUAAAUCUUCCUAAGUUCAGUGGACUCCCAUUAAAGGCAUGUUCCAUUAGCCAAAGGUCCUACAAACUAAUAUAACUAAAGCUUCCCCUUCUUCCAUGAACAUUAGCAGCAAUGAAAUAAUGCAGUAUUCGAAUUUGUGGACUGGUGAUCAAACCAGCAUUACUUUUAGAAGAAUAUUUCUCUUUCUUUCCAUUAAUCACUCCCAACAAGGAUGAGGUAUCAUAGUUUUCUAGGAACUCAAACUCACCCUCUUCACACUCAAUGUUAAGUAAACUGCCCAAAUUAAUAGCAAUCACAGUAAAUUCUUUCCCAUUUAAAAAUAUAUUCAAGCCAUCCUCAAGAUAAUCAUUCGGCUCCUCUAAUUCAUCCUUCUCAAGUGCUAUACUAGAAUAAAAUCCUUUAACCAAACUUGCAUUAUAAGCUCGAUUCUUAAAAGUACUAAAAUAUUUCAAUUUCAUCUCCUCAAAAUAGUAUGAUAAAACUGCUUUAAAUUCAGGCACUUCAUUAAAACUAUUCCAAUCGAUAAAUUUCUCACGAGUGAUUGGUUCAUUUUAAAUUUUCUGGAACCUAUCCUCAUGAACUUUGUUUCUAAAUUUGGAGGACAGAGAUUUACCUUUCUUUGAUGUCUUUCCCUUUUCUUUCUUCUUCUUUGUUUUCUGUUCUUUUUCCUUUUGUGACUUUCCAAAUUUUCCACUCUUUGAUGCAAACUCGAUUUUCUAUUUCUUCUUCUAUAUUUUUGCUUGCAUGCCUUCUGCCAAUGGCCUUUUUCCUUUCUUCUUUUCAAUAAUUUCUCUACUCUGUGAGGUCUUUGCCAUUUAAAUUUUGAAGAUUUUUGACUGGGACUCGAGGGUUUUGGUUUUGUGUGAGUCGGUUUCAAAGGCAAGAAUGUAGAGAGAAUGGGUUUCAGUUUCAGAUGACCAAGUUUUAUGGGAGAGAAAAUGUGGAAAAAGAAGUUGUCAGCAAUAUUAAUUUCCCUUAGAAAACUGUCUGCCUCCCCUUUAAAAAUUGCCUCACUUCAUUUGCUUAGAAAAUUUUAAAAUUUCCUCUAAAUUUUGAUUAUUCUCCUAGGCGAUUUUUUUUCUUUUCUUUAUUGCUCGGUAGGUAGUUUCUUCCUAUUAUUUUAUUCCUCUUGCCCUUAUUUUAAUUGAGUCUUAUUAUUUAAUGUUACCAGAACACUCUUAGUUGACUAAGAUUCACCUUAGUCUACAAAAUACAUGCUGUUUUGAGUGUAUGAACCAAAAUCUGUAAUAUCUCGCACCCUCGUUGGACACAAAUAAGACCUUAUUGAUCAAACGAAUGAUCGUUGAUGUGAAUUGGCGUGCUAAAGAGUGACAAAGGAUGAAAGGAGCGUUCAAGAAUAAAAUGCUUCGUGCCUGCAAAAAUAAUAAUUAAAUAAUAAUAUUUUCGUUAGAGAGGAAUUAGUAAGCUAAAGGAUGAUUCAAAAGUAAACCGAGAUGUAAUGAUAUGUUUCGGGACCAAAGAAGGCAAGUGAAAAUUUUUGAAAUAAAAUAAUAUUUUAUAUGUUGUCGGAAUUAGUCAUGAAAAAUGGAAUAUGACUAAUUUAAGUGGGGGAGAAGAAGUAAAGAAGAAUUUUGAAGGAAAACGACGAUAAUUGUGUCAGCGUGAUUUUAUUAAAUCGAGCUAACGCGGGUAAGUAAAUAUUUAAAUAUUAUGGUGACACCGCGUUGAAAUGUGAUCUCGAUAUUUUGAUUAUACACAUGUAAGAAAAGGAAGAUAAAAGGAAAUUAGAAUUUGUACACGUGUCGGAAGAAUUAAUUUUAAAAUAUGAAAAUUUGAGGGAGGUGUAUUAAAUAAAAUGAAGUUGAGGAAUUACAUGUCAACUGCAUUUUUUGGAGAGAAUAAAAUAAAUAAAUAAUAAAAUAAUAAGGAAAUAAAAAGGAUGGGAAUGAUGUGGUUUGGAUGGGAAUGAAGAAAAGUCAAACCAAAGAAUUUUAAGGUGAAUGGCCAACCAUGCAAAAAUCAAAGGAAGAAAAACAAAAGAAAAGGCAAAGAAAACAAAAGAGAAGAAUGUAGAAAUGAUGGUGGGGCCAGUCAUGUGAGAAGAAAAGAGAUAGAAGAGAGAAGUCGGUUAUGAAGAGGAAAGAAAGAACUAAAAGCUGAGCAAAAGAAAGGAAAGGAAAAAGGAAAGAAAAAUAUGGGAGAGGAAGAGAAAAGGAACGAAAAUUUUGCUCUUUUCUUGGCACGAUUUUGCUGCACUUUGAGGAAGGAAAAAAAGAGUUUUUGCUGCAAUUUUUGGAGGAAGAAAAAGCUGAAAAUUUGUGAGGUAAGAAGCUAGUUUUUUUUGUUGCACUUUGAGAGAGAAAAUUCGGUGCUUUUUGGAGGGAUUUUGGUGCUAAAAAUUCAAGGUUUUUGUUACUGAAUUUUGAGGUUAUGUUGUUGGAAAUUUGAGCUGAAAAUUUGUUGAUUUUAGAGCAAAAAAUGGCAGUAAAAAGGGUGAGAAAAUGAGGCUUUUGGUGAUUGAUUUUGAGAGGAAAGGAAGAGAGGAAGCCACGAUGGUGAAGGGAGUGAUGGGCUGAAAGAAAAAAAAAGAAGAAAGAAGGAAUGUGGAAGAGAGGAAAAAAAAGAAAGAAAAAGAAAAGAAAAGAAAUAGAAAAUAAAUGGGCAUGACCCAAUAGAAAAUAAGUGGGCAUGGCCCAAUAAGAAACAAAAAUAAAUGGGCUUAGCCCAAAUAGGAAAAAUGGAUAAGCCCAUGGAGAGGGCCCAAAGGUCAUAAAGAAAUGAAAAAGGCCCAAUGGUAAGUUAAUAUUAUAUUUUUAGAUUUAUGGGUAGUUUAAUAUUGUGCAUAUUUUGAAUGAAAAAUAUGCAAGUUGCUUAAGGAAGUUUUAAUUAAGUUGCUACCCAUACAAAUGUGUGAUUAAGUAUACUGAGUUUAAAUUGUUGCUAGGAAAGUUUGUCGUGGAGUCAUGCCGAACGAAGUAUGUACCGACAAAUAGGAAUAAUUAUAUACGCGUAUGAAUCAAUAGUGAAGUAAUAUCCCACUAUUAUGAGGUAAGUAGGGGGUGUCAAUUUUAAAAAUUCCGUAUAUAUAUGUACAUGUACGUAUAUUUUACGUGAAGUGCAAAAUUUAUGGAAAGCAUGCAUUGAUAGAAUUUUAAAGAAUUGUGGGUGUAAGUUAUUUUUAGAAAUCAUUUGGAAUAUAUAUAUAUUAGACGUAAAGUGUUUUAAACCGGGAAACAAGCUUUUCGAAAAGAUUUACAUCAAAGGAAAUUGUGCCUUAUUGUUUGUGUGGUGUGCAUUCAUGAAAUUUAUUACAUAUUCACCAUGCUAUUUUGAUACAAAAUAUCAUGCAAAUAUUUACAAUGAACAUUUUACGAAAAGAGAGUUUUAACAUGAUGUGGGGACCGAUAUUUUGAGAAAAUUUUAAAUUAUCCCCUUGAAGAUCAAAUUUGAAUUCUUUUAAAAGGUGAUUUCAUUUUAAUCAAGAAAUUCAAAAGUAAUUAGAGACUACUACUUGUUGUGUUAUAAAUUGUAUUUUGAAUCGAAUGUCUUAUGAUAAUGUGGGCAUGAUUAGCUGGAUUGGUAAAUAUGCUGAAAAUGUAUGAAAUGUUGAUUUGCCUUGAGAGGCUGUAAAAUAAAAUAAUUGUCAUGUCAUGCUAUUGCAAAUUUUAUUGUAUGGUGGGUUUAGCUUGCUGCAGUGGGCGGGUUUCGUGGACCAACCUAUUAGAAGGGCACGGUAACCC
RNAcentral lists this long non-coding RNA (99261 nucleotides) under Theobroma cacao (cacao). RNAcentral describes it as "long non-coding RNA (TCAC_LNC000989)". The stretch from base 73276 to 73382 matches the Rfam family "Plant small nucleolar RNA R71". Lineage: Eukaryota; Viridiplantae; Streptophyta; Magnoliopsida; Malvales; Malvaceae. The record is from RNAcentral.